RNAcentral lists this long non-coding RNA (123123 nucleotides) under Capsicum annuum. Its description in RNAcentral is "long non-coding RNA (CANN_LNC008242)". Lineage: Eukaryota; Viridiplantae; Streptophyta; Magnoliopsida; Solanales; Solanaceae. The record is from RNAcentral.
CUCACUCUGCCUCUAUCAAGAAAUUGGAGACCCAAGUGCGGUAAAUAUCCACGCAAUUAAAUUCUAGACCUAGAAGUGGACUUUUGAGUGACAUAAUUGCUGACCCAAAGAUCGAUGCCUAAGUCCUAGCAAUUGUCACAAGGAGUGGAAGAGCACUUGAGGAACCUUAUAGAUAAGACAUAAGUGAGAAUAUACCCAAGGCCAAAUCAAAGGAGGUGACGCCUUAAAGAAGAGAGGUAAAUGAUGAUAAAGAGGUUAAUGAAAGCGAUGAGUAGGUGGUUGAAUUUGAAAGGCCACAAGUUGAAGCAAGAACAACCAUCCAAGUUCCUCCCUAUUUCCUCAACGUUUGUAUAAAAAAGAGGAGAAUGAAAAAUUGAGGAAGUUCAUGGCUAAACUUAGUAACCUAUCGAUAAACAUCCUAUUGCUUGAAGCUAUCCAAGAGAUCUUGGGAUAGGCUAAGUUGAUAUCCUAGAAGAAAGUUGUUAAAGGUGAUACUAUUGAGGUCACUCAUGGAUGUUGCUCUAUCAUGGAUAGCAAGGUUGUAGAAAAUAAAGAUGACCCUGGAGCAUUCUUUAUUCCUUGCACAAUUUGGACAUAUGAAUUUGCAAAAUCUCUAUGUUACCUUGGUGGGAGAAUCAACUUAAUUCCUCUUUUCAUAUACAAGAAACUUGGUUUGGAUACCCCGAUGCCAAGCUCUAUGCAACUCUUGAUGGCAGACCGCUCUAUAAAAAGGUCGGUGGGUAUAUUGUUUGACGUCCUUGUGAAAGUGGAUAAGUUCAUUCUCCUGAUUGAUUUUGUGGUAUUGGAUUGUGAAAUGGACAAAAAGGUUCCUAUCAUUAUUGGUCAUCCUUUCUUAGCCACUGAAAGAGGCAUUGUUGAUCUAGAGCUGGGGGAGAUAAAAUUUAGAGUGCAAGAGGAAGAGGUCUCUUUCAAAAUCUGCAUGUCAAAGAAGCAAACCGUGGAGUUGCAAGUAGUAUCCGUGGUGGAUAUUGAAAAUAAGAAGAUAAAUGAAGAGAAAUUUAAGGACCCACCUUGAAAAUAAAGGAAAGAAGAUGUUAUGUCACGAUGAUAACGAAGGCGCUAGGUGGGAGGCAACUCAAAUAUUCCACGACAGUGGCUCAUAUCCUUUUUUGUUAUGUUUUUAUAGGGUAGAUAUUAUCUUUUGCAUAUGAAUAACCCAUGUAUUUGUGGCACUAUAGAGUGCAUUGGAUAUGCUGAACAGGGGAGAAAUGUGUCAAAAAUUGAGUAAAAUGCUAAACAGGGGAGAAGAAUUGCUCUUAGUUACUACAAUCACGGUCCCUAAGUCCGAUCGCGGUCAGACAAAUAUCCGCAAUCACAGUCCUUUAACCGCAGAUGCGGCCAUUUUUUCCAUUUAACCCCUAGUUUUUCUCAUUUCUCUCACACUCCCUUUCAGGAUUGUGCUCUCUAAUUUGGGCUAAUUUCUGGCCAAGUUUGUGAGCUCUCAAAUAGCAUCCUUUCAUUCCGUUACAUCACAACUCCGGUAGGUGACAUGAAUCCAUGACUUUAAUUAUGAAAAUAGGCCAUAGAAUGCAUGGUUAAGAAGGGCCUAAAAUUUUGAUUGUUAUGCUUUCCUUGUUGUCAUACUUGGUACUGGUGUGAUGUUGGCUAUUUGAUUAAGGUGUGUACAUAAGUGGGGGAAAUCAUAAGUACCCAAUGAUGUGUGAAAUAGGUAGAAAAAUGAGAUAUGCAAAACAAGUGUUUGAUGAAAUGCUCUAAUGAACUUUCAAUAUUUAUAUUUUCUUUCUAAAGGGCAUUCACACUUUUUAUCAUUGUUCCAAUGAUCUUCAUAUGCUUUCACAUUGUAGAACAUACUAGUAUCCAAAAUUUGGAAGAAAUCUGAACAUGCAGAGCUGACACAAAACUAGCCUUAGGUAGUGCAAUUUUGGUAAUGCGAACGCGGUCUAGACUCACGAUUGCGGUAACUGAGGAAAUCUUCUUUCUAUGCCAAAAAUCCUUCAUUUCCAACUUUUAGUCUAGCAACACCAAGCACCUAUUCCAAUGAACUCUAGUGACCAAUAUAGCAUAGUUUACAUACUUAAAAUAUCAUCAAAAGAUAUAAUGUGUGCUUAGUGCUUUUAGGAUAACAUCAUGGAUAAGUAUGAUCACGCCCGGUUCAUGGUACCCAAGUUCCAAACUCUUUACUAGAAGGAUCUUUUGAGGACAAAGCUACUGCCUUAGAGAGGAAUUUUCUUAGAAAAUAUGCCGGAGAAACUACCAGAACUACAUGACAAACUUGAAGCCAUAGGGUGACCGUGCUUCACCCUAAAUCCAUGCAUUGCAAAUGAACAAUUGGUUCAUAAGUUUUAUGCAAAUAUCAGCGAAGUCUCUUUUUUGGACCCACUCAAUGUGACUGUCAAUAUUCAAGAAAAAUAGGUGAAAGUUGGGGCUAAACAAAUCAAUGAUGUUUAUGGGCCCAAGCAUACUGACAUGAGUGACUUCAAAUCAAAGGGGUGUAAAUCAGGGAGUUGGUUAGCACAACGACUAUGCCCCAAAAAAGAAGUCUCGUGGACCAAGACUAAAAAUAAUAUUUCCAUGAAUGACUUCACUUUCGAGGCCUAGAUAUGGUUGUACAUCAUUUGUAUUUGAGUUUCUCUUUGCACCUACAUGACAACAAUCCCUGAAUUAUAUACUAGGAUGGUUGCACGUAUUCUAGGAAUCAUCCCUUUAGAUGUUGGCCAACUCGUGGUUAAUGAAAUAGAUCAUUUCAAGGACCAAGGCGGUACGCAUCUAUUCUUUCCCUCCUUGAUUACAAAACUUUGCAAAAGAGCGGGGGUGGAAGAGUAUGCUAGUGAUAUAUGGGUGUGCCCUAAUACUCCUAUUUACCCCUUAAGGAUUAGAGGUAAGGGUGCUCCCAGCAAAAGCAAGAAAAGGAAGAUCGACGUGGAAAAUCUAACAUGCAGUGAGCCUGAGUCUUGUAGGCCAACCACCAUGGGACCUCUUAAGGAGAUUAGUGUAAAUAUUGAAGCCAUCAAAGAGCUUGUGUCUAGUUUUCUCCAAGGACUGGGAGAACCCUCUAUCAUGCAUCAUUCUUAUGUGUCAUGUCCCAAUUAUAAAAAGUACAAGAAAGACCAAAAGAAGCAAGAAGCUACUAUUGAUAAGCUUGAAAAGGCCUACUUCUCUUUGGCAGAGUCACACUGAGACCUCCGCACCGCACAUAAAAAAUAUUUACAAGGGAGAAAAAGAUGGAUGAGUUCUUUAUCAGGAUGUGGAAGGGUGUGAAGGUCCUAUGGAAGGUUCUAAGGCCCCACGAUAGACUUCCUUCUUCUUGGGUGGACAGUGAUGAUAAGGCCCCAUCCGGUUUGAUCUUGAGGAAAAUGAUGGUGAUGCAGAUUCCAACAGUGAUAGUAGCCCUUGAUGCCAUUUGUAGUUGGGGGUGUCUCCUUAGUCUUAUUCAUUUAAUUCGAGCCUAUAUUAUUGAUAUUUCUGCAUACUUUUUUGCUCUUUUGGAUAAUUCUUAUCUUUAUUUUUAUUUGGGUUUGUAAUAAUCGGGCACUCUAAUGGUGCCCACAUUUGCAUAGAUUAGCUAUUUUGUUCUAAGUUUGUUAUCUUAUUUUAGUUCCACUACAAUUAAGUUUCCAACCAUGGGUGCAGGGGAAAUCUGAGUACCCAUGGCACCAAGCAUCAAGGCCAUAGAAUGCAAGGGAAGUUUGAGUAUUUGUAGCAUUGAUAAUUUGGGAUUUCAUUAUUAUCCAUUGGUGAAGUCUGAGUAACCAUAUGGUGGGCCACCCAUACAAUGAUUUUCAAUGUGAGAUGAUAGCUUGGGUGAUUGCCAUGAUUGUCAAAUUAUGUGUGGUGCGAAUACAAAAGCAAAUAACCUCCUCCAUUUGAAAUUCUUGCAAAAUUCAAAGGCAUGGACGUAAACAACUUUGUGACAAAAAAUUUUCCUCUUUCUAUGACUCCAAAAGUUGACUUUGGAAAAAUAGUGAAUACUUUAUUUUUUUCUCGAGCUGGUAGAAUAAUUGAACCCACUAAUAAUGUUCGCAUGCCAUGUGUGUGAGGCUAAUUGUCCUUAUCUCAUGUGUACUUGUACCAUCUAGAACUUGCCCCAUUAGUCUUUCAAGGCUAAAUUUUGACUGUACUUGGUUGGUAAAAUGAUCAUAGGCCAUCUUGUAAUUUUGGAAGCCCACUCUAGCCUAAAAAGCCUACCCAUGCAUAAUUAUCCUUAGUACCCACUUUGAGCUUUUGGACCUUUCUUUGGAAAACUCAUUACAACCCAUGACCUUUUCUUUUUAUCUCUUUUGUGACCCAAACCCUCCUGGAACUUAAAAAUAUAACUUGAGGCUAAAAGCCUAAGUUGGGGGUGGUAAAGGUUGAUGGAAGAAAAUGUAAGGCCACAAAGUUGUAAUGAAAUGCCUCAUGAGCUUGAAUAGCAAAAAUAAAUAAAUAGAAAAUGAAUGAGUCCAUCAAAGGAUUGAAGUGUGUGUAAGUUGCAAGAAAAAGAAAUUAAAGAAAAGGGGUACACAAAGAAAGCUAUUAGUAGGCGUGCGAAAAGAAAGAAACUAAAGAAGAGUGGCCCUUAGCCAAAAUAAAGGAUUGAAAAAGUGUGAUGUGAAUGUUCAAGGAGGGGUGUAGGCAUAUUAUUCCUAAAUGAUAUCCUACCCUAAUGCUAAACCUAUAUUAAAAGCACAAAAAGCCCCUUUUGAUUCCCAACCAAGUGUGCCAUUGUAGUGGUGAUUGAAAAUAGGGGCAAGUUUAUGGCAUGGUACUCGACAACAUGGAGAAUUUCUUGAGAGAGUGAGUGUUUGCACUUAAAAUUCCUUGUUACAUGCUUGGUGACUAGGUGUGUGAAUUUUCCCUUUCUUGUGAAGAGGCAUGUGAACUAGUUGGGAUGGGUGAUUUUCUCAUUUUCGCACAAUGAGACAAUAGGAAGUAUUACAUGAUUGUAGUCAACAUGUGAGUCAUUUUUAGAGUGUUGGUAGUUGUUACAUUGUUUCUCCCCAAAGUCUAUGGCAUCCUUUGCUAUUUUAUUUUGUGAUGAGGGAAGUCAUUAAAAGCCUAUUUGCCCAUGUGUGAAAAGAUUUUGGUGGUAGCAAUCAAGUUUGAUUCUUAUUAAUCAUUGAGCAAUAGAUUGAGGGCAUACAUAUGAAAUUGUCUCAUAAUAAUGGGUAGUGUUGCUUGAGGACAAAUAAAGCCUUAAGUUGGUGGUAUGAUGAGUGGUGAUUUUACUACUCAUUCUCACUUAACAUUCAUGUACAUUACCUUGUUUUGAAUGAAUAAAUGAGACAUUUGUGAGUAAAUGCACUAAUAUCCAUUCUUUGUAGGCAUAGAGUUGAGAAGAUCAAAAGAUGUGGAUUGGAGUUAACAGUGAUAAAAAGAAAGAAAAGAAGAGUGCAGCUGAAAACCUGGACAAUAUCAGCUUCAGUUACCACGACCGUGGUCCUUAAUCUGUGGUCGCGGUCAGUCAAGAUGAUCAGCAUAAUGAGGUCGUGGCAAACAACCGUGGUCGCAUGGAUGCAAUCGCGGACAGACAUGCGUAAUCACAGUCAUGCGGGUAUAUGCCCUGGGGCAGAUCUAUAAAAGCACUUAGAUGAAUCCCAAACAAUAUAUAAGCAAAAUCUUUUUUUUCUUUGGGUAUUGCUUUCCUCAUAAGAUAUCUUUGAAUUCUAGACAUAAAACUCUAAUUGGGAAAGUGUGUAAUUAACUUUGGAGACUAAAUUUCUUAGGAUUUUUGUGAAGAAUGAAUGCUUUGGAUAAUCCUUAUGGUAUAUCUCUCUUUACUUGCUUCAUGAGUAGCUAAGUAAUUGAGUCUUGGGAUUAUGUUGAAUAGAGUGUAAUUUAUGUGUGGUUAUUGUUGUGUUUGUGUGAUUAUUAUUUAUUGAGUAAGGAUUUCACCACUGUUUAAGCUUAUGAGAUAGAAUUUGAUAGGUGAAAGCCCCAAAUCUCCAAAUGGGUUUGAUAGGUGAAAACCCCAAACUCUAAAAACCCUUUAUCAUCCUUGAAAGAGGGAUGAAGAAAAAUAUGAGGUAAUCCAUAACAUCUUUGAAAGAGGGUUAUAGGGGGACAAGAUAAGGGUGGACAAUUAAGCCUAUGCUUUGCUCCCUUUUGCAAUCAUAGAAAUAGGUGUAUUAGGGAUGUAAAUCAUGUCAAGAGCAUCAUCCUAGAAAUAGGGAUGCUUGAUUAAGGUUUUGGGUGAUUACGAAUUUCACACUUGUUAGGUGCUCAAAAGACCCAACGGGUUAAAUCAUUGUGGUUUUAUUGAAAGAUUGACCACAAUGACCUCCGACCUAGCCUAUCCUUUAUUUAACAACUAAAUUUCAUGCUAAACCAUUAUUAACCCAUAUGAUUUUACCUUUAGGUUGACAUAAUCCCAAGAUUUCCCCCAACAUCAUUGGUUAAAACAAAAACAUCUUCUCUUCAUCAUUUGCUAAAGAUCGUAUAAAAAGUUCCCUGAUAAAUCCCCCUAUUUUAUUUUACAUGUCAUGUUUGUUAGAAUUUUGGUUAAUCUCGUAGUAAUUUGAGCACCCAUAAUGUUUGAAAUCUAUAAUUUGCUCCUUGAGAUUUAACCCCAAUUCAAAUUGGGUUACUUAAAAACGACCACCUAACCCCUUAAUUAUAGGAGUGUGUUGAGCGUUAUCCUGGUGAUGGUAUCUUUAGGUACCAAGAAAGGUUGUGUGUUCCUGAAGUGGAUGGGCUGCAAUGUAGAAAUUGGGUUGAGGCUUAUUAUUUGCUUUAUUUGGUUCAUCCUGGUUCAAUGAAGAUAUAUCACAACCUUAAGGAGAUCUAUUUGUGGAAUAAACUGAAAAGGGGUGUGGUUAAUUUUGUGUCUAAGUGCAUUGUGUGUUAGCAAGUGAAAGUAGAACACUUGAGUCCUAGUAGGUUAUUUCAAGAAUAGAGUUGACUGUAUAGAAAUAGGAAGUGAUAAAUAUGGAUUUUGUUACCUGCCUUCUGUCAUCUCGAAACUAGUUUGAUUCUAUUUGGGUCAUCAUGGAUAGGAUGACUAAGUCUACUCACUUCUUGCCAGUGAGGACUAAUUAUUCUUCUGGGGACUAUGCAAGGUUGGUUAUUCAAGAGAUUUUGAAGUUGCAUGGUGCUCCAAUUUCCAUUAUUUUUUAUCAUUGUACUAAGUUCUCAUCUCACUUUUAGCAUUCAUUUCAGCGAGGUUUGGGGACUAAAGUGAUCCUUAGUACCACUUUCCACCCAUAGAUGGAUGGACAAGCGGAAAGGACCAUUCAGACAUUAGAAGAUAUGCAUAGAGCUAUGUAAUUGAUUAUGGCGGUAGUUUAUUUGACCACGUAUCUCUUGUGGAGUUUACGUACAAUAAUAGCUAUUACUCUAGCAUUGGUAUGGAUCCAUUUGAGGCAUUGUAUGGUAGAAGGUGUAGAUCUCUAAUUAGGUGGUUCAAAGUUGGUGAGGCAAGGUUGUUCAAUCUUGAUUGAGUUCAUCAAGCUAUGGAAAAAGUUAAGGUGAUUCGGGAUAGGCUUAAGACUGUUUAAUGUCACCAAAAGUCCUAUGUGGACAUAAGUCAAAGUUAGUUAAAGUUCGAUGUGGGUGAUUGGGUUUUCAUGAGGGUGUCUCCCAUGAAAGGAGUGAUGCAAUUUGGAAAGAAGGGGAAGCUUAAUCCUUUUUACGUUGGUCCGUAUUUGAUGUUGAAGAAAAUGGGAGGUUUACUUAUGGGUUAGAAUUGCCUACGAGUUUGGAUUUUAUUCACCCUGUGUUUCAUAUGUCCAUGUUAAGGAAAUCUGUGGGUGAUCCAUCCUUGUCGGUACCUAUUGAGAAUGUUGGUGUCUCAGAUUCCCUAUCUUACAAAGAGUUUCCGGUAGAGAUCUUAGAUAGACAAGUUCAUAGAUAGCAGACUAAAGAUUUAUCGUUGGUAAAGGUCCUUUGGAGGAACCAUAAAGUGGAAAAAGCCACUUGGGAGGCGGAAGAGGAUAUAAAGGCUAAGUAUACAUUUCUAUUCCAUGUGACGAAUGACGAAGCUUGAGGUAUGAAUUUUGUUCUUCUUUGUUGUUAUUCGGGUUUAUCUUUUGAUUAUGGUGUGUUGUUAUCAUUUUUGUUAGAAAUGUGUCUUAGCUCAUCAUUCGAGGAUAACCCUCAAAUUUUGUGUAUUUUAUUUUUGGUCUUUCUGUGCUUGAAAUAUCAAUUUUUGACUCAAAUUUUGUUUGGGAAUGUUAAAAGGGUAACCAGAAAAAGUUUUGAAAUUUUUGGACGAGGUUUGGAGUGGUUUUGGGUCACGGAGGUAGUAAGCCUCUGUGAUAUUAGCGUGCCACAUAGGUUAGUCUUUGCAAUAACCUUUGUCACAUAAAAGAUAAUCACUGCAAUAAGGUCAAUUGCAUAGAUGCUGGACCUCCGUGAUAAGGUCUGUGCCAUGGACCUAUAGUAAUUUCUGGUUAUCAUGUUAUUUUUAAAAUAGGAUGAGGGGUAAAGGGGUCCUUUCACCUAGAAAUGAUUUUUUAUCACUAGAAGGACCUAAUUCUAUCAGCUUUCAUUAUAUAAAGGUCAUUCUUAUUACUCUCAAGCAUCCUCUCUCAAAUUCCUCUGUUUAAGUAAGGCUAAGGUUCAAGGAGGUGAUCAUCUAGGGUACUAAGGGUGUGGUUUUCUUCAAAUUUAUUGGCAAUUAAGGCAUGUACCUCUUUCCUUUUUUAUUAGAUUAAUGGCAUGAAAAAUUGGUUUGUUAUUCAUGAUUUUGAUGUUGGGUUCUGAACUAUGGGUUGAGGGUUUUGAAUGUAUUUGGUUUAAACAUUUUUCCAUGAUUAUUAUUGAAUUGUUAUGCAUUAAAUUGAUGAUUAUGAAAUCUUUGGGUGCAUGGGGAUAAUGAAUGGAUUUAGGGGUACAAUGGAUUCCCUGAAAUAAAUGGUUUCGGUAUGGAAAUUGAUAAUAACCUCGACCUACUUGCAUAAUUGGCUUUGGAAUAUGAUUUAUCACUUUGCUUGGCUAUUCUUUUGAAAUGUUGCAUUGCAUAAAUGGUAAAUAGAACAUGAAUUAGUUUGGUUUAUUUAUCAAAUGGUUUAGAAAGGCCUUGAUGGCUACAAUUUUGGUUUAAUUGGAAACUUUGGAGUCAAAUUUGGUUGAAGGUUUUGUAUGGCAUAAACGAUAAAUUUGCUGGCUCUAAUUUUGGUAUAACGAUACCAAUGGGAAAUGCCUAAUUAAAAGACUCCUUGGUAAAUGAUUGGAAAUGUGUAAAUGGUUUUAGUAUGGGCUUAAAGGGGGUUGCAUAGCAAAGGCAUGGAAGGUAGAGGUCCCAAGGGAAUCGAUACUAGAAACUCAUGUUUGCCGACGUGAGGUUUGGUCAUAGUGACUGUGUACAUGAGAUGAACUUUAUAUUUUGGGGAAGGCAUUAGCCUUCUUAGGUUUUAUCUUGUACGUGCGGCUAACACACAUUAGGCCCUUUCAGCAGGGAGAGCUAGACCUAUAUAGCCCGUGGGUGCCUUUAGGAUGGUAAAGCAACACAGUCCAGGUUAAUGAUUUAAAAAUGCAUGCUAAACCUUGUUCCCCUUUUUCCCAGCAUAUGAUAUAGGGUUUUAGUGGUAUUCAUAUUAUGGAUUAUGGCAUUACUUUACUACUUUAUCCCUAAUUUACAUGUUAUUACUCCAACCACUAACCAUCUUCAGACGUUGUAUCCCUACGCGAUGUAGGGUCCGAAGGCAAUCUACCUUUCCUGUAGAGUGAUCAGGUGUUCGUGGUUAGAUCUAGAGUUGACUGGAAGUGAUGAACUUUCAUCCUUCAGAAGACUUCAUUUUAUGUUUUGGUUUCCCUUGUCUUAGACUUUAUUUUAGAUUUGUUUUGGCUAUGGUCAGAGGCUUAUCCUGACAUUCUACUGGUAUUUGGUUUUGUUAGAGACUUUUUUGGACUACUGUGGAUGUAGGCAUUAUGGUAGACGUUCGGUAUUAAUUUUUGGUAUUGUGGAUGGUUUUUUUAUAUUGAUCUCAUAUAGACUUUUGGGUGUAUCUUUCCUAUCUUGUCAUAUAUGUAUAUUAGUUACUUUUGAAUAGUCUAAGGGGUUGGUCUACGGUCCUCGGUGCACUUGAGAUACCUAUCAUGGCUAAGCCUAGUUCGUGCCAUGACAUCUAGUAGAAGAAUAUCUGAAAUGCAAUGAAAAGAUCCAGGAUGUUGAUCCGAUAAAUCCUGCUUCAGAUUAAGAAGGUUCAUCUGAUACAUAUGCAUACUCUAACACCGGCGAUAACUUUCUAGCUAAUGGAUACGUAAAAGACAGCAAAGAGUCUGCCGAUUCAUGGGAAUACAUUAAGGACACUCCUGAAUCCUAAAUUGAACCUUUAGAAGAAGACUAUCCACCAAUAUACAUGAACCACUCCAAAGAACUAGAGUUCUUCAAAGUUGUCGAUGACCAAGAUAGGAUGACGGAUAAUCCAAUCCUAGAAAAAAGGCCAGAUCCAGGUACAACUGGCAAAGAAAAUUGUGUGAAUUGGAUUCCACACAUUCACUCUCGAAGACAUCAAGAUUUAAUCUUGGCCCCAGAGGAUCUAAGACUUCUAUACUUAGAUGGCAAUGAAUAAUCUGGCUGAACGGAAGAAAUACAUGAUACUAUUGGAGUUCACAUCCAGAUUCUUCGGAAUGCUCAGAGACUGGUGGAAUGCUCUUGGGAUUUCGAUAAGAACAUUUAUUUGAUGUCACAAGACUUGCCCUUCAACAAUAGGAUCCUACACAAGGUCUUCUGCGAAGACACAGGCUAGAGACAGGAAAAGUUCCAACGACAACUUUUUGAGACGAAGUGCCUAUCAUUCGACAGACAUUGAUAUCUACUUCCAAAACAUGGCAAGGAUCUACUUUGAACUAGGUGGCGACCCCCGCCUGAAGAAAGCAUUCGUAUCAUCACUGCCAAAGAUGCUAGCAGGACACACAAUGAUGAUUAUGGAGGAGAAGUUCAAAUACAUAACCAUCCACAGAUAGGCUACAUCCAACAGGCCAUAUUCCAAUCUUUAGACAGCAUAUGCACAAAGAGAUCUAUACUGAAGUAGAUCUUCUAAUACAUCCAACCCUUGUUCAAGCAUGUAACAGGGAUGAUCUUGUAACCAAAUCAAACUAUCAUUGCUCAAGCCACAAAGAGAGACCGAAGAGCCAGCUAUAGUUUAGAAGGUUCAAAGUGCUAAACCUCCCGAUGACAAGAUCAAGGUGAUUUGGCAAACCAGGUACUUCAGAUGAAGAAUCCCAAUAGAAUACAGGAAGAAGAAUGAUUUCAUCAACAGAAAUCCUGGCCACUAUUCUAGAAAUUGUCCACUUCUUUGAAUAAAUAAUUGAUCAUGCAAGAAUCUAUCUCAACAAAGAUCACUACUUGAAUCGUUCUUCUUGUUGGAAGAAGAAGAGACGGUCAACACCUUCUUCUCCAUAGACAUAUAAAAAGAUUCAAGCGACAUUUAUGUUGAUGAUUUUUACCUGAUAUAUAGUACCAGAGAAGACAACCAGAAACUGGCUAGUCAAAUCCUCAUGUUCAACACAGCAGUAAUUCUAUCUUCUGAAAUAAUAGACUGCCCUCCUGAUCUUUCAACCAGUAUGUGGAUCCCUUCGAUCUAUCUAUCCUUCAAGAAAGAACAACCUUCUAUGAGCUUCAAGUAUUUAUAAAGUACGGAGGAUCCAUCCUAAAGCCAUUCGUAGUGCACCAAAAUAUCAUUUCUACCAUGUGUUCAUAGCACUACCCAAUGACUUCCCGCAAGAACUCAUGUGGUUAUUUUGGUACCUGUGCCAUCAGUACUAUAUUUUCAUAGAGUUCUAAUGUGAUCCCUUUAGGAAUUUCGAUCUAAUCCAACCAUCUUUGAAGAGAUUCAUGCUAUGGUUCAAGACAUGACAAUACUGGAUUUGAUGCUUCAGAGAUUUCUGUGAUACAAUAUUUUUUAUGUUGCAUCAUUUGAUAGGAAUCACAGGCCAUAACAUCUAAGCUCAGCACUUCACUCUCCAGCAGAAUAGAUGCAUUUCGAAAGAAAUCUGGCCGAGGAAUGGGUAAAGUGUAACUACGCUGAUGAUCAUCCCUACUGGGAUGACAUCCAAAGAGCAACAAAAUAUUGCCAUCCACCAUAUGAAAUCACGAGAAUGAAGUCACCAACUCCAUAAAAAGUAUACAGAUGAAAGCUCCCCCACAGGAAUGUGAACUACUCUAAUUAGGAGAAAUGAUCUCUCAAUAGAUAUAUAAGGCUGUGAGACAUAUACAUCUCCAAAAACAUCCCGGAGAAUUGAGUCCAUGAAAAUGGAGAAGAUCCAUCUGGUCUAGAAUCUAUAUAACCUCUUGGCCAAUGAUGAGUAGACAAGUUCAACUGAAAUAUGGUGUGAUCCAUACCAUAAGUCUCCACUACGCCCAAACCACGAAUCUAUCCUCACAAAAAGUUAGGAACUCAUGUGCAUCCUCUCUAGGAGAACCAUAAAAUCUCAGUAGAUCUAACCUUAAGAAUUUGCCCAACAUAUUUAAUUCCUCAGAAGACAUAGCAAGCUUGGAAACCACUGGUUGGGCAACUAUCAGCUGAGCAACUACCGAGCUGGGAGAUGCAACUACUGGUUGUGGCCCUGCCUCAGCACCACUCUAGCCUACAGACUGUACACCAUCAGGCAGCUCACCACUAAUAAUACUAUCACAACCCGAGCUAGGGCCCUGACCAUGACGGACUUCCUAAACUAUCAAGGACCGAGAGACCCCUAUAACGGUCCAACCCACUAGUGAUAUUGUCUGCUCUGGGCCCAGGCUUGGACGACUUUAAAAUAUAUCACUAGAGAGUAAGUCUUGCUUACUUAUAUCCCUCCUAUAUUUUUUCAAAAUGGAACUCCUUAUCCUAAAUUGGGGUUUCACAUACACCUCACCCCCAUUUUAUGGACUCAGCGUCUUCACUGAGGUUUGCCCCAUCAAAUGGGAUUUUCCUAGACUCAGGACUGAGGUUUGCCCCAUCUUAUCAGGAUUUUCCUAAACUCAAUUUGAACUCUGGUCCACAUUAACAGGGCUGACACGGGAGUAGAUCUAUACCAUUCUUGUCAAGACCAGAGUCAGGGCCCUAGCCGCGAUGAGCAUCCCAAACCAUUAAGGCCCGAUAGACCUCUAUAAUGGCCUAAACCACUAAUAAUUUUAUCAAUCUGGGAUAGGCCUGUACGACUUUAAAAUACAUCAGUUGGGAGUAAGUCUUUCUUACUUAUAUACCAAGCAUCACUCUUAUGUUUUGCCGAUAUGGGACUUUUUAUCCUAAUUUGGGGUGUCACAAAUACCCAGUAACUAAACCAAUGCAUCUCUAAGCACUAUAGAAAAAAUGAACCCUGGUGGACCCUGGGCUGGUGCCUGGCCCACCAUUAGUUGUGGCAGAAAAAUCUGUGGCUCAGGUUCAGGAAUAGGGUCUGGGAAGGCGGCCUAUCAUUGCCUAUAGCUGGGGCCAUGUAUCUAGGUUAUCCAUGACCUCUAGGUUAUCCACAUUCAACAACGGGAGUAGGAUCCCUAGGUUUGAUCUUGAGAACCUCAUCUCGUGUAGCGGUAGCACAUGUUUGGGCCUUCUGUGGAGGACUAAAGUCAAAUAAAUAUCCCACAAACCAAUAUAGACUCUUAGAACGAUAUGAAUAAAACAAGUAAAGAACUUCUAAGGAUGUCCAAUAGCCUCCUGAAGAUAGGAAACGAACAUCAACAUUCUGAUCCAUAGGACCCUACUAGACACUUAUUCUUGUACCAACAAUAUCGGUGAAACCUAGCUUUAAUACUAAUUUUUCAUGACCUAAUUUAUGAGUCAUUAUGGCACCUACUAAUUGCCACUAGUAGGUAAGAUAAUACCAUAACUCAAGCUAAUAGAAUAGGUUAAUCCAGUAAGAAAGGUCUGACAUAGGUAAAUAUUGAUAACAUCAAUUGUAAACAUAAUGGUUCUAGAUAUAACAACAGUCAUACAAGGUGCCAAUCCCAAAACCUUGAAGAGCUAAUACAAGAGCAACUAAUAUCAUCAAUACAACUCCAAGUUUAGAAUGGUUAGUUCAUCUGUCUCGAAUACCAAAAACUGAAUACAAGAGAUAGAAGGAAAUUGGAUAAACCAAACUCCAAGAGCUUACCCUAUACCCAAGUAUCAAUCAGCGCAUGAACCACAAUCAACAGCGAUAAAUACUGAAAUUUGCACCAAAAAGGUACAAAAGUGUAGUUAAGUACCAAAACAACGAGUACUCAGUAGGUAUCAUUGGACAACUAAGCUAAAUCAUGAUAUAAGAAUGAUAAAAUAUAAGAUAAUAUAACUAAGUCAAGGUACAGAAUUAAAACUGAAUCAUAUCUAUCAUCACUAUAUAUAAUAAGCACAUUAAAAUAACAGUGUAACAUAAGGCAUCAACACAUGCAAUAUCAUUGGACAUAAUAAGCAUUAAAUAUUGGAAUAACAAUAUAAUAUAAAGAAUUAAUGUAUGCCAAUAUCACAGUACAAACAAGUAUUAAAUAUGGAAUAACAAUAUAACAUAAGGUAUCAACGCAUGCCAAUACCAUCGUGCAUUAGAAAUAAACAAUUCAGAAUCAUAAAGUAACACAAAUACAAUCACAAGCAAACACAAGUACAAUAUUGGCGCCCAUACACUAACUAGUGCAUAAUGUAAAGAACUCAUCACGGUGUCCCAUACCACCAGAGAGUACACCCAAGAGGAAUAUAUAGGACUCAAAUCAACAAUAUAUCUAAACUUUUUUAUUAUCCAUAGUUUUCCUCAAUUUUCAUCAAACGGACAUUUGCCAACAUUUUUAAUCAUCAUCAAUAAUCAUAAUGGAAUAACAUAUACCAAUAUACUCAUAAAUGUAACCAUACAAUCAUAUAGGAUCUAUCUCGUCAAUACAACAUAUUCACACAUUAUUAGCUAGCCAAUGCUUAAUACCCAACCAAUUACUCACUAGUCAUCAUAUAACCUCUAAUUAUUAUUUAUUCACUAUUCAUCACAUAGUAACUAUUCAUGGUUUAGCGUCUAACCAGUAUUCACUAAGUAUCCAAUAUCUAGCAUCUAGUCAAGAUUUACCACUAAACCAUACUCACCAAUUAACCAAUAUUUAUUUCUAGUCAUUACAAUUCCACUACCUAUAAUCUAACAAGAGGCUGUCAAUCACCAUUUAUUCAUUAUCUAUCUAUCAACGAACAUCCUUUAUUAACUAUCAUUAUUAAUCCCCAAAUUCCCACUUAACAACUAAUCAACAUUAUAAACUUAGUCAUUAAUAGUAACUAAUAAGAACUAUUGAUAAACCUAUUAUUCCUAACAUCUGUAAUAAUAUAAUCAUCACUAUUAAUAGCCAUCAAUGCUACUAGUCCUAUUUAUCACUAAGGUUCGCUAAUCUAUUAGUCACUAUUAGCCAUUUAAGUAAUAUCCACCCCUAAGCAUCGUUCAACCUUAAAUCAACAACUAUACCACUUUUAUACCUUAUUCACUAAAAGACUAUAAUGGUUGUCUCUAGUCUCCACAUUAUAUCCAACUACACAAGAGCGUAAAUAAAUAUAUCAUUGCCAUACAUAGGGCUACCCAGACUUGAACUAGUAGAUAUACACAUAGGAAUAUUAAUAAUCAUCUUUUGAACUUAUCGGGCAUCGUCAUAUCAUCACAACAUCAUCCAUCCACAUUGGGUAUCAUCACAUGAAAUAUCCUGGGUUUUGAACUAUAGAAAAUUUACUAGAAUUCUAUCCUCUGGACCCAAUAUGACUCAUGGGUAUGAACCGUAUGCUGGGGUACGAGUGGUAUGGUCCUGUCGUAUGCUUACCAGUGUUAGCUGGUAGGAUUUUUUUGGUCACUGUAAUAGGUAUAACUUAGGGGUAUAAGUCAUAAGGGUUUGGUACGAUUCAUAGCAAGGACUUGUAUGGUGGGCAGUAUUUGAUUCUCCUGAUAUUUUAUUCUGCUAGAGAUACGGGUUAUGGGUACAAAUCGUAUAUUAUGGUUAUGACUUAGUUGGAUAUGUCAUAUAUUGGACAGUGUUUGAUCCAAUGGUUGAGUCUUAGAUACGAGUGGUAUGUACCAAUUAUAUAGAAGGGUUCAACUCGUAUGGGUUAGUCGUAUCCCUAUAGUGGGAUUUUAAGGGAUUUAAGUGGGAGAAUUUUGGAUAUUUCCCUACUCACCCUAAUACGGACCCAUGACUUCUAAUAUACUUUGUAGGAUAUUUACCCUAUUAUUCAAUUCAUUAACACUAAGAAAGUGUUCCAAAACACUCAAUAAUUCUCUCAAGAGCUUUUGCGGCAAAAUGGCUAGGUUUCAUCUUGUAGAUUGCUUUGUGGCUUGUCUUGGUGAUCUCUUUCCAUUAAUUAUUUGGUAUAAUGCAUGAUUCUCUUCCCUUGUUGUAAUUUUAACUAAAGGCAUGGUUUAUAUGAUUAAUUUCAUGGUUUUACUAUUUCAUAAUUAUGGUUUUCAACUAUUAUUUUAUGGUUUUGAUAUUGAAUGAUUGGUUAUUGUGUCCUAUGGUUUUAAUUAUGCUUUUAUAUGCAUCAACGAGGGAUUUGGUCAAUUGGAUUGCAUGGUAAAAGUUUAAUGGUAUUUGGAAUUGAUUUUGGUUAUAUUAUGCCCCCAAGGUGUUUGAUAAAAUACUUAUAAAUAUAUGUUCAUUGCAUUGACUAUUGCAUGUUUUAAACUUGAUAAAGGAUUUAUACAUGGUUUAAAUAGUUUAAAAAGGCAAAAAGCUACAUGUUUAUAUUUGUGAAGAACAUGGAAGUCUCCCAAAUAUAUUUAAUAAGGUAAUUAGAAGGGAACUAAGGUCCCCUUAACCUAAAUGGUUGCUAUGGAUAUUACUUGUAAGUAAGGAGUGGAAUGAUGAUACCACUAAUAUUGGCCUUGGUUCAUAUAUGGUAAAUGGAUUGUUUGGACAUGGUUUUAAUUGAGGAUGUGUAGCUAAGUCGUAGAAGAUGGCGACCUCGGGGGGACCAAAAUCAGAAACUCAUAUUUAUUGAUAUGAGGGUCUUGAUGACUGUGUUUCUGUGUUAUAUUUUAUGUUGGAGGGUGUACUAGUCAUCCCAUGGUAUAUUCCCUAGUCGUGGGGCUUCUUGCACUGGGCCCUUUUAGCAGGGUAGCUGAACCCAUAUAACCUGUGGGUGGUUUAGGACAGCUAAGCUACACUACAUAGGUAUAAAGGUUUUAAAAUACAUGCUAAACUUAGUUCCCUUUCCUAGAACUUAUAUAUGUAUGGUUGUAUACAUUAUGGAUGGUUUUACUUAGUUUUAUAACUGGCAUUAUUUUAUCCUUAUCCUGAGAUUCAUGCUAGCGGUUACUCCCUAACCUUUUAUACUAGCAGUGGUAUACCCACACUAUGCAUGAACUAUCUAUUCUACUCUUUUUUCUUAGCAUGUGGAUUUGGUAUCAGCAUUUGGACUAAAGUGGUGAGCUUCCAUCCCUUCGGGAGGCAUCAUUUCAUGUUAUGGACUUCUUUAGAAACUUUUCUUUUAUUUUAGAUAUUAGUUUUGGCCAUGGUUGGGGGCAUGUCACAAUUAAAUUUGUUUACUCUUUUGGAUAGAGGCUUUAUGGUACUUCUGAGGGUUGGUAUGGGCGGGAAUGGUAGAGGCGUUAGACUUAGCAUUGGUAUUGAAAUUGAAACUGGCAUCAUCAAACAUAAUUUUUCACUGUUCUGUCAUAUUAUAUUUUCUUAUUUGUUUGGCUAUCUUUGGUGCCAGGCCAUUAGUGUGCUCUAUUUUUCUUACUGUUAGUUUUGUCCAGACCUUGGUUUUGUUUUUUCUCCCUAUUUGAGUUUAGUUUUGUUUCUUGAUUAUUUCUUCUAAUUUGUGUGAGCCUUGUAUUUCCUGCUGCUGCUUUGUUACUACUAUUAUUUAUAUUUUCUUAUAUUUUCUUAUGGUAGUGGUGGUGGGCAUUAAUGGUUGGAUAGGGUCAUGUCCGAGGGGGUUAGGGCAGGGGUUAUUAUGGAGGCAGGGGAAGAGAAAAGGGUGGGGGUGGGAGGAAGGCCAAGGUUUAGCCUCAGGGGCGGUAGAGGAAGACGUAUGGAUAGAGAUGGUAGGUUGAGGGUUGGGUCUUAGAAUAUAGGGACUCUUCAGGGUAAGUCCAUAGAGCUUGUGAAGAUUCUUAGAAAGAGGAGGAUUAAUAUUGCGUGUGUUCAAGAGACCAAGUGGGUAGGGUCUAAGGCUAGGGAUGUGGAUGGUUACAAGCUUUAGUACUCUGGGAGCGAGAGGCAUAGGAAUGGAUUUGGCAUCUUAGUAAAUAAAGAGCUUAGGGGUCGGGUAGUAGAGGUAAAGAGGAUCAGCGAUAGAUUGAUUACCAUUAAGUUGGUUAUUGGGGGUUUACCCUGAACGUGUGUAGUGCUUAUGCACAGCAAGUGAGCUUGGAUGGGGAGGAGAAGAUACAGUUUUAGGAGGCUUUGGAUGAGGUGGUGGUGAGAGGCAUGCCUAGCUCAGAGAAGAUUGUUGUAGCAGGAUAUUUUAAUGGGCACAUCGGGGCAUUAUCGGGAGGCUUUAAUGAUGUAUGUGGUGGUUUUGGUUUUGGGGAAAGAAAUAAAGAGGGGGCUACUCUAUUGGAUUUUGCAAGGUCCUUUGGGCUGGUGGUGGUAAACACGGGCUUUCCGAAGGAGGACGAUCACCUGAUCACCUUUCAAAGCAUGAUAGCCAAGACCUAGAUUGACUUUUUGUUGCUUAGAAAAGAGGAUAGGGUGUUGUGUAAGGACUGUAAGUUCGUCUUGAGUGAGAAUCUUUCGACCCAGUAUAGGCUCUUGGUUACAAAUUUUGGUAUAAAGAAGGAUAAGAAGAGAAGGGGUGAGGAGUGUAGACCUAGAAUUAAGUGGGGCAGCUUGACUCCAGUGAAUGCGUGGGAGAUAAGGGAGAAGUUGGCAUGAAUGGAGGUGUAGGAGUGUAGGGGGGAUGUGGAUAGUAUAUGGGAUAGGGUGGCUAGGUGCAUCAAAGAGAAUGCUAGUGAGGUGUUGGGUGUUUCUAGGGGUCGGGCUAGGCAUCAUCGGGGGGAUUGGUGGUGGAAUAAAGAGGAUAAGAGAAAAGUGGAGACCAAGAAAGGGGUGUAUGCUAAGUUGGUUGAGAGUAAGGACGAAGAAGAUAAGUGGGUAAAUAGGAAAGAGUACAAGUUAGCUAGGAAGAAGGCUAAGUUAGUAGUUAUGAUGGCUAAGAUUGCAGCUUUUGAGAGCUUGUAUGCGGGGUUACAGGAGAAAGGAGGGGAAAAAAGUUGUUUAGACUCACUAAGGCUAGGGAGAGGAAGGGUCAUGACCUCGAUCAGGUGAAGUGUAUUAAGGGGAAGGACAGUACAGUUUUGGUGGAUGACGGCUACAUUAAGAAUAGAUAGCAGUCGUAUUUUCAUAGGCUCUUAAAUGACGAAGGGGAUAGAGCUAUUAUGUUAGGAGAGCUAGAGCACUCAGAGAAGUGUUGAGAUUUUAGUUAUUGUAAACAUUUUAAGGUAGAGGAGGUUAGAGAGGCUGUUUGCAGGAUGUGAAGGGGUAGAGCGAUGGGGCCUAAUGAGAUACCAGUGGAUUUUUGGAAGUUUUCUGGCGAGGCUGGUUUAAAGUGGUUGACUGGAUUAUUUAACAAAAUUUUCAAGAUGGCAAAAAUGCCCGAGGCUUGGAGGUGGAGUACUAUGAUCCCUUUUUAUAAGAACAGGGGUGAUAUUCAGAGUUGCAAUAACUAUAGGGGUAUUAAGUUAUUGAGUCACUUUAUGAAGAUUUGGGAGAGAGUGGUCGAGGUGAGGCUGAGAUGGAUAGUGUCUAUUUCGGAGAACCAGUUUAGAUUUAUGCCUGGCCGCUCGAUGACGGAGUCAAUUCACCUGGUACGAAGACUGGUGGAAUAGUACAGGGAAAGGAAGAAGGACCUGCACAUGGUGUUUAUCGACUUGGAGAAGGCAUACGACAAAGUCUCCAAGGAGGUUCUUUGGAGAUGCUUGAAGGUGAGUGAAGUCCCAGUGGCAUGUAUCAGAGUAAUUAAGGACAUGUAUGAUGGAGGUAAAAGUCAGGUGAGGACGGCGAAAAGAGACUCAGAGCAUUUUACUGUCUUGACAUGAUUGCAUCAGGGAUCUACUCUUAGUCUCUUUUUCUUUGCUUUGGUGUUGGAUGUGUUGAUGCAGCGUAUUCAAGGAGAGGUGCCUUGGUGUAUGCUUUUUGCAGAUAAUUUGUUUUGAUUGAUGAGAUACGGGGGGGUGUGAAUGAUAAAUUAGAGGUGUGGAGACAAACUCUUGAGUCGAAAGGGUUUAGGUUGAGUGGGAGCAAGACAAAGUAUUUGAAAUGUAAGUUUAAUAACAUGAGGCUGGUGAAUGAGGUGGUAGUUAAGUUGGAAUCAUAGGUCGUAUAUAAGAGGGAUAGUUUUAAGUAUCUCAGGUCCGUGAUUCAGGGAUGGUGAGAUUGAUAAGGAUGUCUCACACCGUAUUAGGGCGAGAUGGAUGAAGUGGAAGCUCACUUUAGGGUGUUAUUGAUAAGAAGGUGCCGCCCAAGCUUAAAGAAAAAUUCUACAGGGUGGUAGUCCGUCCGGCCAUAUUGUAUGAAGCGGAGUGUUGGCCAGUUAAGAACUCCCACAUUUAAAAAAUAAAGGUGGCAGAAAUGCAGAUAUUGCAUUAGAUGUGUGGGCUGACUAGGGGGGAUAGAGUUUGGAAUGAGACUAUCAGGGAGAAGGUUGGUGUGACUCUAGUGGAGAAUAAGAUGUGGGAAGUCCAAUUGAGAUGGCUCGGACACGUGAUGAGGAGGGGCGUGGAUGCCCCGAUUUAUAGGUAUGAGAGGCUAGCUUUGGAUGGUUUUAGGUGGGGUAGGGGUAGGCCAGAGAAGUAUUCAGGAGAGGUGAUUAGGUGGUACAUAGAGCAGUUACAGCUCACUGAGGACAUGACCCUAGAUAGGAAGAUCUGGAGAACGCGAAUUAAGGCAAAAGGCCAGGGUCAAUUUGGGUUGUUAGUGUAAGGAAUUACUUGGUGCGGGUAUUAUUCUUAUUAUGAUACCUUAUUUCAUGUUUUAUUACGAAUCUAUUUACUUUUCUUUUUUUUCUAUUACUUGUGGGUGUCAUAUUUAUGUUAUGCCAUCUUGUUCCAUGCUUUACUAUAAUUUGGUUAGUACUCUGUGUCUCGAGCUGGGGGUCUAUCAGAAAUAGCCUUUCUACUUCUUUAGAGAUAGAGGUAUGGACUGCGUACAUCUUACCCUCCCUAGACCUCACUAUGUGGGAAUACAUUGGGUUUGUUGUUGCUGUCAUAUUAUAUUUUGGUAUAGAUUUUUAUAUUAUGUUUUGGUAUUCCAUUUGGUUUAUUGUCUAUGGUUUGGUUUGGUAUGGUUGGGCGGUUGGUGCGGUACGGUUGGACUCAGUUGUGUCGGUCAUGAUCGUGACCCUUUCCUAGAGUCUUAAUGAGAACAAUAAUGCUAUCUUAUUAUAUAUUCAAAUUCAAUCCAUCUAAGUCUAGAUAUAUGUGGUUGGGUUGGGUAAUAGGGGAAAUCCCUAGUCCUAGUUGGACUUGGGAUGCCUAUUAGAACAAGGCUCGGGGUCUAGUUAUGCCAAGUUGGUAUUAGAGCCUAGGUUCAUGGUCACUUGGGAGUCCACAAAGUCGUGUCAAGUAGAGUAUCUUUUAGGGGUGUAAAGCAUGCCACAUUCACAAGAGAAAGGCUACAAGGCAUUUAGGAAUGUUUCAUUUUCUUUGUAUUCUAUCUUCAAGCUUGAGUUCUCAAUCAUGGAAUCUCUUCUAAUACUUGUUUGCUUAUAUUUUAGAUCAUGCCUACUAGAUCUAAAACAUAAGAAAAUGCUUUUGUCCUAUCUGGGGAUAAUUUUGAAGGGGUAUGUCAUACUUUUGGAGUACAUCUUUGAUUUCAUGGUCCUAUUCCUAAUGGUGUUGGAGUUCCUUCUAUUUUUUCCAGUUCUCCUCAAGUCCCUCAGGGUAAUGUGAUGAAUGCAAAAUUUAAUUAGUCUAUUCAUAUUAUUCAACUAGUUGCUGCUCAAGCUGAGCGGGGUACAACUGGUGCUUUAUCUGCUGAGACCAUAAGGGUUGGUCAAUUUAUAAAGAUGAAUCCUCCAAGUUUUAUUAGGGUGAAGGUAGAGGAGGAUCCACAAGGCUUCUUAGAUGAUAUGGAAAAGAUCUUUUGAUUGAUAUAGGCUACUAAAGUAGAGGGGGUUAACUAUGCAGCUUAUCAACUUAAGGAUGUUGCUUAUUAGUGGUAUGAGGAGUUGGAUAGAUAUAGAGGUGAUAUAGAAAAGGAAGGGUUAUAGAAGGCCUUUUCUAAUGCCUUCUUAGAUUGGUUCUUUCCUCAAGAGUUGAGGGAAGCUAAGAUGGAGGAGUUUGUGAACCUCAGGCAGGGAAGGAUGUCAGUAAAGGAAUAUGCUUUGAAAUUCUAUUAGUUAUCAAGGUAUGCUCCUGAUUUAGUGGAUGAUAUGAGGUCGAGAAUGAGGAAGUUCGCUUUUGGGUUUAAUAGGGAUUUGAUUCUAGAGAGCAAGACUGCCUUCCUGAUUAAAUAUAUGGACAUCUCGAGGUUGACUAUUCAUAUACAGCAGGUUGAGGAUGAGAAGAGAAAGUUGGCAGAGUUUGGGAAUAGGCAGAGAAAGAGGAGUUAGUUUUCUUAUUAGGGAGGUAUAUAGUCUCAAGGUGGAAGAGAUGGUGGAAAGUGGCAGUACAAGAACUGGGGGAGUUCUGGAUCCUUUUCUACUAGUGCUCCUUAUUAGUUGGGAGAUAGGCGUCAUCAAAGUGGUGAUAAUUCUCAGGCACUGGUUUGCCAAUAUCAAGCGACCGUAGGUCGAUUAGUUUUCUUGUGUUCUCCUUGUUGAUUCUGUGGAUGUCCUCACCAGGGCUAUUAUGAGGAAACAAGGAACAAAUUCUUCAAGUGUUUCUAGGUAGGCCAUCGGCUCAGGGAUUGUUCGGUCAAUAAGGUUGCUAUGAGGGCAAAUAAGAUUCUUGUGGCUUCAUCUUCUGUUCCUACACCUGGUGGGGUGGCAUCUUCUUCUAUUAUUUCUCCUUGUUCUAGUGUUAGUCAAAAUAGGUUGUAUGCUUUGGCGUCCUAAUAGGAAUCUGAGGCAUCACCUGAUAUUAUUACGGGUACGUUACAGCUCUUCUCUUAUAACAUAUGUUAUUUACUUGAUCUGUGGUCCACUUUUUCUUAUGUGACUCCACAUAUGGAUGUGUCUUUUGGUUUCAAUCUGGAAGUUAUCUUGGAUCCUUUUUCUAUUUCUACCUCGAUAGGUGACUCGAUUAUUGCUAAGAGAGUCUAUAGGGGGUGUGUGGUAUCUGUUGGUAACAAGCAGACCUUGGCAAAUCUAUUUGAGUUAGAUAUGGUAGAUUUUGAUAAAAUUUCUAGGAAUGAAUUGGUUGCAUUCUUGUUAUGCGUCUAUAGAUUGUCGGACCCGUAAGGUUAUCUUUAAAUUCCUUAGUGAACCAAUUAUAGAAUGGGAAGGUAGUUUCUUAGCUCCUAAGGGGGAGAUUUAUUUCUUAUCUUAGAGAUCGGAGGUUAAUCUCUAAGGGUUGUCUUUAUCACUUGGUUCAGGUUAAAGAUUGUAACUCGAAAGGUCCUUCUUAGUCUUCGAUCCCUAUAGUUAAUGAGUUUCCAAAGGUCUUUCUAGAUGACCUUCCUGGUGUCCCUCCGGAUAGAGAAAUAGAGUUUGGUAUUGAUUUGCUUCAGGACACUCAUCCAAUUUGUAUUUCUCUGUAUAGAAUGGAUCCGGUUGAGUUGGGGGAUCUCAAAAAUCAACUUAAGGAUCUUAUGGAUAAGGGGGUUAUUCAUCCUAAUGUUUCUCCAUGGAGUGCACCAGUGUUGUUUAUGCGCAAGAAGGAUGGUUCUCAUUGGAUGUGCAUUGACUACAGGCGGUUGAACAAGGUGACGGUCAAGAAAAAUAUCCUCCUUCUUAGAUAAAUAAUUAUUUGACCAGUUACAAGGUGCCAAGUUUUUCUCUAAGAUAGAUAUUUCCUCUGGGUACCGUCAGCUUAAGAUUAGGGAGGUGGAUAUCCCUAAGAUGGCUUUUAGUACUCGGUAUGGGCAUUUUAAGUUCUUGGUGAUGUCAUUUGGAUUAGCUAAUGAUCCAACAGCAUUUAUGGACAUAAUGAAUAGGGUAUUUUGGCAGUAUUAGGAUCUCUUCAUCAUUGUAUUUAUUGAUGACAUUCUAGUUUAUUCGAAGAGCGAGGUGGAUCAUUCUUAUCAUCUCCGUGUGGUGUUGCAGACCUUAAAGGAACAACAGUUGUAUGCCAAGUUCUCUAAGUGUGAGUUUUAGUUGAACAUUGUGACUUUCUUGGGCUAUAUUAUUUCACUGAUGGGAUCAUGGUGGAUCCAUAAAAGGUGGUUGUGGUAAAGAGGUGGCUAGGCCCACGACUCCAUAAGAUAUUCAAAGCUUCUUGGGUUUAGCCAGGUAUUAUAGGCGGUUUAUGGAAGGAUUUUCUUUGAUAGCUGCUCCUUGACUAAGUUGACUUAGAAGAAGGUUAAGUUUUCUUAGUCGGAUGCUUGUGAAUGGAGUUUUGAGAAGUUGAAGGAUAAGUUGACUUUGACUCAAAUCCUAACUUUGUCGGAAGGCAAUAAUGGGUUUGUAUUUUAUUGUGAUGUAUCUCGGGUAGGGCUUAGUGGUGUUUUGAUGCAGCAUAGAAAGGUGAUGGCCUAUACUUCUAGGUAGUUGAAGGUACAUGAGAGAAAUUAUCCUACUCAUGAUUUGGAGUUGUUGGCGAUUGUGUUUUCUUUGAAAAUAUGUUGGCAUUAUUUGUAUGGUGUUCACAUAGAUAUCUUUUCUGAUCACAAGAGUAUUCAAUAUGUAUUCACUCAGAAAGAGCUUAAUCUUAGGCAGAGAGGUGGCUUGAGCUUCUAAAGGACUAUGAUAUGAGUCUUCACUACAACCUAGGUAAGGCUAAUAUGGUUAUUGAUAUUCUUAGCAGGUUAUCCAUGGGGAGCUUGGCUCAUGUAGAGGAAGGCAAGCAGGAAUUGGUGAAUGUUAUUCACCGCUUGGCUAAUCUUGAAGUUCAUCUCUUAGACUCUAAGUAUGGUGGUGUGAUGGUGCAAGAAGUGGUUCGAUCAUCUCUUGGUGCGAAGAUUAAAGAAAAGCAAGUGUUGGAUCCUGUCUUGAUGAGAAUCAAAGGUGAUGUUGGUAGGAAAAAGGUAGUGGUGUUUGAGAUCAGUGGUAAUGGUACUUUACUGUACUAAGAGAGGUUGUGUAUUGUUUAUGUCGAUAGGCUGUGGCAAAGGGUUUUGGCUGAGGCGCAUGAGUCGCACUAUGUUGUUCAUCCUGGCUCGACUAAGAUAUAUCAUUAUCUCAAGGAGAUCUACUGGUGGAAUGGCAUGAAGAGGGAUGUGGCUGAUUAGUGGCCAAGUGUAUGGUGUGUCAAUAGGUUAAGGUUGAACACAUGAGGCUAGGAGUGUUAUAUUAAGAAAUUGAUUGACCUAAAUAGAAGUGGGAAGUGAUCAAUAUAGACUUUGUUACCGGUCUUCCUCGGUCUCAGAAUCAGUAUGAUUUGAUUUGGGUUAUCAUGGAUCGGAUGACCAAGUCUAUGCAUUUCUUGCCAGUGUGGACUACCUUUUUACUAGAGGAUUAUGCGAAGCUAUUUACUUAGGAGAUUGUGAAGCUGCAUAGGGUACCUAUUUUGAUUAUCUCUUAUCAUGGUAUACAGUUUAUGUCUCAUUUUUGAUGGUCUUUCCAGAAAGGGUUGGGGACUACGAUUAGCUUGAGUACUGCUUUUCAUCCACAGUCGAAUAGGAAAGUAGAGAGAACUAUUUAGACAUUAGAGGAUAUUCUUAGGGCCUUUGUGAUUGACUAUGGUGUCAAUUGGGUUGAGCAUCUACCUUUGGUGGAGUUUACUUACAACAAUAGCUAUCAAUGGAGUAUUGGUAUGGCAUCUUUCGAUGUGUUGUAUAGUAAGAGGCAUAGAUCUCCUAUUAGGUGGUUUGAGCUUGGGGAGGCAGAUAUUUUUGGUUCAAAUUUGGUUUAUCAAGCGAUGGAAAAGGUAAAGGUGAUUUAGGAUAGGCUUAAAGCUACCUAAAGUCGCCAAAAUUCCUAUGUGGAUGUUAGGCACAGAGACUUGGAGUUUGAGGUCGGGGAUAGGGUGUUCCUCAAGGUGUCUCCCAUGAAGGGAGUGGUGGGGUUUGGCAAGAAGAGAAAACUCAGUCCUCAGUUCAUUGGUCCUUAUUUGAGUUUGCGGAGAGUUGGCAAUGUUGCUUAUGAGUUGGAGUUGCCAUCUAGCCUAAGUUUGUUCAUCCGGUCUUUCAUGAUUCUAUGUUGAGGAAGUGUCUUAGUGAUCGUUCUUCGGUUGUUCCUUUUGAAGGAUUGGGUAUUUUUGAUACUUUGUAUUAUGAAGAGGUCACGAUUGAGAUAUUAGAUAGGCAAGUUCGUCGAUUGCGGACCAAGGAUAUGGCUUCAGUUAAGGUUCUAUGGCGGAACCAUAAGGUGGACGAAGCUACUUGGGAAGCGAAAGAGUACAUGAAGUCCAAGUAUCUGCAUUUGUUUUCUACUCCUAGGAUUUAUGCAUAAGGUAUAUGUCUUGAACACAUCAUUAUUUUUUGAGUUUGUUAAAGGAAAGAUUAACAUCUUUGCCUCUUUGUUUUCAAACUUUGUUAAAAGGAUAUUUGAUAAUGCAAAUGACUCUGUGUGUGGUUACCCCUACCUUGUCCGUCAUUGGGGGACGAAUGUUCCUAGUGGGGGAGACUGAAACAUCCUGGGUUUUGACCCUUAGAAAAUUUCCUAGAAUUCCAUCCUCCGAACCCAAUACGACUCAUGGGUACAAGUCAUAUGUUAAGGUACGAGUGGUAUGGUCGUGUCAUAUGCUGACCAUUGUUAGUUGGUGUGAUGGUUUUUUGUCACCGGAAUGGGUAUGACUUAGGGGUAUGAGUCGUAAGGGUUUGGUACGAGUCAUAGCAGGAACUUGUAUGGUGGGCAGUGUUUGAUCCUCCUGGUAUUUAAUUCUGACAGGGAUACGGGUUAUGGGUACAAAUCGUAUGUUAUGGUUACGACUUGGUUAGAUAUUUUGUAUACUGGACACUGUUUGAUCCAAGGAUUGAGGUUUGGAUAAGAGUGGUGGGUACCAAUCGUAUAGAAGGGUACGAAUCAUAUGGGUCAGUCAUAUCCCUGUAACGGGUUUUUAAGGAAUCUAAGUGGGGGUAUUCUGGACAUUUUUCUACUUACCCUAACUAGGACCCAUGACUUAUAAUACACUUUGGAGGCUAUUUACCCUAUUAUUCUAUUCAUUAACACUUAGAAACUAUUCCAAAACACUCCAUAAUUCUCACAAGAGCUUUUCGGGCAAGAAGGCUAGGAUUUUAUCUUGCGGAUUGCUUUGGGGCUUGUAUUUGUGAUCUAUUUCCAUCAAUUCUUUGGUAUAAGGCAUGAUUCUCUUCCCUCAUUUUAAUUUCAACUAAAGUCAUGAUUUAUAUGAUUGAUUUCAUGGUUUUACUAUUUCAUGAUUAUGGCUUUCAACUAUUAUUUGGUGGUUUUGAUAUUGAAUGCUUGGUUAUGGUUUCCUAUGGUUUUACUUAUGCUUUUAUAUGCAUCAAUGGUGAAUUUGGACAAUUGGAUUGCAUGGUAAUGGUUUAAUGGUGUUGGAAUUGGUUUUGGUUAUAUUAUGUCCGCAAGGUAUUUGAUAAAACGUUUAUAAAGAUAUGUUCAUUACAUUGACUUCUUUUAAUGGAACUCUUACAUGUUUUAAACUUAAUAAAGGAUUUAUACAUGGUUUAAAUGGUUCAAAAAGGACAAAGGCUAAAUGGUUAUGUUUAUGGAGAACGUGGAAGUCUCCCAAGUGGAUUUAAUAUGGUAAUUGGAAGGGCACCUAAGGUCCCCUUAACCUAAAUAGUUUGGAUAGGAAUAUAUUUUCCAAGGGGUUGUAUGAUGAUACAACUAAUAUUGUCCUUGGUUAAUAUAUGGUAAAUGGAUUGUUUGGACAUGGUUUUAAUUAGGCAUUAAUGUAGGGGUGUGUAGCUAAGCCGUGGAAGGUGACGGUCCCAAGGGGACCAAAAUUGGAAACUCAUAUUUGCCGAUAUGAGGGGUCUUGAUGACCAUGUGUGUGUGUCAUAUUUUAUAUUAGGGUAUGUAUUGUCAUCCCAUGGGAUAUUCCCCGGUCGUGCGGCUACACAUACUGGGGCCCUUUUAGUAAGGGUAGCUGAACCCAUAUAGCUUAUGGGUGUUUUAGGACGGCCAAGCUGCACAGUCCAGGUAUAAAGGUUUUAAAUACAUGCUAAACCUGGUUCCCUUUCCUAUUACUUAUAUAUGUAUGGUUGUAUGCAUUAUGGAUGGUUUUACUUGGUUUUAUAACUAGCAUUAUUUUAUCCUUAUCUUGAGAUUCAUACUAGCGGUCACUCGCUAACCCUAUCUACUGGUGGUUGUAUACCCAUGCUAUGCAGGAACCAGUCAUUCUACUCCUCCUGUUUAGCAUGCAAAUUUGGUAUCAGCAUUUAGACUGAAGUGGUGAGCUUCCAUCCUUUCGGGAGGCAUCAUAUCAUGUUAUGAACUUCUUUAGAUACUUUUUUUUAAUUUGGAUAUUGGGUUUUGCCAAGGUUGGGGGCAUGUCCCAAUGAGAUUUGUUUACUCAUUUAGAUAGAGGCUUUAUGAUACUUCUGGGGGUUAGUAUUAGCGGGAUCGGUAGAGGUGUCAGCCUUAGCAUUGGUAUUGAUAUUGAGGUUGGCAUCAUCGUACAUAAUUUCUCACUGUUCCAUCAUAUUACAUGUUGGAAUUGAUUUUUAUAUCAUGCUUUGGUAUUCCCUUUGAUUUAUGGUCUAUGGUUUGGUUUGGUAUGGUUCGGUUGGUGUGGUAUGGUUAGACUCGGUUGGGUCAGUCAUAGUCGUGACCCUAUCCCAGAGUCUUAAUGAGAACAAUAAUGCUAUCUUGUUUAUGUUUGAAAUUCAGUCCACCUAAGGAUGGAUAAAGGUGGUUGGGUUGGGUGACAGGGGGCAAUCCCCAGUUCUAGUUGGACUUGGGAUGCCCAUUACGACAAGGCUCGGGGUUGGGUCGGGUUAUCAUAUCAUCAUAAUGUCAUCCAUCUGCACCGAGUAUCAUCAUAUCAUAACAAUAUCAUCAAACCGCAUCAGGUAUCAUCAUAAUAUCAUCCGGCGGCACCAGGUAUCAUCAUAUCAUCACCACAUCAUUUAGCCACACUAGGUAUCAUUCUAUUUUCAUGACAUCAUCUGACCGCAUCGGGUAUCAUCAUAUCAUCACAAUAUCUUCCAACCUUUUUGGGUAUCAACAUAUCAUCACAACAUCCUCUGUCCUUGUCGGGUAUCAUCAUAUCCUCACAAUAUCUUCCGGCCUCGUCAGGUAUCAAUAUAACAUCACGAUAUGUAAAUUUAUAUCAUUAAUAAAUGGCAAUCUCCGUGAGGGCUAAAGUAAAUGGAAAUUCCAACGGGGGAUAAAGUAAAUAAAUAUAAACAAGAAGCGAAGAAGAGCAUACCUCCAUAAUCCAACGUUCAUCAUCAAUUUUACUUUAUCAAUAGAUAUAUGUAUAUGUAACAAUAUAACUAUCUUUGAGUUUUCUUUAAAACUUAUAUCAUUAAUACCAACAUCUUCCUCGUCCCAUACUAGAGACAUAGGAAUAUAGGCAUGCAAAAUAAGUGGCAAAAGCAUUAGCAUAAGUAAUUAUAUAAGGAAGCAUCAUGAGUUCAAGCAUAAUCUAUCGAAUAUAUUUACAUAUAGUCAACAAAUAUGCCUUCUAGCACCAUUACCAUCAUCAUUUCUAAUAUCAACAACAAGGAAGAUUUCCAAUACGAUAUAUUAGUGUGAUUAUUAAGCAUGAUCAUAACUUGGGCAAUAGUAUAGUUAACGGCACGAACACUAGCCUAAUCAAUGGCUUAAUCAAGAGUAUAAUCAAGGACUCAUCUUUAUAUAGUAAAUUAUCUAGUUGUUUACACCAUGGGCAUAACCAUAAGCGAUAUUAUGAGGAAUAGCCCAUUAGUAGCAUAUUCAUUGGCCUAUCAUUGACCUAAAGAUAAAUUAUCAGUAGUAUGAGCAAUAGCUUAAGCAUGACAUAAUCUAUAGCUUAUUCAUAACGUGGUCGAAACACCAUUUAUGGCUUAGGCCAUAUUAUAGUCAAGACUCAUUCAAUAGCACGUUCAUUAGCCCAAAUAAUAGUUAAUCACAAUAACAUAAUAGUUUGACCUAAGCUGUAGCCAACAAGGAAUACAAAAGGAAUAAUCACUUGGGUAUUAUUCCCAAUGUCAUUCCACAUAACCAACAAGUAGCAAGGGUCAUCAAUAUUUCCUCAAUAGGGCACUCUCUAGUCAAUUGCUAAGCGUAAGAAUUCAAGUAAACUAUCCAUAAGUCUUGCCUUAAGGUGGGUCAACAAGCCCACAUCUAAAUACCCGAAUGCAUUCUAUGUCAAUUUUUACCCCAGACUAGGCUACGGUAUCUAAAUCAACUCUUAGAUGUAUAGCAAGCCACCAUAAUCCCUAAGGUAGAUAUUUUACUCAAGCACCUUUACUAAGUUCAAUGGAACUAAGGCAACCUUCUCUAGUAUUAGAAACUAAGGCCAACUUACUCUAAGUAUAAGCAACUAGAGCAUUUCACCAAAUAUUGAGUAUUCUAAAGCAUUCUCAUGCUAAACCUAAGAAAUAAAGUGUAUUCUACCUAAGUCAAAGGGAAAGAAGUCAAGCUUUUCAACUUUAAGAUUCACAUAGCCUAAAUGGUUCAACUAACCCAAGUCUUAUAUUUCAUUAAUUCAAUACUUAGAACCCAUCACAAUCUAACAAGUUAUGAUUAUAUUAUGACAUAGCUCAAUCUAAAAAGGAAUAAGCCUAGCCUAUCUCAAACCUAAAGAAUGUUCAACAAUCUGCUAAACCUUUGUUUUUUCCUUUUGAAAAGAUUCUUCAAGGUUCGAAGCUAUCAAAAAUACAAUUUGCACAUGAUAACGAGAACACUGAUACCCAUAUUGCACCAUUAUGCUUCAGGUCCAAAAAUAACACCAAAAACCCCAAGUGGGUCCCACUUGCGGAAAAUACAUUUUCGAGACUAACCCAAUGUUCAUACACCCUUAUAGAAUAGGUAAAAUUUAAGCUUAUUUAGGAUAAAAUCAAACCCUUAAGCUAUUUGGGGUUUUGGUCAAGAAUUCAAGAAAUUUAAACAUGAAAUGGAAGGAUCCAUACCUCAAAUCCAUUGUUAAUCAUGAAAUCAUAUGUUAAUCAAGAUUCUAAGUUGCACUAAGAAUUAAUUUAGGAUUGGCAUAUAAUUUUAGGGCUCCUUGGUCUUAAAGAUGAGUGGAAAUGCCCAAAAGUUUUGCCUAAAGGGCCAUUUUAUAGCCAUACCAGGCCCUCAGCUAUGGCUAUCACCAUCUAGGGAUGGUUAUCAUGCAAAGGAAAUUGUGGACACUCACAUGGAGAUCACACAAGGGCGAUCGUCAUUCCCCUUAUGCAAUUGCACACACCUCAGCACUAGCGACUUGGGAAAUUUCUAAGUUUUCCUACGACAACAUGGGAUUCAUUCAAAAUAUAAUAUUUGUAAAUGAAUUAUUAUUGUCAAUUUAUUUAGAAUCUAAUAUUCCAAAAUAAACUAUGCAACCAAACUAAAUUCAACAUUCCCAAUGAUUAGUGAAGUCAAAUUUUCAAUCCAAGUCGUUUUGAUCAAAUGUGGGUCUUACACCUAAACUUCUAAUUUUUCAAAUUUCCAACCACUCGAAAUGAGUUUGGGUGCAUUGUGACCCAAACCAAAGGUUUACUUAGCCUAAAAUUAAUAUUCCAAAGUUGCUACGAAUUAAAAACUUGAAUGUAAGAUUGUUUUACUAAUGUUUUCCCCCGGUGGCCAUCUAGAACCAGCAAAGGGUCCUAAAAUAAGGAAUUGGACCUAAAAACCAAAUAAACUACCCGGUAAUCAAACUACCAGUUCUAACAAGUCAUAAAUGACUUGGGAAGCUAUGGAUAAUCUCUAAUGGCAAAAAUAAAUGGAAUUUCAGGAAAUGACUAGCAUGAGGGCUAGAAUGAGGAAGUUUGCUUUCGGGUUAUCCCGAGACUUAAUUUUUAAAAGUAAGGCUACUUUGUUGAACAAGGACAUAGACAUCUCCAAACUAAUUGUGUAUAUGCAGUAGGUUGAGAAUUAGAAGAAGAAGUAGGUAGAGUUUGGGGAAAGGCAAAGCAAGAAGUUUAGAUGGUGGAAAGUGGCCCAAGAAGAAGUAGGGAAAUUCUACCUCUUACUUGAUUGCUAGUGAUCCCUACUAAAAGUCAUAGGGUGAUAGGUGUUUUUCAGAGUGGCAAUAAUUAUUGGGUAUAGGAUGCCCAAUCUAAGGCUAGUGGGGCCCAGUCAGCUCCAUACUAUCCUCCUCGUAGAUUUUUUGGUAGAUUGCAUCGAGGUUACUAUGAUGAGGGAAAGAAGAAGUGCUUUAACUAUGAUCAGCCAGGGCACAUGAUUAGGUACUAUCCUAUUAGUAAGGUUUCUUUUAGGUUAAACAAGGUUCUUGUUUCCUCUUCUUCAGCUCCGACACCAAACGGUGUACCAUCUGGCUCCGACACUGGUUAAAAUCAUCUCUAUGCUCUCACUACCUACUAAGAGUUUGAGGCAUAGCCUGAUGUCAUGACUGGUGUAUUGAAACUCUUUUCUUGUGAUAUAUAAUGUUUACUUGCUCGGAGGUCCACUUUUUACUAUGUGACUCUAUUUGUAGUUGUGUAUUUGGUUUUGGUCGCGAGUGUAUCUUAAACCCUUUUUCUAUUUCUACACCAAUAGGUGACUCUAUGGUGGAUAGAAAAGCCUAUAGGGGUUGUGUGGUAUCUAUGGGUGGUCCGAAAACCUUGGUGGAUCUGUUUGAAUUAGAUAUGAUUGAUUUUGAUGUCAUAUUGGGUAUGGAUUGGUUGAUCUCAUACUAUGCUUCUCUAGACUGUCGGACCGGUAAGGUUGUCUUUAAAUUCCCAUAUAGGCCAGUUAUUAAGUGAGAUGGUGGAUCCCUAGCUCCUAAGGGAAAGUUCAUAUUGUAUCGUAGAGCUAAAAGAUUAAUUUCAAAAGGAUGUCUCUAUCAUCUGGACCGGGUUAAAGAUUCUAAAUUGGAGGGUUCUUUUCUGCAUUCUGUCUUGAUGGUGAAUGAAUUUCCUAAGGUCUUCCCUAAUAACAUUCCUGGUGUUCCUCCCGAUAGGCAAAUUGAUUUUGGGAUUGAUCUUAUUUUGGACACUCCUCCUAUCUCUAUUCCCUCAUAUAGAAUGGCUCCAGCUGGGUUAAAGGUGCUUAAAGAGCAAUUAAAGAAUCUUUUAGACAAGGGUUUCAUCUACCCUAGUGUGUCUCUUUGGGGUGCAUCGGUGUUAUUUGUCUCUAAGAAGGAUGGUUCCCUUCGGAUGUGCAUUGAUUAUCGGUAAGUGAAUAAGGUGACGUUAAAGAAUAAGUACCCUUUUCCAAGGAUAGAUGAUUUGUUUGAUUAGCUGUAGGGUACUAAGUUUUUCUCGAAGAUUGAUCUUCGAUUUGGGUAUCAUCAGUUAAAAUUAAGGAGGUGGAUAUCCCUAAAACUACUUUUUGGACUCGGUAUGGGUAUUUUAAGUUUUUGUUAUGUAUUUUGGGUUGACCAAUGCCUUGGAGGCAUCCAUGGAUUUGAUGAAUAAAGUCUUCCAGUAGUUUCUGGAGAUUGUGUUCAUAGACGAUAUCCUAGUGGACUCAAAGAGUGAGGUGGAUCAUGCUAAUCACCUUCGUAUAGUGUUACAAACCCUAAAAAAGUAGCAGUUGUAUGCUAAAUUUUUGAAAUGUCAAUUCUAGUUGAACGUUGUUAUUUUUUUGGGUAUUGACAUUUCUAGCGAAGGGAUCAUGGUGGAUCUGUAGAAGGUUGUAGUAGUUAAGAAGUGGUCGGACCCACGUCUCCAAUUGAUAUUCGAAGCUUCUUGGGUUUAGCUGGUUACUAUAGGAGAUUUGUGGAGAUUUUCUCUUCUAUAUCUUCCCUGUAGACUAAGUUAACUCAAAAUAAGGUGAAGUUCUUGUGGUCGGACGUGUGUGAAGGUAGUUUUAAAAGUUGAAGAAUUAGCUAACUUCAGCUCUAGUCUUGACUUUUCCCAAAGGCAAGGAUGGAUUUGUGGUCAAUUAUGAUGCAUCACGUGUAGGUCUUGGUUGCGUCUUGAUGCAGCAUGGCCAGGUGAUAGUUUAUGCCCCUGGCAGUUGAAGGUGCAUGAGAAGAAUUAUCCUACUCAUGACUUGGAAUUGUUAGUUGAGGUGUUCGUGUUGUAAAUCUAGCAUCACUAUCUAUAUAGCAUGCAUUUGGAUAUCUUUUCUAUUUAUAAGAACCUGCAAUAUGUAUUUACUAAGAAAGAGCUUAACCUCAGGCAAAGGAGAUGGCUUGACCUACUCAAGGAUUAUGACAUGAUUCUUCACUACCAUCCAGGAAAAGCUAAUAUGGUUGCUAAUGCUCUUAGCAGGUUAUCCACGGGAAUUCUGGCUCAUGUGGAUGAAGGGAAGCGGGAGUUGUUGAAAGUUACUCACUGUUUGGUUAACCUUAGAUUUCAUCUCUUAGACUCUGAGGAUGGUGGUAUGGUUGUGCAGGAGGUGGCACAGUCGUCUCUAGGUACUGGAGUAAAGGAGAAUCAAGUGUUAAAUCCUGUCUUGGUGAGGAUCAAAGGUGAUAUAGGUGGGAAGAAGGUAAUGGCCUUUGAGAUUAGUGGUGAUGGUACCUUGCGGUGACAAGGGAGGCUAUGUGUUCCCGAUAUAGAUGGUUUGUGUGAGAGGAUCUUGGCUAAGGCACAUGAGUCGCGCUAUGCUAUUCAUCCUGGUUCAAGAAAAAUGUAUUAUGGACUUAUGGAGAUAUAUUGGUGGAUCAAUAUAAAGCGGUAUGUGACUAGUUUUGUGACUAAGUGCAUGGUAUGCCAACAAGUGAAGGUUGAGCACAUAAGGCCUGGAGGAUUGUAUCAAGAGAUUGAGUUUCCUUUAUGGAAUUGGGGCGUGAUCAACAUAGAUUUCGUUACCGGUAUUCCUCGGUGUCUAAAUCAGUUUGAUUCUAUUUGGGUCAUCAUGGAUAGGGUGACUAAGUCUGCUCACUUUUUGCCUGUAAGGACUAACUUUUCCGUGGAGGAUUAUACAAGGUUGUAUCUCUAAGAGAUUGUAAAGUUACAUGGGGUACCUAUUUCUAUCAUCUUGGAUCAUGGUACGAAGUUUUAAUCUCACUUUUGGCAGUCAUUUUAGAAAGGUUUGGGGGCCAAGGUGAGUCUUAGUACUAUUUUUCACCCGCAGUAGGAUGGUGACCCAACCUGACCAGGGGCCUUGUCGUAAUGGGCGUCCCAAGUCCAACUGGGACCAGAGACCACCCCCGUUACCCAACCCAACCUCCAGUCGUCUUUCCUAAGUUGGCUAAAUUUCAAGCAUAUAACAAGAUAGUGUAACAUCUCACAUGAAGACUAUGGAAUAGGAUCACAACUGUGACCAUCCCAAUCGAGUCCAACCAUCCCAUACCAACCGCUCAAUCAUUCCAAACCAUUCCCAAGACCAUAAAUCAGGCCAUAACCAAAUAAGUUCCAAAACAUAAUAUAAUUAAUCCCAAAAUAAAAUACAAUGGAACAGUGAGAAAUUAUGUCCAAUGAGGUCCUCCCACCAGCUUAUUCAAAUGCCAAGGCCUACACCAAUACCGAUCCCACCGAUUCCAACCCAUAGGAGUACCACAAAGCCUCUAACCAAAAAAGUAAAAAAAUUUGGUUGGUACAUGCCCCCAACCAUGGACUAAACCAAUAUCACAAAUAAAAUCAAAGUGCCUAUAAAUAUCCAUAACAUAAAAUGGAGCCUUACAUAAGGAUAGAAGCUUACCACUUCAAUCCAAAUGCUGAUCCCCGAGUCAAUCACUAUGUAGGAGGAGUAGGACGACUGGUUCUUGUAUUUUGUGUGUAUACAGCCGCUAGUAGAUGGGUUAGCGGGUGAACGCUAGCAUGAUCUCAGGAUAAGAAUAUAAUAAUGCUAUUUAUAAGGCCAAGUAAAACCAUUCAUAAAGGCAAGGAUGGAUUUGUGGUCAAUUAUGAUGCAUCACGUGUAGGUCUUGGUUGCGUCUUGAUGCAGCAUGGCCAGGUGAUAGUUUAUGCCCCUGGCAGUUGAAGGUGCAUGAGAAGAAUUAUCCUACUCAUGACUUGGAAUUGUUAGUUGAGGUGUUCGUGUUGUAAAUCUAGCAUCACUAUCUAUAUAGCAUGCAUUUGGAUAUCUUUUCUAUUUAUAAGAACCUGCAAUAUGUAUUUACUAAGAAAGAGCUUAACCUCAGGCAAAGGAGAUGGCUUGACCUACUCAAGGAUUAUGACAUGAUUCUUCACUACCAUCCAGGAAAAGCUAAUAUGGUUGCUAAUGCUCUUAGCAGGUUAUCCACGGGAAUUCUGGCUCAUGUGGAUGAAGGGAAGCGGGAGUUGUUGAAAGUUACUCACUGUUUGGUUAACCUUAGAUUUCAUCUCUUAGACUCUGAGGAUGGUGGUAUGGUUGUGCAGGAGGUGGCACAGUCGUCUCUAGGUACUGGAGUAAAGGAGAAUCAAGUGUUAAAUCCUGUCUUGGUGAGGAUCAAAGGUGAUAUAGGUGGGAAGAAGGUAAUGGCCUUUGAGAUUAGUGGUGAUGGUACCUUGCGGUGACAAGGGAGGCUAUGUGUUCCCGAUAUAGAUGGUUUGUGUGAGAGGAUCUUGGCUAAGGCACAUGAGUCGCGCUAUGCUAUUCAUCCUGGUUCAAGAAAAAUGUAUUAUGGACUUAUGGAGAUAUAUUGGUGGAUCAAUAUAAAGCGGUAUGUGACUAGUUUUGUGACUAAGUGCAUGGUAUGCCAACAAGUGAAGGUUGAGCACAUAAGGCCUGGAGGAUUGUAUCAAGAGAUUGAGUUUCCUUUAUGGAAUUGGGGCGUGAUCAACAUAGAUUUCGUUACCGGUAUUCCUCGGUGUCUAAAUCAGUUUGAUUCUAUUUGGGUCAUCAUGGAUAGGGUGACUAAGUCUGCUCACUUUUUGCCUGUAAGGACUAACUUUUCCGUGGAGGAUUAUACAAGGUUGUAUCUCUAAGAGAUUGUAAAGUUACAUGGGGUACCUAUUUCUAUCAUCUUGGAUCAUGGUACGAAGUUUUAAUCUCACUUUUGGCAGUCAUUUUAGAAAGGUUUGGGGGCCAAGGUGAGUCUUAGUACUAUUUUUCACCCGCAGUAGGAUGGUGACCCAACCUGACCAGGGGCCUUGUCGUAAUGGGCGUCCCAAGUCCAACUGGGACCAGAGACCACCCCCGUUACCCAACCCAACCUCCAGUCGUCUUUCCUAAGUUGGCUAAAUUUCAAGCAUAUAACAAGAUAGUGUAACAUCUCACAUGAAGACUAUGGAAUAGGAUCACAACUGUGACCAUCCCAAUCGAGUCCAACCAUCCCAUACCAACCGCUCAAUCAUUCCAAACCAUUCCCAAGACCAUAAAUCAGGCCAUAACCAAAUAAGUUCCAAAACAUAAUAUAAUUAAUCCCAAAAUAAAAUACAAUGGAACAGUGAGAAAUUAUGUCCAAUGAGGUCCUCCCACCAGCUUAUUCAAAUGCCAAGGCCUACACCAAUACCGAUCCCACCGAUUCCAACCCAUAGGAGUACCACAAAGCCUCUAACCAAAAAAGUAAAAAAAUUUGGUUGGUACAUGCCCCCAACCAUGGACUAAACCAAUAUCACAAAUAAAAUCAAAGUGCCUAUAAAUAUCCAUAACAUAAAAUGGAGCCUUACAUAAGGAUAGAAGCUUACCACUUCAAUCCAAAUGCUGAUCCCCGAGUCAAUCACUAUGUAGGAGGAGUAGGACGACUGGUUCUUGUAUUUUGUGUGUAUACAGCCGCUAGUAGAUGGGUUAGCGGGUGAACGCUAGCAUGAUCUCAGGAUAAGAAUAUAAUAAUGCUAUUUAUAAGGCCAAGUAAAACCAUUCAUAUACACACAACCAUACAUAGAUAUAUAAAACCAUGCCAGGAAAGGGGACCGGGUUUUGCAUGCAUUUAAAACCUUUACAUGGAUUGUGUAGCUUUGCCGUCCUAAACGACCCAUGAUCUAUAUGGGUUCAACUCCCCCUGUUGAAAGGUCCCUAGUGUGUGUAUCCGUACGACCAGGGAACAAAACCUUGGAUGACUAGUAUGACAUCAUGCACACGGUCACCAAGACCAACCUCACAUUAGUAAAUAUGAGUUUCCAGUUUUGGUCCCCACGAGACCUCAACCUUCCACAUCUUUUCUACACACCCCGCCAUUAUUUCCCAAUUAAAACCAUUACCAAGAAACUAACCAAUCCAUUAGCCAUUUAUUAACCAAGGCCAUUAGUAAUGGUAUCGUCAUACCGACUAUACUUUCAAGUAAUAUCCAUAGCCAACCAUGUAUAUGUUUAAGGGAUUCCAUGCACCCUUUGAUUAACCUAACAAUAUUAAACUACUUAGGGGAUUCCCAUGUACCCCACAAGCAUAACAAAUUUUAUAACCACCAAGGGUGUACCAUUUAAUCCUUCCAAACCAUGUACACCAUUCAUACCAUUUAAAACCAUUCCAAACCAUUUAUGACCAUGCAAAAAAUUUAAAGCAUUUACGCCAUUUAAAUCAUGCAAAACCAUCAAAGUCCAUUUAGGUUUCCAUUACAAAACAAAACUAUGCAAGAGUUCCAAUGAAAGUUCAACAGCAGAGAGAAAACAUUUUGUAGGCAUUUUAUCAAACAUGUUGAGGGCAUACCUUUAUCAAGACCAAAACCAAUGUAUAAACCACCAUAAUUAGGGUUACUCAAGACCCAUUUGUUAAACCAUAACCAAAAAAUACCAACAUAUACAAACCAUUACCAAAAAUAUGUAAAAACAUAAUUUAUACCAAUACCAAACCAUAUGCAUCAAGACCCUCGACAUAUAUUUUGAAAACCACUAUUCAAGAUUCAUAAAUCAAUGUUUGAAACACAAUACUCAUGCCUUUAGUUAGAACUAAUAAUAAGGGAAGAAGUAUAUGCCUUGAACCAAAAUGAUGAUGGAAAGAGAUCACCAAGACAAGCCCCAAAUUAAUCCUCUAGUUGAAACCCUAGAUUUCCUUUCCCAAAAGCUUCUGAGAGAAUUAUAGAGUGUUUAGAAAGAGUUUCUGAGUUUUAAUGAAUGGAAUAAUAGGGUAAAUAACCUCCCAAGUAGGUUAGAAGUCGUGGGACCUUAUUAGGAUAAAUGGGAAAAUGUCUAGAAUACCCCAACUUAAGUUGUAUAAAAUCUCAUCACAGGUGUCCGACUGACCCUCAUGAGCCGCACCCUCCAAUAUGAUUAGUACCCUCCACUCGUAUCCUAGCCUCAACCAUUGGAUCUAACACUGUCCAAUAUAUGACUCAUCCAAUCAAGUUGUAUCCAAAGCUUACGAUCCAUACCCUUCAUCUGUACCCCUGGCAAAUUAAACCCAAGGGAGAUUUAGACAUUGUCCACCAUACGAGUCCACAGUAUGACUCAUACCCUAGUUUAUGGCUCUUGGUGAGCCACUCUUACUCAGAUCCAACAUAAGUAACCUAGUCUAAGAUUAAGUUAAGGAACCAAAACAAUCCAUACCCACCAAUACGACUUGUACCCCUAAGUCGUAUCCAUUUCAGUGACUAAAAUUCAUCCCACCAACCAACAAUGGUUAGUAUAUGAUAGGACCAUACCAUUCAUACCCCUUCAUACGGCUCGUACCCAUGAGUCGUAUUGGGUCCAGAGACCAGAAUUCCAGGAAAUUUUCUAAGCGUCAAAACCCAGGGUGUUAUAGUCUCCCCCACUAGGAAUAUUUAUCCCCGAAUGAUGAAUAAGUUAGGGGUAACCACACGCAUGAGUCAUUUGCAUUAUCUUAUCAAAUAUAUUCCCUAUCUUUAACAAAGUUUGAAAACAAAGUGGCAAAUAUAUUAAUCUUUUCUAUAAUAAACUCAAAAAAUAAAGAUGUGUUAAAGACACAUACCUUCCGCAUGAAUCCCAGGAGCAGAAAACAAAAGCGGAUAUUUGGAAUUCAUGUCCUCCUUCGCUUCCCAAGUAGCCUUUUAUGCCUUGUGGUUCCUCCAUAGAACCUUAACCAAAGCCACAUCCUUGGUCCACAAUCAACAAACCUUUCUUUCCAAGAUCUCAAUUGAGAUUUUCUCAUAAGAUAGAGAAUCUGUCAUACCCAAUCCUUCUAAAGGAACAACCAAAGAAGGAUCACCAAUAUACUUCCUCAACAUGGAAACAUGAAAGAACGGAUGAAUCAAGCUCAAACUAGAAGGAAAAUCCAGCUCAUAAGUAACAUUACCAACUCUCCACAAAAUCUCAUGAGGACCAACGUACCAGGGACUAAGAUUCCCCUUCUUACCAAACCACAUUACUCUCUUCAUAGGAGAUAUCUUGAGGAAAACCUUAUCCCCAAACUCAAACUCCAAGUCUCUAUGCCUAACAUCUGUAUAGGACUUUUGUCGACAUUGGGAAGCCUUAAGACUAUCUCGAUCACCUUCACCUUCUCUAUAGCCUGGUAAACCAAGUCAGGACUAAACAUGUCCACCUCACCAAGGUCAAACCACCCAAUAGGAGAUAUACACCUCCUACCAUACAAUAUUUCAAAAAGAGCCAUACCAAUACUAGAAUGAUAUCUAUUGUUGAAAGCAAACUCCAGCAAAGGUAGAUGCUCAACCCAACUGCCACCAUAAUCAAUCACGCAAGCUUGAAGCAUAUCCUCUAAUGUCUGAAUAGUUCUCUCCGUUUUUCCAUCUAUCUACGGUUGGAAAGAAGUACUCAAACUAACCUUAGUCCCCAAUCUUUUCUAAAAAAAUCUCCAUAAGUGAGACGUAAACUGAAUGCCAUAAUCAGAAAUAAUCAAAACAGGUACCCCAUACAGCUUUACAAUCUCUUUAAGAUAUAACUACGCAAAAUCCUCUACCAAGAAGGUAGUUCGCACUGGUAAAAAGUGGUCAGAUUUAGUCAUCCUAUCCACGAUGACCCAAAUUGAAUCAUAUUGAUUUCGAAACUGAGGAAGACUGGUAACAAAGUCCAUAUUGAUCACUUCCCAUUUCCAUUCAGGCAAAUUAAUUUCUUGAUACAACUUUCCUGGCCUUAUAUGCUCAACCUUAACAUAUUGACACACCAUGCACUGGGCUACAAAAUCAACCGCAUCCUUUUUUAUGCCAUUCCACUAAUAGAUCUCCUUGAGAUCAUGAUAUAUCUUAGUCAAGUCGGGAUGAAUAACAUAAAGUGACUCAUGUGCCUCAUCCAAAAUCCUUUGUCAUAAUCCAUCAAUAUUAGGAAUGUACAACCUCCUUUGGUACCAUAAAGUACCAUCACCACUGAUCUCAAACACUACUACCUUCUGCAUACCCAUAUUACUUUUGAUUUUUAUCAAGACAGGAUCUAUCACUUGCUUUUCCUUAAUCUCCGUACCAAGAUAUUACCAAACCACUUCCUACACCAUCACACCACCAUCCUUGGAGUUCAAGAGGUGAACUCCAAGAUUAGCCAAGCGAUGAAUAUCCUUAACUAAUUCCCACUUUUCUUCCUCUACAUAAGCCAAACUUCCAAUGGUUAACCUUCUAAGAGACUCAGCAACCAUGUUAGCUUUACCUGGGUAAUAGUAAAGACUCAUAUUGUAGUCCUUGAGAAGCUCCAACAAUCUCUUCUACCUGAAAUUAAGCUCCUUCUGAAUGAACAUAUACUGUAGACUAUUAUGAUCAGAAAAUAUAUCCACGUGUACACUAUACAAAUAAUGCAGCCAUAUUUUCAAAGCAAAGACAAUCGCCAAUAGCUCCAAAUCUUGAGUAGGAUAGUUUCUCUCAUGUACCUUCAACAUCCUGGAAGCAUAGGUAAUCACCUUCUUAUGCUGCAUGAACACAUAACCAAGCCCUACCCGAGAUGCAUCACAAUAAACCAUAAAGCCAUCAUUGCCUUUCGGCAAAGUUAGAAUUUGAGCUGCAUUUAACUUAUACUUCAACUUAUUAAGACUUCCUUCGCUGGAAUCCAACUAAGAUAACUUGACCUUCUUGUGAGUCUACUUAGUCAAAGAAGCAACUAUCAAUGAAAAUAUUUCCACAAACUGCCUAUAAUACUUGGCUAAACCCAAGAAGCUUUAAAUAUCGAAUAUAGUCGUGGGUCUAGUCCACCUCUUCACCACAAUAACCUUUUGAGGAUACACCAUGAUCCCCUCACUAGAAAUAAUAUAACUAAAAAAAGUUACAGCAUUCAACCAAGACUCAGAUUAAGAGAACUUGGUGUAAUACCCCAUAAAAUCCUCUUCCAAUUUGAGCCUUAGAGCGUAUUUGGUAAAGCGAAAAUCUGAGUCAAAAUGUUUCAAAAAUAUCCUUCCAAGUAUGAAAUACUUUGAAUCAUGUGGGAAUCUAUUUGAGCAUGAAUUAAGAUCAUAGAGGUCCCCUAACUCAUGAACGAGUUGAAAACUUUUCUAUCGCUCAAGUUUUAGUGACCAUCCAAAUUUGGGUCAACUUCAAUCGAACAUAACUCAUUGUAUAUUAAUAAAUGGAUAGUUUUCUAUAUAUAAAAUGAAAUAUCUUUGAAUUAUCUUUUCAACUAUACCAAUUUUGCCUAAAUCCAAUAUCGGAGCAAAGAUUUAUGCCCAUUUUAAUCCAGCAUGUCAAGCUGAAAAAUGGUGACGACGUUACUAAUGGGAUAUCACAUUUCUGACACCUUUUCUGAUGAUGUCGUCACAUUUUGACAACAUUUCUGAUUAUGUCGUCAGCCCUAGGCAGAAAAUCAAGAAUUUGGACCCCUUCUGUGAUGACCAUUCGUGAUGGCCGAUCACAGACCUGACGGCCUAUCACGGAUGGCGUCAAGUAUAUUUUUUCAGCAAUUCAAGGGAAUUUUUGUAAGGGUAUUUUGGUCAUUUCCCACCUUUUUUUAGCCUCUAUAAAUAUGAGAAACCCUCAUUCAAACCCUAAUUCCAUCAUUUUCUUUUCCAAUUCUCUUCAGAAUAUCUAGGGUUUCAAUCAAGAACCCUAAUCUUACAAAAAUCAUCCAUAAAUCUUCAAGGUUUCUUAAAGAAUCAAGUUCCUCAUAGUGUGGGCUUCAAGAAUUUAUUUAUUUCAAGUGUGGAUAAAGUUUCAAGCACUAUAGUACAUCCAAUUUCAAAGGUUAAGGUAUGUAGAUGUUGAUUCUUGGGUCCCUUUCAUCCAAGAAGCUCAAGAACCCUUUUUAAAACAAAAAGAUUUUUAUGUUUAUGAGUUGUUAAUGAUUUGUAUGAGUUGAAAUGGAUGUUUAAUGUAUUGUUGAGUUUUGAUUUAUGUUUGCCUACAAAAUUUAUGAGCUUUGACCCUAGUAUGUGGAAUUCAUGUGAUAUUUGUGAUAGACCCUCUUAAAGUUGUUUUUCCAUGUGAUGUGUUCAUGACUUUUGGGUGUAGAAAUGGUUGAAUAAGUGAAGAACAUUCUCCAUAGGUUUGAUAAAGAGCUUAGGUGAAGCAUAAGGGCCGCUAUAGUAUGUUGAAUAGGAAACUCCAAAUUGUGAGCUAGUCCAUGCAUGCCUAGUGUUUGAUAAAAUGCCUUAGCAAGUGAAAUGUGCCAAGAUAGCAAGAAAUCCCCAAGUAGGUGUAAAAUCGGUCAUGUCUAGUGGUUGUUGAAAGACCCUAGUGAACAAGUUGAGAUAUGAUGGUUGUAAAUCCCCCAAUUUUGUGCUCUUUGAUAUAUGCUAUGCUUUUAAUACAUGUCAAGUGGUUAGCAAGUAAAUAGUGACGUGUUAGUAUGAAGUUUUCCCCAAACCAAGUGAUAUCCAAAUACAUAACAAGACCAAUAUAGGUAUGAAGUAUUUGAUAUAAGAUCUCGUUGAAUAGGGCAUAAUCUAAUAGCAUGUCUUCCCUAGGCUAGUAUAUGAUGAUGAAUAGAGGUCUAUGUUUCCUAAAUGCUUAAUGCAAUGUCCUAAGGAUCUUAAGAGGGAAAGUAUGUUGUGAUGCCCAACUACUCGAAGUAAUUCUUUAAUGAUUGUGAUAAUAUAUGAAUGAUUGUAAUGAUGAAUGAAUGCUUGUAAUGAUGAAUGAAUGAUGGUAGUGAUGAAUGGAUGACCGUGAUGAUGCAUGAAUAAUUUAUGAUGAAGAAUGAUUAUGUCUUACUUUUAUGUUAUUGAGUCCUGGGGGUAUUUAUACCCUAAAAUAGAGUUUUUUUCUAGAGCUUGUGUCAGUUUCUCGAUAAUUCCAAUCGAGCCAUGAUUCUCAAAACUCAGUGAACUAUAGAACUCUGUUUCCUUAGACAAGUGCGAAGCUUAAUAAAGCUCGGUAAUCUGAGUUAUCUCUGUAAUCUCUGUAUCGCUAGUAACCUAGCCUCAGACCUGCAAUCAGUUCAGUUCUAAUAGUAUUCGAGUGAUUCAAUCCUAAUCUUAGAAGCGAUUUGAGUAAUCCAUGCAAGCUCUGUAUCGUCAGUCAGAUACCAUGAUUCGAUAUCUUUUCCGUCAAAUAUGAAAACAAAUGAUCUCAGCAUAACUCAGUCAGACCUUUUGAGUAGUAUGAUCAGUGUUAGAUUCAGUUCAACCAGUGUUCAGUUGAGAAUUCAGUUCUAAGUCUUUUAGUUGGGAGAGAAACUAGCACCGAGUGAGCUCAAGGAUGGGAGCUCACCAGCUAGUAGAUGGUGUGAUUCUUAGAAGCAAUCCUUGUGCUCCAGAACUAUGUAUCCAGCUUAGGUUGAGAUAUCACACCUAUUAGUUGAGGGUGGAUGAGAGACAUCAUACCUGCUAGAUGAGGAUAAAGGAGGUGGCUUGACCUGCUAGAUAAGGGCUCCACCAUUCUCGUUUGAGGACCUGCUAUAUAAGGGUCACAUAGAGUAGUCUUUACCAGUGGCGCGAUAAUGACACCCUUCCAACUGGGCAUGAGUUGGACCCCAUAUGUGGUAGGUCAGGGAAUGUCGGUUAAGUGACUACUUCCCACAGUUUUAGUUUCAGAUUCAGUCUCAGUUUCAGAAUUAGUCUUCAGAAAUCAGGACUGUCAGAUACAGUCAUCUAUCAUUAUGAGGAACUUAUAUAGUUCCAUUGAUUUAUGGACCAUCCCAUCAGAUAGACUUGGUCUUACAUACAAUUGUUUGAUAUUAUACUCAGAGAUAUGCUGUCAGCUAGGCUUGAUCACAGUAUCAUAUUUCUAUUGAGUAUUCUUGUUGUCAGAUUCAGAUAUAAUCAUAUUUUUUAUCAUUGAUAAAGCUUCCAAAAUCAUCUAUUAGAAAGGUUGAUCUCUAAUCUUGUAAGUCGAAAGUAGUAAGUCCAAGAAUUCAGUCAUUGAUGUAAGCACAUCCAGAUCCUCAGUUAUCAAUAUCAGAUGAGUCAGUGAUUCAGUAUCUCAAUGUCAGUAGUAAGUUCAGUCUGCAGUAAAGUAGUAUUUGAGUUUCAGCAUCUAAAGUUGCGAUAAUUGUGUUCAUGUUCUGUGCAUUCAUGUAUGUGUUCUCAUGCGGCAUUUUCAUGAUUAUUCCAUUUAGAUAUUAUGCUUACAUGAACCCUUGCAUUAGCCUACCCGUCUACAUACUCGGUACAUUUUUGUACUGACGUAUUUGCUCUAUGGUGUUUUAUUUCACACCACAGGUUCAGAGGCAUAUGAUCCAGUUUUUCCUCAGCAGUUCAGUCCCAGUCAGCAGCAUUAGCAGUGAGUCUUCUUCCUCCGAGGACGAAUUUUAGUGUACUAUUAUUGCUUAAGACUUUGUUUAUUUUUAGUUAACGGAGUUAGUUGGGGACAUGUCCCAUCAAAUCCAUAGUUCAGACAGUUUGAGGCUUUUCAGACGGAUGUAUGAGUAUUCAAUUUUCAGUUUUGUGUAUGUAUAGAUGUGUUGAACCUUAUGGAAAGUUUCCGUAUUUGUUUAGAUAUUAUGCAGUGUACAGCUACAGAUAUUAGAAAAGGGUUAGCUUGUGGUCCUUUGGGUCCAUAAGCACCGUGUGACAUCUCGGGAUGGGAUCUUAGGGCGUUACACUUGUCAUAUAACUAUUGUUCCUUUAAGGCCUUCAACACCACACGGAGAUGAUUAGCAUGAUCCACCUUACUCUUUGAAUAAACCAGAAUGUCAUUAAUAAACACAAUAAUGAAGAGAUCCAAAUACUGAUGAAAAACCCUGCUCAUCAGAUCCAUUAAUGUCGCUGGACCAUUAGUCAACCCAAAUAACAUUUCCAAAAACUCAAAGUGCCCAUACCGAGUAUGAAAAGUCAUUGUAGGGAUAUCCGCCUCCCUAAUCUUUAGCUGAUGGUACCCAAACCAAAUAUCUAUCUUAGAAAAUAACUCGGCACCUUGUAACUAAUCAAACAAAUCAUAUAUCCUUGGAAAAGAAUACUUGUUCUUAAUAUUCACCUUGUUCAACUGCCGAUAGUCAAUGCACAUAUGAAGGGAACCAUCUUUCUUGCGCACAAACAACAUAGGUACACCCUAUAGAGACGCACUAGGACAAACAAACCCCUUAUCCAGAAGAUCAUUAAGUUGUUCCUUGAGUUCUCUCGACUCAGAUAGAGCCAUUCUAUAUGGAGGAAUAGAAAUCAGAUGAGUGUCCAAACCCAAGUCAAUACCAAACUCUAUUUCCCUAUCAAGAUGUACACCAGGAAGAUCAUUCGAAAAGACCUCUAGAAACUCAUUAACCACUGGAACUAACUGGAAGAAGGACCUUCUGAGUAAGAAUCUGUAACCCAGACUAUGUGAAUCUGUAACCCAGACUAUGUGAUAAAGACAACCUUUAGAGAUUAACCUCUGAGCUCUAAUAUAAGAAAUAAAUAUCUCCCUAGGAGCUAAAGAACCACCCUCCCAUUCUAUAACUGGCUCACCAGGGAACCUAAAGAUAACCCUACGGGUUCGACAAUCCAAGGACGCAUAAUAAGAGUGAAACCAAUGUAUACCUAGAAUGAUAUGAAAAUCCACCAUACCCAACUUAAACAGAUCCACUAAGGUUUGCUUGCCACCAAUAAAUACCACACACCCCAUAUAGACUCCUUUACCAAUAACUGAGUCACCUACUGGGGUAGAAAUAAAAAAAGAAUCCAAAAUAACUUCUGGAUCAAAACCAAAAGAUACAACCAUAUAAGGAGUCAUAUAGGAGAGAGUGGACACCAGAUCAAGCAAAUAAUAUAUGUCAUGAGAGAAAAUCUAUAAUGUACUAGUAACAAUCUCAAGUGAUAACUCAAAUUCCUAUCUAGAUGAUAAAGUACACAACCUAUUUUGACUAACACUAGAACUAGGAGCAGUAACAAAAGUGGAUGCAACACCACUAGGUGUAGGAGCAGAAGAUGAAGUCACACGAAUCUUAUUCACCCAUGUAACAACCUUAUUAACUGGACAAUCCCUGAGUUGAUGGCCUGCCUAGCCACACUUGAACCAUUUGUUCCUUCCUUCAUUGUAAUAACCCCGAUAAGGACAGUCACAGAACUGACAAAGAGGAGAUGAAAAAACUAACUAACCUCUACUUGCCUGAGAUUGGUCACCCUGUGCAUAAAAAUUGUCACCACCUUGAUGACGCCUGUUUCCCGACUGGUAAGAAGCACUAGUACAAAAGAAGGAACCAAAACUCCUCUACUUUUUUCUGCCAUUUGCCACUAUCCCAACCACCUUGAGCCUGAGCACCUCCCUGGUCAAAAAACCUGCUCCUCUUACACUAUCUAUCUCCAACUCUACUUAUUUCUUCUUCUCAUCCUCUAUCUGUUGCAUAUGAAUAGUUAACCUAGAGAUAUCCAUAUCUUUAAUUAGUAAGGUAGUCAUGCUUUCCAAAAUCCAAUCCCAAUUCAACCUAGAAGCGAACUUCCUCAUUCUUACCCAUAUGUCAGCCACUAAAUUAGGAGCAUAUAUUGACCACUGGUGAAACUUCAAAACAUAUUUCUUGACAGAAAUCCUCUCCUGUUUGAGGUUCUCAAACUCCUUCAUCUUUCCUUCCCUCAACUCUAAGGGAAACAAAUAAUCUAAGAAGGCCUUAGAAAAAGUCUCCCACAAGAUUGAUUCUUCCAUAUCACCCCUAUUAUUGUCCCACUCUCUAUUCUAUUGAUAUGCAAUAUCUUUAAGCUAAUAAGCUGCAAAGUUUACCCCCUCCACAUUGGUAGCCUACAUCACCCAAAUUAUUUUUUCUAUUUUAUCAAAGAAGACUUGUAGAUCCUCCUCCAUCUUUACUCUAGAAAAAAUAGGAGGACCAUCUUCAUAAAUAGGCCAACCCUUGUAUCCUCAGCAGAUAAAGCACCAGUCGCACAUAGCUUAGCUUAAGCAGCGACCAUCUAAGCAAUAAUGUGAAUAGACUGACGGAAUUCCGCAUUAGUUACCUUAGCUUGAGGAGGACUAGUAGCGAUCGGUGGAACUCCAAAAAUAUUAGGGAUAGGACCAUGAGAUCAAAGAUAAACAACAAAAGUAGGAUGAACCCCUUCAAUAUUACCCCCAGAUACGAUAGAAGAAUUUUCUUAUGUUCAAGAUCUAUUAGCCAUAAUCUGAAAGACAAAAAAACAAGGAUUAGAGAAGAUUCUAGGACUAAGAUCCCAAGCUUGAAAAUAGAAUACCAAGAAAGUGAGACAUUCCUAAAUGACUUAUUACCUCACUCAGAUGAGUGUGGCUCGCUACACACCCCUAAAAGAGGCUCUACUCAAAACAGCUUUGUGGACUACCAAUUGACCAUGAACCUAGGCUCUGAUACCAACUUAACAUGACCUGAUCGGGGGCUUUGUCGUAAUGGGCAUCCUAAGUUUGACUGGAAUCGGAGACCAACCCUGUUACCCAACCCAACCUCUAGCCACCUGCCCUGAGUUGGCUGAAUUUUGAGCAUAUAACAUGAUAGUGUAACGGCUCACAUGAAGACUCUGGAUAAAAUUAUAAUCGUGACUAGCCCAAUUGAUUCCAACCAUCCUACACCAACCGCCCAAUGGUACCAAACCAUUCCAAAGACCAUAACCCAAUAAGUUCCAAAACAUAAUAUAAUUAAUCCCAAAACAAAAUAUAAUGAAACAGUGAAAAAUUAUGUCUAAUGAUUUCAUCCCACUAGCUUAUUCCAAUGACAAGGUCAACACCAAUAUUUAUCUCGCCCAUUCCAACCCAUAGCAGUACCACAAAGCCUCUAACUAAAAGAGUAAUAAAAUCCAGUUGGGAUAUGUCCCCAACCAUGGCCAAAACCAAUGUCCAAAAUAAAAUUAAAGUGUCUAAAAAUAUCCAUAACAAGAAAUGAAGCCUUUUAAAAGGAGGGAAGCUCACCACUUUUGUCCAAAUAUUGAUCCCUGAGUCAAUCACUAUGUAGGAGAAGUAGAACGGUCGUUUCCUACAUAGCAUGGGUAUACAACUGUCAAUAGACAGGGUAGAGGGUGAAUGCUAGCAUGAUCUCAAGAUAAGAAUAAAAUAAUUCCAUUUAUAAAGUCAAGUAAAGCCAUCCAUAUGCAUACAACCAUAAAUAUAUAUAUAUAUAACACCAUGCAGGAAAAGGGGACCGAGUUUAGCAUGCAUUUAAAACCUUUACCUAGACUGUGUAGCUUUGUCGUCCUAAACUACCCAUGCGCUAUAUAGGCUCAUCUUCCCCUGUUAAAAAGUCCCUAGUGUGUUUAGCCGCAUGACUAGGGAAUAAAACCUGGGAUGACUAGUACAUCCCCCAUAAUAUAGUGUGACAUUUUGCUCACGGUCACCAAUAACCUCACAUCGGCAAAUAUUAGUUUCCAGGUUUGGUCCCCCCAGGGAUAUCCACCUUCCACGGCUUUGCUACACACCCCCACCAUUAUUGCCUAAUUAAAAUCAUUACUAAGCAACCAACCAAUCCAUUAACCAUUUAUUAACCAAGGCCAUUAGUAGUGGUAUCAUCAUACGAAUUAUACUUACAAGUACUAGUCAUAGCCAAUAAUGCAUAUGUUUAAGGGAUUCCAUGUACCCGUCCAUUAACCUAACCAUAUUAAACCACUUAAGGGAUUCCUAUGUACCCCACAAGCAUAACUAAUUUCAUAGCCACCAAGGCUUUACCAUUUAAUCCUUCCAAAUCAUGUACACUAUUUAUACCAUUUAAAACCAUCCCAAACCAUUUAUGACCAUGCAGAACAUUUAAAGAAUUUAUAUCAUUUAAACCAUGCAAAACCACCAAAACAUAUUUAGGGUUCCAUUACCAAACCAAACUAUGUAAAAGUUCUAAUAAAAGUUCAACAAUAGAGUGAACAUAUUCUUUUAGGCAUUUUAUCAAACAUGUUGAGGGCAUACCUUUACCAAGACCAAAACCAAUGCAUAAACCACCAUAAUUAGGGCUACUUAAGACCCAUUUGUUAAACUAUAACCAACAAGUACCAACAUAUGAAACCAUUACAAAAAAUAUGUAAAAACAUAGUUUAAACCAAUACCAAACCAUAUGCAUCAAGGCCCUCAACAUAUAUUUGGAAAACCAUUAUUCAUGGUUCACAAUCAAUGUUUAAAACACAAUAUACAUGCCUUUAGUUGGAACUAGAAAUAAUGGGGGGAGUACAUUCCUUAAACUAAGAUGAUAAUGGAAAUAGAUCACCAAGACAAGCCCCAAAUUAAUCCUCUAGUUAAAACCCUUGCUUUUCUUGACCAAAAGUUUUUGGGGGAAUUAUAGAGUGUUUAGAAAGAGUUUAUAAGUGUUAAUGAAUGGUUAAGUGGAGAAAUAUCCAGAAUACCCCCACUUAAGUUGCAUAAAAUCUCAUCACAGGGGAACGACUGACCCUCAUGAGUCGCACCCUCCAAUGCGAUUGGUACCCUCCACUCAUAUCCUCACCUCAACCUUUGGAUCCAAAAUUGUCCAGCAUAUGAAUCAUCCAACUAAGUCGUAUCCAAAGCUUACAAUUUGUACCCUUUAUCUGUACCCCUAGCAAAUUAAACCCAAGGAAGAUUUAGACAUUGUCUACCAUAUAAGUCCAUGGUACAACUUUUACCAUAGCUUACAGCUCAUAGUGAGCCACUCGUACUCAGAUCUUACCUAAGUAACUAAGUCUAAGAUUAAGUUAAGGAACCAAAAUGAUCUGUAUCCACCAAUACGACCUGUACCCCUAAGUCAUAUCUAUUCCAGUGACCAAAAUCCAUCCCGCCAACCAAUACUGGUCAAUAUAAGAUAGUACCAUACCAUUCGUACCCCAUUAUAUGAAUCAUAUCCAUUAGUAUUAUUGGGUCUAGAUACCAAAAUUUUGGGAAAUUUUCUAAGGGUCAAAACCUAGGGUGUUAUAGAUGGGCAAUCUAAAAGGACUAUUCUGGCAUUAGAAGACCUUCUUAGAGAUUGUGUAAUUCACUAUGGUGGUAGUUGGUUUGAGAAUUUUCCUUUUAUAGAGUUUGCAUACAAGAAUAGCUGCAAAUCUAACAUUGGGAUGGCUUUGUUUAAGGCAUUAUAUGGUAGGAGAUGUAGAUCUUCUAUAUGGUGGUUCGAGGUUGGUGAGGUGGAAAUAUUUAGCCUAGAUUUAGUUCACUAAGCUAUGGAGAUGGUGAAGGUGAUUUGGGAUAUACUUAAGGCUAACUAAUGUUACCCAAAGUCCUAUGCGAAUGUGAGGUAUAGGAAGUUAAAGUUUGAGUUUAGGGAUAGGGUGUUCAUGAAGGUAUCUCCCAUGAAGGGAGUGAUGAAAUUUGGGAAGAAGCGGAAACUUAGUCCCCGAUAUAUUGGUCCAUACUUAAUUUUGAGAAGGGUUGGUAAUGUUGUGUAUAAGUUGGAGUUGCUUUCUAUAUUGGUCUCUAUUCACCCGAUAUUCUAUAUUUCCAUGUUCAGGAAGUUCAUGGGUGAUUCAUUGCAAAUUAUGACUAUCAAGAAUAUUAGUAUUUUGGAUUCUCUAUUGUAUAAGAAGGUCUCUAUUAAGAUCUUGGAUUGGUAGGUUCAUCAGUUGUGGACCAAGGAUGUAGCUUUAGUAAAGGUUUUAUGGAGGAACCAUAAGGCUUAAGAGGCUACAUGAGAAGCUGAGAGGACAUGAAAUCCAAGUAUCCAUUGUUUUUUUCCGCUCCAAAAAAUCAUGUGUAAGGUAUGUGUUAUUCUUAACAUCUUUAUUUUCUAACUUCGUUAAAGGUAAGAGUAGAUUGUGAAUUCCUUGGUAAUCAGUUUUUUGUCUUAAAGGUAAGCGUAGGGUUGUUUGGGGGUUUAAUCGUGCUAGUCACUACUUUGUCCCAUCAUUUGAGGAUAAAUGGUCCAAGUGGGGAAGAAUUAAACCACCCAGGGUUUUGGCCCUUGUAAAAUUCCUGAGCUUUAAGCUCACUGUCCUAGUAAUGACUUACUAUACGAGUCAUAUGGUGUGGGUACAGGUCAGGCAUCCCUACUCAUAAGGUGUCCAGUUAGUGUUGGUUAGGAUUCUUGUAUGGAUAGGGUUGGUGGUGAUGUCGUUAGGUAAGGUGAUGAGUCAUUGGGAUAAUCCUUUAUCAAAUCAGAAACUUAGUAACUUAACUUGGCUCUGAGUAUGAGUGGCUCACUAAGAGCCAUAAGGAUAGGGUAUGAGUGGUAUAGUUGAAUCCUAUGUUGUCUAGUGUCCAAUCCGUUUGGUUUCUGCUUGGGUACAACUGGAACAUACAAGUCGUAUGGUCUGGUAAUGAGUAGGGAUCAAGGAGUCAUAUAGUCAACAGUGUGUGGGUUUCCAACUCACUGUUUAGGUGAUGACUCAAACGUACGAGUAGUAUAUUAUGGUAAAGAGUCAUGGGAUCGACUCAGAUCCACCUGCGGUAAUUCUACAAUUUUAAGUUAGGGCAUUCUGGACAUUCCCCCUUUGUAACUUCCUUUGAUACCACAACAUAAAACACCUUUUGGGAUAUUAUUAACCUAUUAUUUUCAAUCAAACACUCUCAAAAUCUCUCUCAAGCAAAAGGCUAGGGUCUUAUAAAGAUAAUUAAUCAAGGCUUUCAAGGGUGGUUUCUCUUCGUCUUCCUUGGUGUCUAAGGCAUGUAACUCCUCCCUCAUUGUUAUUUUACAAAGAUCGUGUGUUUUAAUGUAUGAUUUUUCAUGACAUUAUUAUGGUUUGAAAUAAUGGUUGGGGUUUUUGGAUGCUCAUUGUUUAAUUAUGUUUUCUUUUAUGCUUUUAGUAUGAUUUUGACAUUGAGGGAUGCAUGUUAAUGUUAAAUGGAUUUUGGCGUAUUAUGGAUUCCCAAAUUACUUGGUUAUGAUUUUGAAACAUAUGUUCCCUCAACCUGUUUGAUAAAAUACCAAUGAGAAUGAUUUUUGUCACAUAGUAUGACUAUUCUUGAAAUAUUUGUAUUGCAUAAAAGGUAAUGGAACCUUAAUUGAUUUGGUUGAUUUUAAAUGGUUUGGAAAGGUCUUGAUGGCCAUGGUAUUGGUUUAAUUGGAAACUUUGAAGUUAACUUGGUUUAAUGGUUUUGGUAUGGCAUAAAAGUAUAGACUUGCAAACUCUAAUUUUGGUAGGACAAUACCAACGGUUAAUGCCUAAACAAAAGAAUCCUUGGUAAAUAGUUGGAAUAUGUAAUUGGUUUUAAUAUGGUCUUAAAGAGGAUUAUGUUAGCAAAGUCGUAAAAGGUGGAGGUCCCGAAGGGAUCAAUACUGGAAACUCACUUUUGCAGAUGUGAGGUUUGGUCAUGGUGACCGUGUGCAUGAUGUAACACUUUAUAUUUGGGAGAUGUACUUGUCAUAUCAGGUUUAUCUUUCUCCGAUUCAUGCAGCUAACACGCACCAGGGCCCUUUCAGCAGGAGGCUGAACUCUAUAGCCCGUGGGUGGACAUUUAGGAUGGCAGAGCUAUAUAGUGCUGGUUAAGGUUUUAAAUACAUGCUAAACCAACUCCUUAUCACAGCACGAUAUAUAUAUGAUAUGAGUAAUUGCAUAUGGUUAUUUGAUUUGGUUUUGAAUAAUGGCAUUAUUUUAUCUUUAUCCCUUAGUUCAUGCUAGCGUUCAUUCCACUAACUGUCUUUGGGCAUUGUAUCCCCACCGAUGCAGGAACCGGAUAUACUACCAUUUCUUUUGCUUAAUGACUUGGAUUUGGGGACAUCUUUGAGUCAGAUUGAAGUGGUGAGCUUCCAUACACUAGAAGGCUUCAUUUCACACUAUGGACUUCUUUUAUUUUUUGUUAUUUCUUUGGUUUGGUCUUAGAUAUGGUUAGGUGCAUUCCCGACCAGAUAUUAUUAAUUCUGAUUAGAGGCUUUGUCAGACAACUAUGGCAUAAGCGGUGUUGGUAUUCGUGUCAGCCUUUGUAUUGGUAUUGGCAUUAAGGUUGGCACCAGUUGGAUAUUUGUUUGACGUUGUUGGAUUAUAAUCAUAGACUUUAUUUAAACUAUUAUUGUUUUAUCUUGUUAUAUGUUUGGAAUUCAUCCGACAUAGGGAGGAGGGUAGUUAUGGUUGGCUAUUAGGGGUGGUCUUUGGUCCUGGUUGGACUUGAGAUGACUGACACGACUAGGACCUAGUUUGGGUCAUGUCAUACACUAAGAGACUCCACACAAUCUAUUUAUAAUAUUUUAAUUCAGCUAGUAAGAACACCAUAUCCUAUAUAAUUAGCCUUUUCCUCACUUAGCAACUCAAGGUACUAACUAGGCACACACAGCACUAAAUAACUUAGAAUAUCAUGCAACCAUAAACUACCUGGGGUACAUAUCUAUCUUUAUAAUGCUUAUGGAUCUCUUUUAUCUAAUGACUUCAUUACCAGUCACUUAAUGCAAAUUAGCCAACUAAAAUUUAUUCAUACACUAUGUCAAGCCUACUAGAUCAACAAACUAUCACUUUUUCUACCUCGAUGGUCAUCCACAAUUCAAAGCUAGUGUCUUGUAAAAUCAUAGAUAGUUGUGAAACUCCUUACAUAUUAAACAAGCUUACAUUUACAAGAUAAAAAUUAAGGCAUACUAGUCUUAUGACAAAAAUAAUCAACCUUAACCACACCACCAAUUUAACUUUACCAACAAGUGUAUUCUUCUACAUGACAUGAAUAUAUUUCCUACUAACCCAUUAUACAUCUCUUUUUCCUAAACUAGGUUCAUAACCUUGCAAAAGUCAUGGGUCCUCACUUUAACUUAUUAUGUAUCUGGGUCCUCUCUUUGACUCAUUGUGUAUCAUUUAAGCCAACCAAUUUCUAACCGUUUAUCCUAUCAUUCUCAACCUAGACUUGCUCCUUACUUACUCAAUGACAUACUUUGAGUCAUCUUAAUGAGAAACUCAUUCUUUAUAUACUACCAUGAAAUUUAUUCAAUAUUUAUUACCUCUAACUUAACAACUAAAGACGUAUUGCCUCAUUACCAACUUAAUAGAUACAUAACUCUAUCUAUAUAUUAUACCUUAAUCAAUCACUAUUUCCACCCUCUGGUCACUACACUUCUAAAUUCAUACCUCUAACUCUAAGUUCAUUCUACUACUUAUGGCUUAUAACAUUUGAUAUGAGAGUAAUCUUUGACGACGAGAACAAACACAAAUAUUAAAGAAACAAUGAAUUGACAAAUGUAAGGUAAAAGGAUAAAAAGGAUAGAUGAUAAAAAGAUAGACACAAGAAGAUAACAAAGGGAAACCAAAGGGUAUACCAAACUCAAAUACCUCUCUUAUUGAUUACCAACGAGCACCUAGCUCUUACAUUGAUCGCAACUAAAUCAAAGCUCCCUUACAACUACCAUUUCUAAAUAAGGUUUAACAUUGGUUUUCCCCAGCACUUAGCACUCCUAAUGGAGUUUUCAUGAAUUCAUCAUCAUCAUUAAACUAAACUAAGGAAAUAAGUCUAGCUACCAAGUAUUUAUAGUUUGGCUAAAUAUUACAUAAUUAGGUCCCAAAAGAGACCCAAAUGCAAUAAAAGGCCCACUAGGGGCUAUUUUGGCCCGCUCUUGAAAUGCUAGAGCAGAUCAAAGGUAAAUCCAAAGUUCAUUGGGUGUAUGUCCCUUCCAAGUGGCUUUUGAGCCCUACUUUGCACUCUUUAGAUGACGUCAAAGUCCUUUGACCCUCCUUAAUGGUAAUCUUUAUCCAUAUGGCAUAUUUUAAUAGCACUAAGGAGUCAUCAAGCACCUCAUGGAUCAUAUAUAUCCUAUCCAAAGGUUCGGAGGCAAUUUGGCUUGUAUCAUCCUCCGCUUCUUGAAAAGGAUUUGACCUUGAAUCCACACUUUCCAAAACCAAAGGAAGGAAAAACAAAUAAAACAUCCUCAUGACAUGAGGGUAAGGGUUAGCAUAAAUAAUCAUAGCAUCAAUCCAAGGUUGCACACACUUAAGAUAUAACCAAGGAUCUUUUUUCUGAAUCAUGAAAAACUUAUUGUAAAGGUUACAAAGAAAUUAGAUAUGACAAAUAUUAAGAGAUAAGGGAACCAAAAAUGUCAUAAUGUCCUCAAAAAGCCAAGAAAGUAAGACUACAUUCCUCUUAGGAGCCAUAAAACACAAUAUCAUUAUCUCUUCAAGAGACCAUACCAAAUGUGGUACCACCAAUGGUUCAAAAAUCCUUAAGGGUUUUUUAGAGUCAAAGAUGUAAUGAUAUACCUAGAAUUAUCACUCAACAAAGUGGACCAACCAACAAGUUUCCUACCUCCAUAUAUAAUAAUUUCAAGAUGAGAAUGGAUACCAUCAUAGGCAAAGAGGUAAUAUAGAAAUAAAUCAAGUACACAAGCAUCAUCCAAGGCGCUAUUAUCUAUAAGACAGCCAUUUGGCUCAAAAUAUUUAGCACAUAAUGCACAUAACGAUGGAAUUAAAUUAUUUAAGCACAAAUAAAUUUUCCCUUUCAAACAACUUUCCUUAAGAAAGGGGCUACCAAUUGUAAACAAGUCACAAAGAAGGGUAUCACAUUCAAGGAAUUUAUCCAAAGUGUUUUUAAAAGGUAACUCUCUACUUGACCUACAAGUAGUGAAACUUUGGUUAACAAUGGAAACACAUAAUGUUUAACUCUCUUCGAUCUUUUAUUUUUUCCCUUCUUUAAUAAACACUCAUUUUAUUGUGAAUGCCCCUCAUUCACAAUUGGGUCUAUCAGUGGAUUGCAUAUCCCCAAGAAAGACUUUCCAUAAUAUGGAAGGAUUCCAACAUCCUCCUUCAAAUCUUGCUUGUCAUCUAGACCAAGCACCAAGUUGGGUGUGUGAAAAACGUCACAUCCUAUUAGGUUACCGAGCUUAAAUUGAAGAAUUAGGCAAGAGCAUAUGUUAAGGCAAUAAUCACUUCACCCCCAAGAUGCCAUUUUCAUAAUUAGAUUUACCCUCUAUAUAACCAUCAACAAUUUCAUAAGCAGAGAGAGGGUAGAGAAAAGUAUCAUGCAAAUUAACUUCAACUAGGGUGUCCUCAUGUAUAAACUGGUUAUUGGAUUCAAUAUCAUCACCACAAGUGUUCUCAACAAUAGAGGCACACAACAAAAAGGAACAAUUUUUGAACAAGUAACACCCUCUCUUUCAAGGGAUGAAUCCUUAAGUAGACACAAAUCACUAAUAACAUCAAGGGGAUUAUUACUAAAUUCAUUACAAGAAUCAAGCAAUUCAUCCUCAUAACUAUCAAACAAGGGUAGGGUUUUCAUACAAAGGAUCACAACCAAAAUUAUAUUCAUUGGAACAAUCACUAAUUAGGUUUCUCCAGCAUUCAAGUAAAUAAAGUUAUCAUCACCCAAUUGAUCAUUCCUUUUCAAAACUUUACAUUUUUUCACCUUAAGAGUACUCUCAUCUUCAAGGAAAAAAUUUCCAUCUUUUAGAGGAAUUUUGUCACACCAUUGUGGGUUGUCAUAUAGGAUAUAGACCUUAAUAUAAGAUACACCAUCAACAUGAUCCACACCACUAGGUAGUGUAUUAGGAGUGGUUUCAUUAUCUUCGAACAAGAUAUUAUAAUUAGAGAUAGAAGGUGCAUUCUAUGAAAAAAAUUAGAACACGCAAAUUCACUCUUUGAAAAACAAAUAUCAGGUGCCAAAGAUAUGUCAAACACAUAAUUAUCCCUAUGAUCCAAGAAAGCAAUAGAAUCUUCACUAAAAUACAUGCUCAAAGGGUCACUCCUAUUCACUAUCAAUAUUUUCAACAUCGUCACUCACUUGAGGUUCAGUAAUCAAAUCAUAAACAUUCUCAAGUGGUCGGAUAGUUUCACACAUAAGUUGAUCAACACAAAUUUCACAAGACAAUGUACCAUUAUUCAUUACAUUGGCUUCAACACUAGGUGGACUCAAAUUGAUCUUACAAGAAGAGUCACUAUGGUCAUUAAUAGUAUUAACUAGUGUAUCCAUACUCUCAAUGGGUAUAUCAUCAAUGAGAGGUAGAGAAUCAUAAGACUCAUAUAUAGGAAAGAUACUACUCACACUCAAUGGGCUAAUAGCCUCAUAAUCAUCAUUUAUAUACAAAAAAAAUGUAAGAGUGAGCUAUUUUACCUUCAAGCCUUGAGAACAUUCUCCUUUACCUUGGUGUGAAGGUUAUCCAUAAGUUUUGUAAGCAUCAAAGAUUGUCCUCAUCAAAUAUUUGAAGCGAAUCUUCUCUUUUGGUACGUGUUCUCCUCUGCUUGUUGUGUUGGUACCUACACACUUGUCCUUAUUAAAAGAAGAAAAAACAUUAUUAUCUUAGUUUGAUGGCAACCCUCUCACUUCACUCAUAAUAACCUCUCUUUUUUUGUCUCUUAAGUUGCCACCUUGCACUCCCUUAGUCUUCUCAAUCUUUUCUCUUAUUUCCAUUAGGCUUGGAAUAAGUGGCCAUAUUUCUUUGAGAUUUGGGAAGAAUAGGUGGAAAGAGAUGAUUUCCCCAUUGGUCCCUUACAACCUAAGGCUAAUUUUUCUCAUUUGAAACUCUAUGUCAUGCAAACUAAUCGACACCUAAGCAUAAAUGUCCAUGUUCCAAGGGGAAGUUGUCACACCAAACCUCCUCAUGGUACCCACAUCGAGUGAAGGAAAUCAUUACUCUCUCAAAAACUCUAUACCCCUUCAAGAAAUAUAGAAUAAUUAGAGGCUCUCAAGAUAUCCCUAAAUGGUCAACCAUGGAUGGGAUGAUGUAGUUUCUAUAGCACCAAUCGUCUAGACCAAGGAGGCAUCCUAGAGCCCUACAAAUUCUUACCUUUUCAAAGUGAAUGUUUCUUAUUGGAUCAACAUUGUAAAGCUUCGUAUACCCCAUUGGUACAUGGGCACCCCUCAUGAUUCCUUUCAAGGCACUCAAUGUUCAGUCGAACUUUCUUAUGAGUUCCCACCACAAUAAUGUUGGACUUUGAAUAUGUUUAAGGGAACAUGUAGCUCUUUAGACUUUGCUCAUAUCAUAAUCCUAGAAGAUCCUUUCACACUCUCAUUCCCAAUCAAGAUAAUCUUUAGGACUCAACUCUCGUAUAAAGAUAGAAAGAGAAGAAAGAUCUCGAUUCCUACUAUACCCUCUAUUUCUACCUUGGUUCCCAAUUCUAUGUGAUUGGGCACUAGUAAAAGAAGAAUAAGAUGUAUUACCCCUAGGAUUUGGAGAUGCACACUCUUUCAUUCCCAUGGAGAAACCUCUACUAUAGUUAGUAUAACCAUUCAUAUUAAUUCGGCCUUGAUAAGAGGUACUAAAAGACAAGGAAUACGAAACUUCACAAUCCUCAUGUAUAUUCUCACCAUGAUCCUUAUAAGAUUUGUAAAUGAAUGCGUUAUACCUUAUAUCACCUCUAUGCUUGGAGCGGGAAGUGUAAUACUCCCCACAUGCCUCAUCUUCCUUAUAAAAACCUUCACAUAGCUCUUCAUCAUCUUCAUACUCACUAUAAGAAUUAGGGUCAUUAUUCAUCUCUCAUUUUUCUUUGGAAUAGUAUCCCUCAUUCUCAUCCAUCUCUUAAUCAUGGCUAUAUUAAUAGCCCCCAUAAUCUUCAUCUUCUUCGGAGCCAUAACUAUCUUUACUACAAUCAUAGUCUCCUAUGUUGUAGUCACAAGUAUCUGAGGCUAUCAAAGACAUACUUCCAUAUAUCACCUUGUACCUACCAAAUGAAUAAAUAAUAUUAGUAUUAAAGCUCCUUACCAAAACUCGUAAGAUUCUCACCUUUGUAAUCCUCACAAUUGGAUCGGUGAAUGUUGAAAGUUGCUUAUACUCCAAUGAUAAAUAAGGUAUCAAUAUCUACUUUCAUCCAAAGUGGAUUAUUGUUAGAAUGACUAAAAUAAAUACAAAAUACUUACAAACUUGAAUCAAGAACUAAUAACAAAUUCAAAAAAGAGAAAAGCUUGAAAGAAAUUGAACGAUGAAAGAAAUGGGAGUCAAGAACUAAUCAAUCAACUUAGUAGAUGAAUUAAUUAGUUGUUGAGUAGUUUAAGAAUCAAAAGAUGAUUUUACUAAUCAAGAAAAUAAAACUAAAGAAUCAAAUAUUGAGCAAAAUGGAAUAGGAAAGCUUGAAUUGUGUUUGGAUGAGUUGAUGUGUGUUGGAAAGGGUUGAUCUGCAUUUGGGGACCUGCUUCGGCAGGUAUCACCAACGCACCUUGGAUGCACUAGGAAUCCUAGCUACUGGUUUGACAUAUGUUUGGUCUACUGUAGAAGCUCCAAUGCAGGUCAAGGGAAGAUGAGGCACAGAUCAGCCGCCCAGCCCUCUUGGAAUGGCAUUUCUGCCCCUCUAUUGGUCCCCCUUUGUCUUUUUUUCUUGGAAUAUUCUUGGAACCUUUGGAGAUGAUUUAGUAAUAACAAUUUUACAUAUUUUUCUUCCUUAUUUUUGUAUCAAACAACCAAUUUAGGAUGAACUUUCAAGGUGAAGAUAACAAUCUCUCCAAGAACGCCAACUUUUCCAACUUUCUCUACUUAGCUUGAAAUAAGUUGAAAUUUCAAACCUAAGCACUUUUCAACAUUCUAAAAUCAUCCCAAAUAUUAUUUUGCUCAAAUUCUUCACCUAAAACUUAAUAUCUUGCAACCAACUUCAAACUUUUUCAACCCAAGCUUCCAAUAAGGAUAGAACACUCAAAUAAGCUUUGAUUUGGCUCAAAUUUGAUUUAUAGACUUGUAUAGUGUUAGAGAAAACAUAUAUAACACUAGAAACACAAGAAAAUACUAAAAUCAAAAACUAAAAAUUUAACCAAAGACCAAAAAUGUGAAUAGUAAAAAAAUUAUGAUUUUUUACUUUCUAAGACGGCUAUACCCAAGAUUGUCUUCGUAGGAAUGAAAUCAAGCUCGGCUCUGCUACCAAAUGAUAAGAGAGUAAUAUACGACAAUGAGAAAAAACACAAAUAGUUAAGAAACAAUGAAAUUUACAAACAGAAAGUAAAAGGAAAAAAAGAUAGAUGAUAAAAAGAUAAACACAAGAAGAUAACCAAAGGGCAACCAAAGGGUGUAUCAAACCCAAAUAUCUCCCUUAUUGAUUACCUAUGAGCACCUAGCUCUUAUGUUGAAUGCAAGGGAAUCAAAUCCCCUUACAACCAUCAUUUAUAAACAAGGUUCAACAUUGAAUUUUCCAAGCACUCAAUGGAGUUUUCAUGAAUUUAUCGUCAUUAUUAAACAAAACUAGCUAAGUAAAUAAGCCUAGCUACCAAGUAUUUAUAGUUUGGCUAAAUAUUACAUAAUUAGGGAUCAGAAGUGACCCAAAUCCAAGAAAAGGCCCACUAAGGGCUGUCUUGACCCGCUCUUGAAACGUUAGAGUGGAUCAGAGGCAAAUCCAAAGCACCUUGGUAGCAUGUCCCUACCAAAGGCUUUCAAGCCCCGUUUUGCACUCCUUAGACAUUUUCAAAGUCCUUUGACCCUACUUAAUGGUAAUCUUUAUCUAUUUGCCAUUUUUUAUAGCACUACAGAGUGAUAAAGCACCUCAAUCAUCAUAUGUAUCCCAUCCAAAGGUCCGGAGGCAAUUUCACUUGUAUCAGCAUCCCAAAUCACACUAUCUUACAUAUGACAAUAUUAUUCAAGAAUCUAGAUACAUACUUUCCACUUUCAUGUUUUUUAUCUAUAAUAAAGAUCUGAUAAGAGUCUGAGAGAACAUCUAUUUUUGGCUCAAACAUAUAAAUUAGCAAAAGUCCUUGAGAAAACAAAUCUAUUGCAUGAUCUAGUGUAUGAAAUAAUAGAAAAAAUUUCUUAAAUGUUUGUGACCCCUCAUUUAUAGAAAUAGGGGCCUUACAACCAUAUAUAAGAUCCUAAAGACAUACUUUAGACUUUCUAUGAAACUAGAACUUAGUGCUCUGAUAUCAAUUUUAUCAUGACCUGAGCCUAAACCCUUACUGUAACUGGCACUCAGAACCACGAGUAGCUCAAGAGAACUACUUGGCCUAAUAUGAAAUAUAAAAACAAAAUUUAAAGAUAGUGUAGAAGCUAAAAUAUGGGUUGAACUAUUGUAAUAAGAUAAAAUAAAAUAAGCUUCUAUUAACUAAGACAAAGAGUCAUUUAAAAAUCUAUUACAAGUGAAUUGAAUUGGUUAGCUAUCUAUCUAUGAAACGUCUAAGACAUACUAAAUAAAUUUCACUAGGACAAGGCCCAACCUAUCCUUAUGUAAUAAAACUAACUAGAAUUGAAAUUGAUGGCCAUAUCUAGUCCUCUAGAUGUAAGAAGGAAUUACCACAAGCUGAAUAUGCAGGUUUAAUAAAAUAUCUGACUGGGAGCCUACGUCUGGGCACUACAAUCUACAUCAUGAAAUAUGUGGCAUGAAAUAAUGUAGCACAAGAAGAGUGUCAAUAAAAUUGAAUAUAUUGGUAUUCAAGAUAAAAACUAAACAUGCUAAUAACAUAAUACUAAAAAGAAACUAAACAGCUAAGUAUAUCAAGGUAUAACUUACUUAAUGACAACACUCAAAACUGAGGCACAAGAUAUGAGAUGAUCAUUUCAAUAGAUUAAUAGCAUAAAUAAAUUAUUUUUUGAAAGUUAGAGCAUGUAAUAAAACUAAUUAACUAAUAUAUAGUAGUUGAAUAACUGAAAUUAAGAAACAUGUAAAAUAAUAUUCAAAUGAAUAUGAAACACUUUCUCGAAAAUUGGUUACUUGAAGACAUAAAUCAUUCUUUUAAAACCUACUAAAAAUCAGAACUAAGUAACUAAGUCUGAAUAGCUAAAUAGCUCAAUGAAUAAAUAAUACUAUCUAAAAUCAUAAACUGGAUCAAAAUACUAAUUCUAAAAGAAAGGCUUAAGUAAAAUAUUAUAAAUAGCAUUUAUCUUAAAACUAAAGAUAUUAUGUCAAAAUAAUCAUUCUUAAAGCAAUUUGAGUCUUUCUAAUUUGGGGAGUUUCUUACAACAACAUAAAUCAUGUGAGCUCAAGAUGUCCAACAUCUAACCCAGUUGGAAGGGUUGCUUUAAACCCUGCAGAUGUAUAAAGACUAUAUAUCUAUCAUGGAUCCACUAAUGAGCUUCUUCUACUAAAAAAAUUCACUUGACUUGUGAGUGAUCCUUAAUCUUGUAAUGGCAAUGUAAUUAUGGGACAUUUGUUAUAUAAACAUGUGUCUUGCCAAUGCUAAAUAAUCCUACCAAUACCAUCUUUAUAAUUAUAUAUGCUCAUAAAUAUCAUGAAAAUAAUAUGUAGUCAUAAGGUGAGUUUGCUCAAAAUUUGGUUUUUUAUUAUUCUAUUAUAAGCCUAUGCUCAAAUUUUUUGAACUCCAUAUGUAAAUUAUGAACUUUUGAGUAAAUUAAACAUUCCUUAAUAUGUAUGGAAAAUAGUCUGGAGGAAAUUCCAUACGGGCAUGAUAUAGACCUUAAGAAAUUGUGGAAUAAAGCUUCAACAUUCAUAAACAGUUAAGACAUAAAUUAUAAAUUAGGGGUUUAAGAAUUGACGAAAAUUUCCUAACAUGCUAUGAUUAUCAUGGAUAAAUAGUACUAAUAUCAAACCAAAAAGUAGAAUAAAAUAAAGGAAAGCUCAACAUACUAAGGUCCCGCUAUGCUCAUAGUUCGGGAAAGGGUCCAACCACAUGGAUCUAUUGUACGCAGCCUCAUCUUACAUUUUUGCAAAGAGCUGUUCUAAGGCUUGAACCUGUGGACUUCUGAUCACAUGGAAGUAACUUUACCAGUUAUUCCAAGGCCAUCCUUCAAUUCAAGAAGUAGAAUAAGUAAAAUUAUAAAUAUGGGGUUUCAGACCCUAACUUCAAACUUCUAUUCUCAAAUUUUCAUUAAAAAAAACUAUAAUCCCCUUGGCAAAUCUUUCAUAAAAUAUUACAAGACAUAAAGAAUUAAAAUUUAGGGAUUUGGAGUUUUGAAAUACUAACUUUAUAUUCAAGUAACAUAACUUUUAAAAUCAUGGUGUGAGGAUGAAAGGAUUUUUAUCACUAAACUCUUAUGUACUUGAGGAGAGUGACAAGAAUUGGAAGAGAGACUUGAAUAAAACUUACUUGGAACCCUAAUCUUGACCUCUUGAGAAACUUUCUUUUUUUGGAAAUCAAGAGAGGUUUAUGAGAGAAUGGUUUGAGUAAUCUUUGAUAAUGAUAUAUUAUAGGGUAGUUAAGGUCGCGCAAGAGGUUUUGUAAAGGUGAAAGACCAAUGUGCCCUAACUUAAAAUAGAGUUGGGAGAAAAUAUCCCAACUAAGAGAGGAAAGGCAUGAUGCAACUCCCACAGCAGCACGUCAUACAGAUAGAAGGGUAAAUAGUGGACUCUUCUUUGUACAUUCCAGAUGAGCCACCCAUGCUCCAAUGGGAUGAGAUUUUGACUUUCGACGAGGAUUCGGUGGUUAUUUUGGGUAAAGAGGUCAAGAAGCUGAGAUCUAGAGAGAUUUUAGAAGUUAAGUAUAGUAGAGGCACCACCCAAUCAAAAAGGCUACAUAGGCGACUAAUUAGGACAUGCGAACCUAGUAUGCUUACUUUUUUGACACUUCAGAUACAUCAUUCAGCUUGACUUUUGAGGAAAAAGUCCUUUUCAAUAGUGGGUGUUGUAAUGACCAUCCAUAUUAUUAUUUGAAUUUUUGUGCAUUUUCCUCUUUUUACCUUUUGAUACAAGCCAAAUGGGUGUUAACGCUUUAGAUCGCGUAACUUGGGGCCAACACAGGAAUGUCCAAGCCAUAUCACCCUAAGGAUUCAAGAAUAUGCUUGGAAGACCUUCUUUGAGCUCAUAACUAAACAAUGUUGUAUUUGGAAGAUAGCUUGGAGCCGAGGAAACCCAUGGCACAAGGAAUAAAGAAAGAUAUUGUGGGUUAUUUCUAAAAUAGCCACUUUUGGGCUAUUCUGUAAUAGGUUAUUUAUGAAAAGGAAAAUACUAUAAAUAGGUAUCUUAGAAAUUUUCUUUCCUUAGUGUUUUUGGAUGAACUAUGAAUGAUUACUCCUUUGUUAGUGAGUGGCAAGCUUGUUGUGGAAAGCUUGGAUUCUCUUGUAUUGAUCUUCAUUUAGAAACAUUGUUUUCUUGGGAAUCUAAUUAUUUCAUGGUAUACAUAAGAUCUAUGUGCUCAUAGGUAAUCAAUAAGGGAGGUCUUUGGGCUUGAUACACCCUUUGGUUGCCCUUUUGUUAUCUUCUUGUGUCUAUCUAUCUUCUAUUCCUAUCCUUUACUUAAUUGUUCUUUCAUUUUUGUAUCUUAGUUUAAUUUUUGUUUUCGUACUUUGUGUUCCCUUAUCAUUUGGUAUCAUACCCGAGCUUGAUUUCAUUUCUAUGAAGUCAAUCUUGGGUCUAUUCGUCUUAGCAAAUCAAAGAAUCACAAAAAAGUUACUAUUGACAUUUUUGUUCUUAAGUCAAAUUUUGAGUUUUCAAUUUUGAUUUUUUAUUGUGUUCUAGUGUUAUAUUUGAGCUCUCUAACACUAUUAGAUCAAGAAAUCAAAUUUGAGCUAAAUUGAAGUUAUAUUGAGGCUUCUACUAUCAUUGGAAGCUUAGGUUGAAGAAGUUGAAGUGGAUUGUAAGCCUUAAAUAUUUUGGUGAAGAGUUUGAGAAAAAUAAUCAUUGGAAUGAUUUUAGAGUGUUGAAAAGUGCCUAGGUUCAAAAUUUCAACUCAUUCCGAGCUAAGGAUAAAAAGUUGGAAAAGUUGGUGUUCUUAGAGAAAUUGAUAUCUUCAAGUUGGAAAAUUCAGCAAAAUUGGUUGUCUGGUCCAAAAAAAAGAAAUAAAUAGAGUGAAAAAGUGUUUGUACUAAAGCAUCUCAAAAUAUUCCAAGGAUAUUCCAAGAUAAGAGUACAAAGGGGGGACCACUGGAGGGCAUUUCGUCCAUUUCAAAGGGCAUUUUUUGCCUUGUACAAGAUGAAUUUCGGGCCAUCUACCUUGGAAGUGCCUUGUAAGUGCACCCAAGCUUAUAAAGUAGGUCAAGGCCACCUCAAACCCAUAUGACCUGUUUCCAGGAUGCCUUGCACCUGCGUUCCACAUGCAAAAGCAGGUUGUACAAUGCAGACAACCCCUCCCUAACGUAAAUUGAGUUUCAAACCUCAAAUUCAAGAUUAAAAACACAAUUCAACAUUUAAAUUACCCCAUUGAUCAAGGUUUGAUUAUUUAGUUUCAUUUUCUUGAUUCCUAAACUCAUAUUUUGAUUCUUAAACUAGUCUACAACUAAGUAAUUCAUCUACUAAGUUGAUUGAAUAUUUCUUGAGUCCCAUUUCUUUUAAGCUUCUCUUUUUCAAUUUUUUGUGAUUCUUGAUUCAUGUCCUUAAGUAAUUUUUAUUUUGAGUCUUUCAAACAAGAAUCCAUUUCUAUCUCAAGCCACAAUUGGUACCAAGUAUUCUCAUUAGAGUAUAAACGAUCUAUCAAUGCUUGUGAUGCUAAUUGAGAGACAAUACAAAGAUGUGGUCUUUGAGAUAUUGUGAGGUUGUUUUCCUAACUUUAUCUUGUUUUUUGUUUUGGUUUUUGUUUAGUAUUUACUUUAUUAGGUACCAUGGAUGACAACACCUCAAAUGCUAUCUUAGAGGCCCUUGAAUCUCUCAACUCUAAGAUAGAUAACAUAUGUGGGAGGAUGGAUAAAAUGAUAGAUCAUCUAAACUAUCGUAACUCCAACCUUCAAGCUCCCUUGAGUGGACAUGCUCCAAACAAACUUCAAGGUAACCAAGCUAACUUAUGCACCCAAGUAAAUGUGAAAUAUCAUUGUAGGGCUAGUAGCCGACUAAAUGUGACUGAUAGCUUAUCUUAGGAGAGCCUAAUGUCUCUUUUCUUUAUAAUGAUAAUGUACAGCUUGAGAAUGUAGAUACACUAGUUGAUCAUAAUGAUGACAACACUGACUCUUGUAGUAAGAUUGAUUUGUGUACACCUAAUGUUGAAUCCAAUGUGAUGAAUGAUGGUACAUUGUCUUGUGAAAUUUGUGUUGAAAAACUUAUAUGCAAAACUAGACCACCACUUGAGGAUGUUUGUGAUAUGAUUAAUGAACCUUAAGUGACUAAUGAUAUUGAAAAUGUUGGUCAAGUAAAUAGGAGUGACCCUUUGAGCAUGACUUUUAGUAAGGUUCCUAUUGCUUGUUUGUCUCAUAGGGAUAACCAUAUGUUUGAAACAUCUUUGACACUUGUUAGUAGUUAUUUAGAAAGUGAACUUGCAUGUUCUAAAUCCUCUUCAUGGAUAAACCCUUCUUUCUUUAAGAAUAAUAUAUUAUUUGAAGAUGAUGAAAUUAUUCCUAAUAGAUUACCUAGUGGUUUGGAUAGCAUUUAUGAUAUAGCUCAUCUUGAGGGAUAUAUCCCAUAUGAAAACCCACUAUGGUGUGACUAUAUUCCUCCUAAUGUUGGAAAUCUCUUCUUUGAAGAUGAAAGUACUCAUAAGGGAAAGAAAAGUGAAUUUUUUGGAAAGGUAUGAAUGUUUGAGAAACACAAUUAGUGAUUGUUCCUAUAAAAAUGAUUGAGGUUGUGAUCCUUUAUAUGACACCCACCCUUGUAUAAUUAUAAGGUGAAUUGCUUAAUUCUUGUGAUGGCUUGAGUGAUAACUCUUUUGAUGUCAGUGGUGGUUUGCGUCUAUGAUGUAUGAGCAGAUGCUAACACAUUUAAGGCUUUUAACUCUAAAUAAUUGUGAAGUCUUAAGAAACUUUUGGUUGUUUUUGAUCGUUUUCUUGUGAUAUCGCAGUUGUAGCAAGGAUAGGAGGAAAACAUAGGAAAGAUGAACAAAAUAAGUAAAAUCUAGUACAAGUGAGCGGAUAUGAGUCUGACGGCAUUUCUUGCAAGCCGUCAGAGAUGUGGUAAGCUACCAGAAAAAGGCGCCAGGAAGAACAGUGGAGAAGAGUUGCUGGAUGAGAGUGAUGACAUUCUCAAUAUGUCAUCACAAGUGUGGUAAGCCAUCAGAAUAUGCCAUCAGAGUGAGGCAGAACAUGGUGAAAUAAGAUGAAGGUCUGAUGACAUUUGCUACACGCCAUCACAAGUAUGGUAAGCCAUCAUAGGUCAUCAUCAGAGUGAGGUAGAAUAGGUCAAGAUGGCAUGACUUCUGAUGACAUAUCUGAGACGCCGUCAGAAGCUGACGACCAACACCAAUAUGGCAUCACCUAAAUCUGAGCCCAGCUGUGAUUUUGUUAUUUUAUUUCCUUAAUUAGGCUUUAGUAUAAAUAGCAGUUUUUAGGGUUUUUAAUAGAGGAAGUUUUCAUUAUUCAGAACAAGAAUUUUGGAGGGAGAAACACGUACAUUGUUCUCUUUUGCCAAUUAUUUUUAGUUUCUUUCUUAUCAACUAUUCUUGGGUUUCUAAGUUGGGAUUUAAUUGAAAAAAUUAUUUGUUGUUGUCCAUCUAUAUAUAAGUUUAUCAUUAUCAUCAUGAAUUUAACUUGUGAUUUCCUUCGUCAAAUCAUGAGCGGCUAAUUUCAUUAGCCGGGGUUAUGGGAUCCAAGGAUUAGGGUUUGAAAUAAUGCUAGGUGUUUAACGGAUUCAAAGAGCAGUAGAACAUCUUGAAAUUCCAUGGUUAUAACUGAAAUCUAGUGGUUGAAAACAUUAGAUUAUGCCUUAGGUUUUAUUUGCUUCUAACGGAGAAAUAUACUAGAGGACGGGAAUUAUCAACAAAGACUCAGAAGCUACCAACCUUCUGUUUAAUGAUUAAUUUCAUAACUGGAUUAAUCUACCUGAGAUAACAUCCGAUUAGAUAUAGAUAAAUUAUCUAAGUUCGAGAGAAUUAGAUGAUAAAUUGUCUGGUAAGGUCGAAGGAUCCCUAGAAUUACCUGGUAUCUUUCAAUACCCUAAACCUUUGGUGAUCAUAACCCUGGUUUCCUAUUUAUAUUGAUAACAACUCUAAAAAUUCAAAAAGUGAAGAUUGAUACAUUAUGAACUUUAAACCCCCAACUUUUGGAAAUGAUAAACUACCAGUAAAGUAUUUCGUAAACAAAUUGAUGUUUACACCCUAUUCCCUGUGGGAUUCGAUCCCAACCUAGUUGGGUUUUAUAGUGAUAACGAUCACUUACACCCAUUCAAGAGUAUAAUUUGAGCGUUAUAAGUCUACUUGAGGAUUCACCCCUUGAAAUAAAAGGUGUUACUUGUUUUGAAAUUGUUCCUUCUUUGUGUGCCUCUAUUGAUCAGAAUUCUCAUGGUGAUGAUCUUGAAUCCGAUAAUGAGUAUAUUGAUGUUGGGUGUAUUUGUGCAUUCUAGUGUCACCAUUCUAGCCUUUUUAGCCUUAUUUUGAGGAUGAUUAUGUACUAUAUUGGUUGAUAAUGAGAUAAAUGUGUAUAAAAGUGUUAAAUCAUGUGUUUAAAAGGUUCUAAGUGAAGUCCAAACAAUUUUGUACUUGAAAGAAUCAAUUUGAGUUCAAGAGAAAACUAGUCUUCAUAGCUUGAGCUAGUGGCUUUUCUAUUCUAUCUUGUUGGAUUCUAUUGAGUUAUAUCAUUUCCUUAUGGUUUUAAAUGUUUUAUGAUAUGUGGAACAAGAUUUUAGGAUUGUACAAAGUACAUAUGAGUCAAAUAAAGAGUGGAAACUUGAAGGGAAAGAUCAUGAAACCAACCUAGUAUAAGCUCUUGUUUUUUAUUCAUCGUAAUGGGUUUAGUGUUGUUUGUGCUUCUAAUUUGUGUGGUGUAAUGAUGUAAACUACUUUUGGAUCUGAAUAUGAUGAUAUUUUGAUGUUAAUGAGGCUUGGAAAACAAUGUAAAGACACCACAAGAUAAGGGAUGGAAGGAGGAAGGGUUGACACUUAACCAAAAUUUGGAGGACAAAUUCCAGAGAGUGCAUGCAUUUAGCAUGUGUCGCAUGCUCCACUCCUGUGAAAUAAAGGGUGUGGUUCACACCUAGUUUCAUAUAUAUGUAGGGUGAUAUGCACACUCCACUACACACUAGGGUGUUUCAAGCUAAUUUGACUCCUACAUGGACUUGGCUUACCCUUAUGCUAUAUAUACAUGUUGUAUCACAUUUUUACAUAUCUUUUGACGUAUUUUGGAGACCAAAGGCUAAUACAACUUCAUAAUUAGGUUUUUAUUAAUUUCAUUUAGUUCAUACAUGUUUUUAGUCAUUAAUUACAACAUUGUGAUUGUGAUUAUGACUAUGCGUGGCUAAACGCCCUCUUUUUGGGGUUGAAGCCAAAAACAAGAUUAUUAUUACUAUGGAUUAAGUUUUUUUGAUUUGCGUAUCAAUAUUGGUUGUUUGGUUAUUCUUAUUAUAUUUAUUUUAAGGAUUUACGACCCUUAGAAUACAUCCAUUGUCAACCUUGUGAACUCGGGAGAGGGAAUAGGGCAAUAGAACAUGGUAAUAAGCAAAGUAUGGUUCUUGAUUCUUUAUAAAAUAAGAAACUUGAAUUAGUAUUUAGGACAGUAAUGUACUUAGAUACCUUAAUUGAGUGAUGUUGGGUGUAUUUAUGCAUUCUAGUGUCACCACUCUAGCCUUUUUAGCCUUGUUUUGAGGAUGAUUUUAUACUAUAUUGGUUGAUAAUGAGAUAAAUGUGUAUGAAAGUGUUAAAGCAUGUGCUUAUAAGGCUCCAAGUGAAGUCUAUAUAAGUUUGAACUUGAAAGAGUCAAUUUGAGUUCAAUAGAGAAAACUAGUCUUCCUAGCUUGAGCUAGUGGCUUUUCUAGUCUAUCUUGUUGGAUUCUAUUGAGUUCUAUGUGUUCCUUAUGAUUUUAAAUGUGUUAUGAUAUGUGUAACAUGUUUUUAUGAGUGUACAAAGUUCAUAUGAGUCAAAGAAAGAGUGGAAACUUGAAGGGAAAGAUCAUGAAACCAACCUAGUCUAAGCUUUUGUUUUUUAUUCAUCAUAAUGGGUUUAGUGUUGUUUAUGCUCCUAAUUUGUGUGGUGUGAUGAUGUAGAAUACUUUUGGAGAUUAAUAUGAUGAUAUUUUGAUAUUAAAUAGGCUUGGGAAUCAAUGUAAAGAUACCAUAAGAUAAGGGAUGGAAGGAGGAAGGGUCGACACUUAACCAAAAUUCGAAGGACAAAUUCCAGAGAGUACAUGCAUUUAGCAUGCGUCGCAUUCUCCACUCCUGUGCAAUACGGGUGCGUCACAUGACCCAUUCCAUAUAUAUGGAGGGUGUGAAGCAUGCUUCACUCCACACCUGGGCGUUUCAAGCUAAUUUGACUCCUACACGGACUUGGCUUACCCUUAUGCUAUAUAUACAUAGUGUAUCACGUUUUUACAUAUCUUUUGACGUAUUUUAGAGAUCAAGUGUAACGAUCCAAAAUCACCUCCUGGGACAUCACACGGUGCUUAAGGAUACAAGUAGCCCUAUUUCUACUAAUAACACUCAUUUCAAGAUAAAAUAAUUCAAACACUAGCAUAGUCAUAUCAUAUGAAAGAAAAUAUGGAGAAAAUACUCGGUCCAAAUGACCAAGCAAUACAGGAAAACCUCAACACAACCACAAUCUGAUAACUAGUCUGACAAAGCCUCUACUAAUCCAUGAACUAGAGAGACAUUGAGACAGGUCCCCAACUGACUCGAAAUAAACUGAUAGUAAUAACAUAGUCUCCCAAAUGCUGAAAAGUCUAACAAUAGGUCCUCGAACUAUGAGGACUCACCACUGUAGGGAUAUAGAAAGAGGUACUCGAAAGUCACUGAUGAAGCUAGGAAUGAGCACCUGAACCUACAUUAUAAGACAAUGUAGCACAUAGACGUAUAUGUGGAUCAGCACUUGGGAAUGUACUAGUAUGUAGGGGUGCAUGCAUUUAUAUAAAACAACAUCAAUACUCUUUAAUCAACUCAUGCAUGUAAUAAGUAAUGAUUCACAUAGCUUAAAUAAUUAAAAAAUACAAAGCUCAUGAAUCAUGUGAAAUGGAACAUGUAACACAAUCUCGUGAGUCAUUAUACUUUUAGCUUUGAAAUUUGUACUCUUCUCUUAUUUGGAUUACUCAAGGCUAAAGGAAACUUUAAGCAAUACUUUCAACUCAUGCAUAUGUCUCAUGGAGAGUAAAACUUAUUCAAUGCUCAAGAACUCAUAACUCUUUUGAACUCAAAUACUUGGAAUUCGGAAUCAUAUAACUUUGGAACAUACUGGAAGGCAUUUCAAUCAGUUAGGAAAAUAUCUCAUUUCAAGCUUUAGGGAAAAAUACUUAUAUCAAGGGAAAGUAUAUUAGUUUUAAAGGAAAAUAUCUUAUCUCAAAGCUUUAGUUUUAAGGGAAAAUAUUCUAUCUCAAUGAAAAAUACUUUAGUUUAGGGAGGUUCUCUUAACCGACAUAAACCAUGCGAGCUACAUGGAGUCCAAUGUUUUGUCCUCCUAAGGAAGAGACCUCACAUUGGGGAGAGGCGUCAUACUCUUGCCAGGGAAUAUAACCUAGGUCCAGUGAUCACUAAACAAACUCAGCCUUGGGCCCAAUAUCAACUUGGCCUUAAGCCUAAUAAUAAUCAUAAACUCAGCCUCAGGACCAACCUACGAUAGCACGUAGUUUUGGGGUAAGAAACCAAAGUAACUUACCCUCUCGGUGCUAAAUACUACUCCUUUUAGAUUAUCUAUGCUCAUCUCAUAAAAAUCCACUUUUAGAAAUAAUCUCAUGGUUAACCACGAACUCAAUAAUCAAAUCUGUAAUCUCAUGUAGUAGAGUGGAUUUCAAAACUCAAUGACCAUUAGGUCUAAACAUUUCUCGAUAAUCUCAGAAUACUCAAAUCAUGGGUGCUUAUAGCAUAAUAGUUCAUAAAAUCCCAAUUCUCAAGUAGGGCUUAAUAACCCAAAAUUCAAUCUCAAGUUAGAACUCAUCAAAAGCAUAAUAGAUAGCAUAUAGAUUCAUAACUCAUGUAGAAAUCUGGAAAUUUCAGCAAUUUAUCUCAAAAUCUCAACAUACUCAUAUACUUCAAUGUUUCAAACAUUUCAACUACUAACUUCUCAAGGAUUAAAAUCAUGGGGUAUAGACCCAGCUACAGUUUCUCAAGAACACAUGUUAAAAUCAUGCCAUUAGACUCUCAAUUCAUGGGAAACAUCAAAAUAUUGCAAUCAAUGAAAAUAGGAGAAAAACCCUAAUUCAAAUUCAUGUAAAAUCUCAUAAUUCCAGAAAAACAUAGUUUAAAUAAGCCUUUGAGCACAAGGAUGAAAGGAUUACCCUUGUUCAAAACCCCACAUACCUUAGAUUAUGAAAUUGGAUGAAUAAGCUUGCUCUAAACUCUUCUUCUCACUCUUGAGAGAGGGUUCUUUCAACCUUUGAACUUGGGGAACUCAAAUUUCAACUCAAUUUAUAGAAUCCAUGGUGAGUUCUUGAAUUUCUUGGAGAAGGGUUUUAGAUUUGCUCUUAAGGGAGAAACCCUAGCCUUUGGAUAUUUUGAGAGAUACUAAGCCUAUUAAGUUCGUUUGGAAUAUACCUGAAGGUUAAAAGGGAAAAGACCUAAAAGCCCCUUUUAAAAAGGACUUAAAAAUACUGAACGGGGGCUGCGACGGUCCGUCGCAAGUCCAACAGUCCGUCGGGUCGUCCAUCGCACGAUGACCAAAAAAAAGACAUACUGGCUUGAUGCGAUGGUUAGAUCAACGGUCCAUCGCAGAUCUGAGGGUCCGUUGGAUCAUCUGUCGCUCGAUGGCCAAGAUGAGACCACACUUUCUUAGUGGUGACGGUCUCAGCGACAGUUCCUCGCAGCCUUGAUGGUCCGUCAUCUUGGCUGUCACACCUGGGCCAGGAAAGGAAGUUUCUGCAUUGGUCACGAUAGUCUGAGCAACGGUAUAUCGCAGACUCGGUAGUCCAUCGGAUCAUCCGUCGCACCUGGGCAGUUCCGAUAACUCUCAAUAAAACAACCAUAACUACUCACCCCGAUGCCGGAUUUGGACGAAAUUGGUAUCGUUGGAAAGCUAAUUCAAUUAUCUACAUGACAAAAAGUCAAAUUUAAUAAAAUUCUAUAUGGUUUAAAUUCCUAUCACUUGGGAUGUCUCUUCUCAAUCUUUUAGGGUCGGAAUUAUACUUCACUUGACACGCUUUAAAGCCCGGACUACGAGGAAACUUUAUGGGGUCUUACAAUAUCUCCCUCUUGGAAACAUUCAUCCUCGAAUGUUGCUAGUUAGACUAGGAACAUAGGGAAACAGCAGAGUACACAUAGCCAAAGAAAGUUGCUAAAAAGGGUUCAACAUCUCUCUAAACUCUCGAAUGCCUCAGAAAUUGCAAGAACUCAUGGAAGAAUAGAUAUAUAUAGCUGAGCUUUAGAUUAGAAGGGCUGAAUUAAGGAAGAAUAAUACCUUUAGAUUGAUCUGAACUCAUGGAAAAGAGGUGUUGGUACUUAACUCGCAUGUCUGCUUCUGCCUCCCAAGUAGUUCCCUCAACAGACUGGUUCCGCUAUAACACUUUGACCAAGGUAACCUCUUUGUUCCUUAGUCUAUGGAUCUAAAAAUCUAGGAUCUAAAUGGGAAUAUCAUCGAAUGAAAGACUGUUCUGAUUAUCAAUACUCUCCGAAGGAUCUACCACAACGAAAUCACCAAUAUGCUUUUUAAGUAUGGAGACAUGAAAAACAGGAUGAACAACUGACAACUCGGUGGGCAACUCAACCUCAUAGGCUAAUUUCCCAACACGGCUCGAAACUCCAUAUGGGCCAACAUAAUGAGAACUAAGCUUUCCCUUCUUACCAAACCUCUUCACUCCUUUCAUAGGUGAAAUCUUUAAGUACACCAAAUCACCCACUUCAAACUCAAGAUCUCUUCUCCUCACAUUGGUAUAUGACUUUUGAUGACUCUGAGCUAUCUUUAACCUCUCUCUAAUCAACUUAACUUUCUUCAUAGCUUCAAAUACUACAUUAGGCCCAAUCACAGCAGCUUCACCCACUUCAAACCAACCUAUGGGUGAUUUACAUCUUCUACCAUACAAGGCCUCAAAUGGUGCCAUCCCGAUGCUAGCAUGGUAACUAUUAUUAUAGGUGAACUCUAUCAAUGGAAAAUGCUCAUCCUAACUACCUUUGAAAUCAAUAGCACAUGCCCUCAACAUAUUUUCUAGGGUCUGAAUGGUCCUCUCAGCCUGACCAUCUGUCUGUGGAUGAAAAGUGAUACUCAAAAGAACUUGGGUACCAAGACCCUACUGAAACGCCCUCAAAAAUUGAGAAGUAAAUUGUGUACCCCUAUCCGAAAUGAUAGACGAGGGAACUCCAUGCAGCCUGACUAACUCCCGGAUAUACAUACAAUCUAGCAUAAUCCUCAGCUGUAUAGGAUGUGUGCACGGGCAAGAAAUAAUCAGACUUAGUCAGCUUGUCUACAACAACCCGAAUAGAAUCAUGAUGAUGAUGCAAAAGAGGUAACCCGGUCACGAAGUCCAUAUUCACCACCUCCUACUUCCAAGUGGGUAUACCAAACUCUUGCAUCACACCACCAGGUCUUUGAUGCUCUACCUUAACCUGUUGGCAUGUUGCACACUUUGCUACAAACUCAGCUAUAUCCUUUUUCAUACCAUCCCACUAAUAGAUUUCCCGCAAGUCGCGGUACAUCUUGGUAGUGUCGAGAUGAAUAGAAUGUCGCGCGCCAUGCGCUUCAGCCAUAAUCCUCUACCUCAUACCAUCAACACACGGAACGCAUAAUCUACCCUGCAAUCUCAAUACGUCAUCUCCCUCUUUGGAAAAAACCUCUACCUUUUGGUCCUUAACUGUCUCCUUCAGUCUGACUAAACUAGGAUAUCUAUCUUGUUUCUCCUUCACUUCCAAAACUAAAGAGGAUUCGAAACUACUCUGCACCAAAGUACUUCCCUCAGAUGAAUCAAGCAACCUAACAGCUAAUCUAUCCAAACAAUGCAUAUCAUGAGCUAACUCUUUCUUACCUUCCUCUACAUGAGCAACACUACCCGUAGACAAUCUGCUAAGGGCAUCCGCCAUUAUGUUGGCUUUGCCCGGGUGAUACAACAUACUCAUAUCAUAGUCUUUUACAGCUCUAACCAUCUCCUCUGCCUAAGAUUCAACUCCCUCUGAGUAAACACAUAUUGCAGGCUCUUAUGAUCAGUAAACACAUCAACAUGAACACCAAAAAGACGGUGUCUCCAGAUUCUCAAAGAAAAGACCACAUCAGCUAACUCAAGAUCAUGGGUUGGGUAAUUCUUCUCAUGCAGCUUUAACUGUCUAGAGGCAUAGCCUAUAACCUUACCUCCUUACAUCAACACACAACCUAAAUCAAUUCUAGAGGCAUCAUAAUAAACCACAAAAUCAUCUGUUCCAUCAUGCAAAGUCAACACAGGGGUUGAAGUAAGUCGAGUCUUCAACUCCUAAAAACUCUUCUCAUAGGAAUCUGACAACUAGAACUUAACCUUUUUUAAGUCAACUGAGUUAUGGGAGAUGCAAUAGAAGAGAAACCUUCAACAAAAUGAUGGUAGUAGCCCGCUAGACCCAAAAAACUUCUAAUGUCAGACGGAGAGAUAAGUCUAGGCCAAUUUCUCACAGCUUCUAUCUUUUGGGGAUCAACUCUGAUACCUUCGGCUGAAACAACAUGACCCAGAAAGGCUACAGACCAUAGCCAAAAUUCACACUUACUAAAUUUAGCGAACAAAUAGUGAUCUCUAAGAGUUUGCAAGAUAAUUUUAAGGUGAUUUACAUGGUCACUCUCAUAAUGAGAGUAUACAAGGAUGUCAUCUAUGAACACUAUGACAAAUAUAUUGAGAUAUUGCUUGAACACUCAAUUCAUGAGGUCCAUAAAAUCUGCUGGAGUAUUGGUUAGCCCAAAAGACAUGACGAGAAACUCAAAGUGACCAUAGCGGGUUUGGAAGGCUAUCUUUGGAAUAUCGCAUUCCCUCACUUUAAGUUGAUGAUAGCCAGAUCUAAGGUCUAUCUUGGAGAAAUAACUUGCACCUUACAACUGAUCAAACAGGUCAUCAAUUCUCGAAAGAGAAUACUUAUUUUUUACUAUGACCUUGUUAAGAUGAUGAUAGUCAAUGCACAUAUGCAAAGAACCAUCCUUCUUCGGCAUGAAUAGAAUAGGUGCGCCCCAAGUAAAAAUACUGGGCCUUAUGAAACCUUUGUCUAAAAGAUCUUUGAGCUGCUCAUUCAACUCCUUAAGCUCUAUAGGUGCCAUACAGUAUGGUGGAAUAGAAAUGGGAUAAGUGUCGGGAAGAAGGUCAAUCCCGAAUUCUAUCUCUCUAUCGGAAGGUACCCCUGGGAGAUCUUUCAAAAAAACAUCUGGAAACUCAUUAACAAUAUCGACUGAUUGAAUAGUUGGAGCCUCGAACUUAGUGUCUUUUACCCUAACUAGGUGAUAGAUGCAACCCUUGGAUAUUAGCUUUUUGGAUUUGAGAUAGGAGAUAAAAUGAAUCUUGGGAGAUACCGAACUCUCAAACCACUUAAAAACUGACUCAUCAGGGAACUAAAACUUGGCCACAUAGGUACUACAGUCUGUAGAUACAUAACAAGAAUGAAGCCAAUCCAUACCUAGAAUAAGGUCAAAAUCCACCAUUUCUAACUCUAUCAAAUCCGCAAGUAUGACUCUAUGAAGAACAGCAACAGGACAAUCUCUAUACACUUGUUUAGCAACAACAGACUCCUCUACUGGUGUAGAAACUCAGAAGGGCUCAGAAAUCUUUUUGGGACUCAUUUUGAAAUUCACAGCUAUAAGUGGGGCCACAUAAGAGAGACUUGACCUGGGGUCCAACUACACAUAAACAUCAAAACAAAAGACGCGGAGCAUACCAGUAACAACAUCGAGAGAGUCCUCCUGCUCCUGAUGGGAUUGUAAGGUAUAGAAUCUGUUCUGGCACUGACCGCGAGCAGUUCUAGAUGAAGCGCCCUAAGCAAGGGUGGGAUGGGGUAUAGGAUCUGGUGCACUAGUAGACUGUGCCUAAGGUCGGGCAUCUCUGUUCCCCUGUCUAGCAUGAGAAAAAUCUCUAAGUAUGUGGCCCUACUUUCCACAACCAAAAUAGUCCCUCAAAUCUAUAAAAUACUUAUCGGGAUGAUCCCUACCAUACAUAGCACAAGGAUGAUAACGGGGCCUGUUACUAAUACUGUUCUGCAACCUAAAAAUAAAAGCCUGCCCCCUUGCUCCUGCCAGCCUCUAGGCAUGGGAGCACUAGCUGAUGAAGGCGCUGGCAUAGACGGACAUCUCUGAAAUUGAGGGUGGUUCCCUCUAUGGAACCUAGGCUGGCUAAACCAAUGCUGCUCAGAUCUAGCCCUCUUGUUACCCCUCACUCUAUCUCCUUCUCUAAUCUUAUCCAUCUCUAUCUGUUAGGCAUGCAUCAUCAACCUAGUCAGAUCCAUAUCUCUAUGCAGCAUCGUAGUCCUAGGAGAGCACAAAUUAUUAUAUGAGAGGGACAACUAUAGGCACGAUAGAUUCUGAAAGAAGAAACAAUUUUUUCCUAAAACAUCUCGCAGCCUCUUUCUCAUAGAUGUGGCGUGCUAUACAAUGAUGAUCAAGACUCUACUUGACGUAGUUUUUAAAACUCCCUAGGACUCCUUAAAACCCUAGGUUCUGAUACCAAGUUUGUAAUGACCCAAAAUUGCCUCCCGAGAUGUCACAGGGUGCUUAAGGCUACAAGUAACCCCAAGCUAACCCUUUGAACCUGUUUCUACUAAUAACACUCAUUUUAAGAUAAAAUAAUUCAAACACUAGCAUAGUCAUAUCGUAUGAAAGGAAAUACGAAGAAAAUGCUCAGUCCAAAUGACUAAUAAAUACGGAAAACCUCAACACAACCACAAUCUGAUAACUAGUCUGACAAACCCUAUACUAAUCCAUGAACUAGAGAGCCAUUAGGACAGGUCCUCAACUGACUCAAAAAGAACUAAAACUAAUAACAUAGUCUCCUAAAUGAUGAAAAGUCUAACUAGGUCCUCGAACCAUGAGGACUCACCACUGUUGAAAUGUAGACAGAGGUACUCAGAAGUCACUGAUGAGGAUGGUACUGAGCACCUGAACCUACAUUAUAAGACAAUAUAGCACAUAGACGUAUAUGUGGAUCAGCACUUGGAAAUGUACUAGUUUGUGGGGGUGCAUGCAUUUAUAUAAAAUAAUAUCAAUACUCUUUAAUCAAAUCAUACAUGUAAUAAGUAAUGAAUCGCAUGGCUUGAAUAAGUAUAAAAUGCAAAGCUCAUGAAUCAUAUGAAAUAGAACAUGUAACACAAUCUCGUGAGUCAUUAUACUUUUAGCUUUGAAAUUUGUACUCUUCUCUUAUUCUCAUUACUCAAGGCUAAAGAAAACUUUGAGAAAUACUUUCAACUCAUACAUAUGUCUCAUGGAGAGUAAAACUUAUUCAAUGCUCAAGAACUCAUAACUCUUUUGAACUCAAAUACUUGGAAUUCGGAAUCAUAUAACUUUGGAACAUACUUGGAGGCAUUUCAAUCAUGUUAGAAAAAUAUCUCAUUUCAAGCUUUAGGAAAAAAUACUUAUAUCAAGGGAAAGUAUUUUACUUUUAAAGGAAAAUAUCUUAUCUCAAAGCUUUAGUUUUAAGGAAAAAUAUUCUAUCUCAAUGAAAAAUACUUUAGUUUAGGGAGGUUCUCUUAACCGACAUAAUCCAUGCGAGCUACAUGGAGUCCAACAUUUUGUCCUCCUCAAAAAGAAACCUCACGUUGGGGAGAGGCGGCAUACUCUUGCUAGGGAGUAUAACCUAGGUCAAGUGAUCACUAAACAAACUCGGCCUCGGGCCCAAUAUCAACUCGGCCUUAGGCACAAUAAUAAUCAUAAACUCGGCCUCAGGCCCAACCUACGGUGCCACAUAGUUUUGGGGUAAGAAACCGUAGUAACUUACCCGCUCGAUGCUAAAUAAUACUCCUUUUAGAUUAUCUAUGCUCAUCUCAUAAAAAUCCACUUUUAUAAAUAAUCUCAUGGUUCACCACGAACCCAAUAACCAAAUUUGUAAUCUCAUGUCUGAGUAAGGAGUUAUACUCGUUUUACUUUAGCCUAUCAAAACAUAUUUUUAGGGUCAACUUCAAACGACCAUAACUCCUUGUACAGGACGAACUGGGUGGCCUACUUUAUAUGAAAUAAAAUCUCUUUGAAUUAUCCUUCUAACGAUACUAAUUUUACCCAAAUCCGAUAUCGAAGUAAAGAGUUAUGGUCGAUCUAAUUUAGCUUAUCAAAACAGUCCACCAAAGAAUAGAUUUGACAUUAUUUAAAUUUUUAAGGCAUUUUGUUCAUUUCCUAUUAUAUUAUGGACGGGAAUAUGUGUAUAUAUACAUGUAUAUGAGUUCAAAAACUCAUUUUCAUCAUCAAUCAUUGAGAAAGAACAAACCCUAGCCAAAUUUGACCUUUAAAUUACUUUUGAUUCAACUGUAGAAAUUCCAAAAUAAUCCGAUAACUGCCUUUGUCAUCUCAAGAGCUUCGAACAGCACCUAUUAUUUGUGCAAACAGGAUUGCAUGAUCAAGAGGUGAAUUCUAAGGAUUGAAUAUUGUAUGCCUUGUUCUUUUCCAUAUGUAUAUGUGUGAUAAAGGAUUAUAUGUAUUGGUUGUUAUUGAAAGUUGAUAGAAAUAGGGUUAUGGACUAUUUUGCAUGGUUUGGUUGUAUUGAAUUAUGGAAGAUGGAUAUGGUAAUUGAGUUAUGGAAGGUGGAUAUGGUAAUUGACUAUUGAAUUGAUGAUUAUUUAUCUCCAUGGCUUAAUUUGGUUUAAUUGAUUGGUUGGAAGGAUAAAUGAAUCCAAACUUGAUAUUGGAGGAUGUUGUAUGAAUAUGCAUGGCAUGUGAAAUGUAAUUGGGUAUAAGAGGGUUAAAGUGACACCCUUUAUGGUGUAAUUAAGGCUUACUACUCAACCACUAGUUUGGUGAAUUCAAAUAAUUGAAUUGUGAUGUUUGGCUAAUACUAGGUUGCUAUAUAUGUUUAUGAAAAGAUGGGAAGUCCAUUUGGGACUAGUAUUGAAGGUUGACAGUCAGGUAUGUAAAGCAUACUCUAUACCAUAUCUUUGGCAUGAAAGUGAACAAUUGUUCUAUUAAGAAAGUUUCCAAAGUUAUUCAAUAACAUGUGAUCCAUAAUAGUUUUGUAUGACGUCCUANNNNNNNNNNNNNNNNNNNNNNNNNNNNNNNNNNNNNNNNNNNNNNNNNNNNNNNNNNNNNNNNNNNNNNNNNNNNNNNNNNNNNNNNNNNNNNNNNNNNNNNNNNNNNNNNNNNNNNNNNNNNNNNNNNNNNNNNNNNNNNNNNNNNNNNNNNNNNNNNNNNNNNNNNNNNNNNNNNNNNNNNNNNNNNNNNNNNNNNNNNNNNNNNNNNNNNNAUUGAUGUGCCAAUGAGUUUUUACUUCAUUGUUAUUGCAUUGAUGGUCUAUUUAUAUGUCUCUUAUUGAUGUAUCAUUGUUUCAAAGUAUCAAAAAUUUGGUAGCGACCGAAAUAACUAUCUCAAAAAUUAAUUGAACUAAGUGAUGGAAGUUCUCUCUUAUCGGGUGGUAUCCCAAGGCGUAAGCCAUGAGUCGAUCCCUAUUUAUGUGUUUAUGGGUGGUAUCCCAGGGGCAUAAGCCUAUCAUGGGUCGAUCCCAGUUGAUAUGUACUGGAGGCAGCCUAAUGGUCACAGUACAGUACAGUAAUGAUUACAAAGAUGAUAAGAACGAAGGUAAAGUGAUUGAAUAAAUACAAUGUACAGGUUGUCACAAGUUCUAGUAAGUGUGUUCCACUCCUAUUAUGAUUUAUUCACUUGUUUCUGAUUUCUAUUGAGCUCCUAUAUCAUAUGUGAUUAUCUAUAGCUUUACAUACUCAGUACAUAUUUCGUACUAACGUCUCCCAUAGGGGACCUGCAUUUCAUGCUGCAGGAACAGGUACCUCAGCUCAUACACCGCAUAAGUAGGAGCCAGGAUAUCCAGCUGCUUUUGGUGAGCUCCAGUUUGCUUUGGGGCUUUCCAUGACAUAUCCAGUCACUUUUGGUAUUGUGUAGAAGUUAGUUAUAUGGCGGGGUGUGUCCCGACCUUAGUUAAACUCUGUGUAUUAUCUAGAGGCUUUGUAGACCUAAUGUACAGUCAAGGUGGUAUUUUGUUAAUAGACGAGAUGGCUCCAACGACCAAGUAUUAUAUAUACAUAUAUAUGUUUGCUCGAGCUUAUACAGGUGAUUAUUUCUUUUUAUAUGCGACAUGAUGUUGUCUGAAUUUUGGGUUGUCAUAGAGGUAUGCAUGGGAAGUCUAAGUCUGCCCCAAUAGGAUUUGAGGCGUGAAAAAAGUGGUAUUAGAGAAGUUUGUCCUAGUAAGUCUACAAAGUCGUGUCUACGUAGAGUCUUGUUUAUCGGUGUGUCGUGCACCGCAUCUAUAAACAGAAGGCUAUGGAUAUUUAGGAAUUAUUUCUUUUCUUCAUGUCUUAGAUCAUGCGAUAGAGCCUAUAUUGUAUAUGAAGUCAUAGUUGACCACUAAAUUCGUUUGUUUCUCUUAUUAUUAUAAUGAUGCCGGUUACCAGAAGCAACAAUACUGGUAAGCAAGUAGAUGUGGCUAUCGAAGACUAGUAAGUCACCCACUAUAUCAGCUAAUUAAAGUAAGGCUCCAGCUGAGCAUGCAUCAGAAACUUCUUCCACUCCAAAAGAAAUAAGGGGAAGGAGAACUAUAUCCCCAGAGCCACCUAUUCAUGCUGCUGAUCAAGAUCUUAGAAAUGCAGUGCAACUUUUGACUCGAAUAGUUAUUGGGCAAGCUCAAGGGUAAGCCAUUCCUACCACGGGUCCUAGUGGUACAGAUAGGGCGGUUAGCCUUCGAACACAGGAUUUUCUUAAUAUGGAUCCUCCUAUUUUUACUGGAUCAGAUCUUAACGAGGACCCACAGGACUUUAUUGAUCAAAUUCAAAGGGCCUUAGAUAUUAUGCAUGUAACGGAUAGAGAGACAGUGGAGUUAGCAGCAUAUAGAUUCAAAGGGUAGUCUAUAUAUUGGUACGAGGACUGGAAAUGAUCUAGAGGUAUUGAUGCACCCCCAGCUACUUGGAAAGAGUUCAAAGAGGUAUUUCUUAAUCAUUAUCUUCCAUUCGAGAUUCGUCAGGCCCGUGCAGAUCAGUUUUUAAAUCUUCGUCAGGGGAAUAUGAGCGUGAGGGAGUACAGUCUCCGAUUUAAUUCAUUGUCGAUAUAUUCUCCUAAUGUUGUAGCUACUAUGGAUGACAGAGUUCAUCAAUAUGUGGAUAGGUUGGAUCCAUAUCGGGUUAGAGAUUGUACUAUUACCGCUUUGAACAAAGAUAUGGACAUAGCGAGGAUCCAAGAUUUUUUGCAGAAAAUAGAAGAUCAGAGGCAGAGGAGAAGAACACGGGAAUUAGAAAGAGGAUAUUCCAAGAGGGCUAGAUCUACAGGGCAGUUCAUGGCAUCCCAAGGAGGGUUCAGACCACAGUUUUCUAUUAGACCACCUAGGCCAUUAUCUUCUUAUUCUGCAGCUAGUGCCCCACCACAGUUCCAAGGGUCCAGAGGAAAUCAAUUAGGGCACAGAAGUGAGAGUCAGAGUUUGCAAAUAGUGGGGUACCAAGGGAAAGAAAAUAUGAGCCAAUCGAGACCUCCUAGAGCCAUGAAAUAAAUAUGGAAGGUAUCAUUUGGGCAUAUGUCGGCUGGGGACCAAUGUUUGCUUUUAGUGUGGUAUGUCAGGGCAUAUGAUGAGAGAAUGCCCACGAAGGGGCAUAGGGGGUAUGGCACGACCUAUGGGGUCAUUUGUGUCAUCAUCAUCAUCGAUGCCUUAUCAGGAAGGGGUGCACAACCAAUGGGUCAUGUUAGAGGUGAUAGAGGAGCCACGAGUUCUAGCGGAGCUUAAAAUCGUAUGUAUGCUCUAGCGGAUCAACAGAAUUUAGAGGCUUCCCCAGAUGUGGUUAUGGGUGCGUUGUCUAUCUUUUCAUUCGAUGUAUAUUCCUUAAUUGAUCCCGGUUAUACAUUAUCUUAUGUUACUCCAUUGGUUGCUGGAAAGUUUGAAAGAAUACCCAAACUGUUAGUUAAGCCAUUUAAAGUGUCCACACCGGUUGGAGAAUCUAUUAUAGCUAGAAGGGUUUACCAAAACUGCAUAGUAACUGUGUGUUGUCGUGAUACGAUGGCUGAUCUUGUAGAGUUAUAAAUGGUAGAUUUUGAUAUUAUAAUGGGUAUAGACUGGUUGGCGUCUUGUUAUGCCACAAUUGAUUGCUGCACGAAAAAGGUAUAUUUCGAUUUUCUAAAUAAAUCAAUCCUUGAAUGGAAAAGUGAAAUUGGUGCGCUAAGAGGUAGAUUUAUUUCUUAUUUUAAGGCAAGAAGAAUAAUUUUCAAGGGAUACAUAUAUUAUUUAGUUAGAGUAAGGGAUACAGAAGCGGAGCCACCAACUCUUCAAGCUGUUCCAGUGGUAAAUGAAUUUUCUGAUGUAUUUCCUGAAGAUCUUCCAGGUUUACCUCCGGAACGAGAAGUAGAGUUUGGUAUUGAUGUAAUACCAGGCACCCAACCAAUCUCUAUUCCUCCGUAUAGAAUGGCCCCAGCAGAAUUACGAGAAUUGAAAGAGCAAUUGAAAGAUUUGCUAGAAAAGGGGUUCAUUAGGCCUAGUAUUUCCCCUGGGGGAGCACCAGUGUUAUUUGUACGCAAAAAGGAUGGCUCGCUGAGGAUGUGUAUUGAUUAUCGGCAAUUGAAUAAGGUGACUAUUAAGAAUAAAUAUCCUCUCCCAAGAAUUGAUGAUUUAUUUGAUCAGUUACAGGGCGCCAAGUGCUUUUCUAAGAUUGAUUUGAGGUCAGGUUACCACCAAGUGAGGGUCAAAGAAAAAGAUAUACCCAAAACAGCUUUCCGAACAAGGUAUGGUCAUUAUGAGUUUCUAGUUAUGUCAUUUGGGCUAACAAAUGCACCCGCAGCUUUUAUGGAUUUGAUGAAUAGGGUUUUUAAGCCAUUCCUGGAUGUAUUUGUGAUAGUUUUUAUAGAUGAUAUUCUAGUUUAUUCUAGAUCAGAAGAGGACCAUGCCAAUCACUUACGACAGGCAUUGCAGACUCUUCGUGAUUGUAAGCUUUAUGCAAAGUUCUCUAAAUGUGAGUUUUGGUUAAAGUCGGUGGCAUUUUUGGGUCAUAUUGUAUCUAGUGAAGGGAUAAAGGUUGAUGCUCAAAAGAUAGAAGCUGUGAAGAACUGGCCAAGGCCCACAACGCCUACGGAGAUUCGUAGUUUUCUUGGGUUGGCCGGUUAUUAUAGAAGGUUUGUCAAAGACUUUUCUUCCAUUUCAGCACCCUUAACCAAGCUAACCCAUAAAGCAUCCAAAUUCCAAUGGAAUGAUGCCUGUGAGAAGAGUUUUCAAGAUUUAAAGAACAAGUUGAUUUCUACACCCGUGUUGGUACUACCAGAAGGCACCGAAGGGUAUACAGUGUAUUGUGAUGCUUCCAGAAUUGGUUUAGGAUGUGUAUUGAUGCAGCAUGGUAAGGUAAUAGCAUAUGCUUCUAGACAAUUGCGGCCACAUGAGAAAAAUUAUCCUACACACGAUCUUGAGUUGGCAGCAGUUAUUUUUGCUUUAAAGAUAUGGCGCCACUACUUAUAUGGGGUUCAUGUUGAUAUAUAUACUGACCAUAAGAGCUUGCAAUAUAUUUUUAAUCAGAAGGAUCUAAAUUUAAGGCAGCGGAGAUGGCUUGAACUAUUAAAGGACUAUGAUGUUGAUAUCUUGUACCAUCCAGGGAAAGCAAAUGUGGUAGCUGAUGCGUUAAGUCGUAAGGCUAUGAUGGCGCCUAUAGAAAGGCAAGGGAUGGUUAAAGAUCUUCACCAGUUAGCUAGUUUGGGAGUUCGCCUUCUUGAAACUCCGAAUAAAGAGCUUAUCGUACAUAAUGCUGCGGAAUCUUCAUUAGUAGCUGAAGUGAAAGAGAAGCAAUAUGCAGAUCCUAUUUUAUUACAUCUUAAGGAGAACGUUCAGAGUGGUGCGACCAAGGCAUUUGAGCUUACGCGAGAAGGAGUACUUCAGUGCCAAAACCGAUUGUGUGUGCCGGAUAUAGACGGGCUAAGAAAGAAGAUUAUGACAGAGGCACAUUUUUCAAGGUAUUCCAUUCAUCCAGGAUCAACCAAAAUGUAUCAAGAUUUGAAAGAUAUGUAUUGGUGGAAUGACAUGAAGAAGAGCAUUGCAGAAUUUGUAGCUGAAUGUCCAAAUUGUCAAAGAGUUAAAGUUGAGCACCAAAAACCCGGAGGCUAUAUGCAAUGCAUAGAUCUUCCAAUUUGGAAGUGGGACAUGAUCAACAUGGAUUUUGUUACAGGUUUGCCUCGUACAGCUCGAAAAUUUGAUUCUAUAUGGGUGAUUGUGGAUAGGCUUACUAAAUCCGCACAUUUCUUACCCGUUAAGACCACUUACACAGUUGAAGAAUAUUCGAAGCUGUAUGUUAAAGAAAUAGUCCGAUUACAUGGAGUGCCAACUUCUAUUAUAUCGGAUCGGGGAACUCAAUUUACUGCAAACUUUUGGAAGUCUUUCCAACGGGGUUUGGGAACACAAGUGAAUCUGAGUACAGCUUUUCACCCUCAGACGGAUGGACAAGCAGAGCGCACCAUUCAAACACUUGAAGAUAUGCUACGAGCAUGUGUUAUAGAUUUUAAAGGCAGCUGGGAUGAUCAUUUACCUCUUAUUGAGUUUGCCUACAAUAAUAGCUAUCAUUCAAGUAUCAAAAUGGCACCAUAUGAAGCUUUAUAUGGGAGAAAGUGUAGAUCACCAAUAGGAUGGUUCGAAGCGGGUGAAACUCUUAUGUUCGGACCGGAUCUUGUGUAUCAAGCCAUAGAAAAAGUCAAGGUGAUUCAGCAACGGUUGAAAACAGCCCAAAGUCGACACAAGUCAUAUGCGGAUAGUAGAAGAAGAGGGCUAGAAUUUUCGUUAGGCGAUUGGGUAUUUUUGAAGGUAUCGCCAAUGAAAGGGGUGAUGAGAUUUGGCAAGAAAGGAAAGUUGAGUCCACGAUAUAUAGGCCCGUAUAAAAUUAUUCGAAGAUGUGGGCAAGUUGCUUAUGAAUUAGAUCUACCCCAGGAACUAUCAUCAGUGCAUCCAGUAUUUCAUGUAUCGAUGCUUCGAAAGUGCAUCGGAGAUCCGUCCCUUAUUACUUCUACUGAAGAUGUGCAAGUAACAGCAGAUCUUACCUAUGAGGAGAUGCCUAUUGCUAUAUUAGAUCGACAAGUUAAGAAGAUGAGAAAUAAAGAAGUAGCAUCGGUGAAAGUACUUUGGAGAAAUCAACAAAGGGAAGAGAUUACAUGGGAAGCUGAGGAAGCAAUGAAAUCUAAGUACCCUCAUUUGUUCAAAGAUGAAGAGGAAGUUCAAGAAACGGAGUUAGAACAUUAACAAGUAAGUUUUUGUUUAUAUAUGCAUAGUAUUUAUGUGAUGAUGUGUUGGUGUAUUCGAGUACGUGUAUUGGUCUUAUUUAUAUGGAAUUCAUUUUUUUUAUUAUUUUAUUUAUACCAGAAUUUUCCCGUCGAUGGUUCCAUGCGAAGGUUACUGAAUAAGCUUUCCAACAAUAUAAAGAUUUCCAAAAAAGAAUAGGUUUCGAAUAUAAUCUAGCAUGUUCGAAACUGUAAAACGGUGUCAGGGAUAUUUGGGAAUAGUAAAUGUGCAGGAAAAUUUCCUGCACACAAACUACUGAGGCCAGCCGAAUUUUUGGGUCAACUUUGAAAGAUCAUAACUCCUUUAAUAUAAAGAACUGGGAGAGCUACGACCUAUGAAAAGAAAUAUCUUUGAGUCUUAUUUCCAAUUCAAUUGGUUUCAUCCAAAUCCAACAUCUGAGUAAGGAUUUAUAGUCAUUUUACUUCAGCCUAUCAACACAGAUUUUUAGGGUCAACUUCAACCGACCAUAACUCCUUGUACAGGACGAAUUGGGUGGCCUACUUUAUAUGAAAUGAAAUCUCUUUGAAUUAUCCUUCCAAUGUACCAAUUUCACCCAAAUCCGAUAUUGAAGUAAAGAGUUAUGGUCAAUCUACUUUAGCUUAUCAAAACAGUCCACCAAAGGACAGAUUUGACAUUAUUUAAAUUUUAAAGGCAUUUUGUUCAUUUUCUAUUAUAUUAUGGACAGGAAUAUGUGUAUAUAUACAUGUAUAUGAGUUCAAAAACUCAUUUUCAUCAUUAAUCAUUGAGAAAGAACAAACCCUAGCCAAAUUUGACCUUUAAAUUACUUUUGAUUCAACNNNNNNNNNNNNNNNNNNNNNNNNNNNNNNNNNNNNNNNNNNNNNNNNNNNNNNNNNNNNNNNNNNNNNNNNNNNNNNNNNNNNNNNNNNNNNNNNNNNNNNNNNNNNNNNNNNNNNNNNNNNNNNNNNNNNNNNNNNNNNNNNNNNNNNNNNNNNNNNNNNNNNNNNNNNNNNNNNNNNNNNNNNNNNNNNNNNNNNNNNNNNNNNNNNNNNNNNNNNNNNNNNNNNNNNNNNNNNNNNNNNNNNNNNNNNNNNNNNNNNNNNNNNNNNNNNNNNNNNNNNNNNNNNNNNNNNNNNNNNNNNNNNNNNNNNNNNNNNNNNNNNNNNNNNNNNNNNNNNNNNNNNNNNNNNNNNNNNNNNNNNNNNNNNNNNNNNNNNNNNNNNNNNNNNNNNNNNNNNNNNNNNNNNNNNNNNNNNNNNNNNNNNNNNNNNNNNNNNNNNNNNNNNNNNNNNNNNNNNNNNNNNNNNNNNNNNNNNNNNNNNNNNNNNNNNNNNNNNNNNNNNNNNNNNNNNNNNNNNNNNNNNNNNNNNNNNNNNNNNNNNNNNNNNNNNNNNNNNNNNNNNNNNNNNNNNNNNNNNNNNNNNNNNNNNNNNNNNNNNNNNNNNNNNNNNNNNNNNNNNNNNNNNNNNNNNNNNNNNNNNNNNNNNNNNNNNNNNNNNNNNNNNNNNNNNNNNNNNNNNNNNNNNNNNNNNNNNNNNNNNNNNNNNNNNNNNNNNNNNNNNNNNNNNNNNNNNNNNNNNNNNNNNNNNNNNNNNNNNNNNNNNNNNNNNNNNNNNNNNNNNNNNNNNNNNNNNNNNNNNNNNNNNNNNNNNNNNNNNNNNNNNNNNNNNNNNNNNNNNNNNNNNNNNNNNNNNNNNNNNNNNNNNNNNNNNNNNNNNNNNNNNNNNNNNNNNNNNNNNNNNNNNNNNNNNNNNNNNNNNNNNNNNNNNNNNNNNNNNNNNNNNNNNNNNNNNNNNNNNNNNNNNNNNNNNNNNNNNNNNNNNNNNNNNNNNNNNNNNNNNNNNNNNNNNNNNNNNNNNNNNNNNNNNNNNACCAAUAAGUUCCUACUUCAUUGUUAUGGCAUUGAUGACUCUAAAACACUUCAUUGAUGUGCCAAUGAGUUAUUUCUUCAUUGUUAUUGCAUUGAUGGUCUAUUUAUAUAUCUCUUAUUGAUGUAUCAUUAUUUCAAAGUAUCAAAAAUGCGCUGGCGAUCGAAAUAACAAUCUCAAAGAUUAAUUGAACUGACUGAUGGAAAUUCUCUCUUAUCGGGUGGUAUCCCAGGGGCAUAAUCCUAUCAUGGGUCGAUCCCUAUUUAUGUGUUUAUGGGUGGUAUCCCAGGGGCAUAAGCCUAUCAUGGUGGUAUCCCAGGGGCAUAAGCCUAUCAUGGGUCGAUCCUAGUUGAUAUGUACUGGAGGCAGCCUAAUGGUCACAGUAUAGUAUAGUAAUGAUUACAAAGAUGUUAAGAACGAAGGUAAAGUGAUUGAAUAAAUACAAUAUAAAGGUUGUCACAAGUUCUAGUAAGUGUGGUCCACUCCUAUUAUAAUUUAUUCACUUGUUUCUGAUUUCUAUUGAGCUCCUAUAUUAUAUGUGAUUAUCUACAGCUUUACAUACUCAGUACAUAUUUCAUACUGACGUCCCCACGGGGGACCUGCAUUUUAUGUUGUAGGCACAGGUACCUCAGCUCAUACACUGCAUAAGUCGGAGCCAAGAUAUCCAGCUGCUUUUGGUGAGCUCCAGUUUGCUUUGGGGCUUUCCGUGUCAUAUACAAUCACUUUUGGUAUUGUAUAGAAGUUAGUUAUAUAGCAGGGUGUGUCCCGACCUUAGUUAAACUCUUUGUAUUGUCUAGAGGCUUUGUAGACCUAACGUACAGUCAAGGUGGUGUUUUGUUAAUAGACGUGAUGACUCCAAUGGCCAGGUACUGUAUAUACAUAUAUAUGUGUGCUUGAGCUUAUACAGGUGAUUAUUUCCUUUUAUAUGCAACAUGAUGCUGUCCGAAUUUUGGGUUGUCCUAGAGGUAUGCAUAGGAAGUAUAAGGUUAUGAGCUGGUUCUCCUAGGCCUCCUCGAUUAUGGGUGCCAGUCCACCCCAAUAGGAUUUGAGGCAUGACAUAUGGUAUGUUGCAGGUUCGUCGGAUCAUCCGUCACUCGAUGGCCAAAAUGAGACCACACUUCCUUAGUGGCGACGGUCUCAGCGAUGGUCUGUCAUAGCCUUUACGGUCUGUCAUCCUAGACAUCACACGUGGGCUAGGAAAUGGAGUUUCUUCCUUGGUCACGACGGUCCAUCACAAACUCGACGGUCUAUUGAAUUGUCCGUCGCACCUUGGUGGUUCUGAUAACUCACAGUAAAAUGGUCAUAACUUCUCACCCCGAUGUUGGAUUUGGAUGAAAUUGGUAUCGUUGGAAAUCUAAUUCAAUUCUCUAUAUGAAAAAAGUCAAAUUUAAGAAAAUUCUAUAUGGUUUAAAUACCAAUAACUUGAUACAUCUAUUCUCAUUCUUUAAAAACCAGAAUUACACUUCACUUGACAUGCUCUAAGGCCCGAACUACAAGGGAACUUUGUAGGGUCUUACAUAAAGGGGCUACUAUAACUUCAUAAUUAGGUUUUUAUUAAUUUCAUUUAGUUCAUACAUGUUUUUAGUCGUUCAUUACAACAUUGUGAUUGCGAUUAUGACUAUGUGUGACUAAAUACCCUCUUUUUGGGGUUGAAGCCAAGAACAUAAUUAUUAUUGCUAUGGAUUAAGUUUGUUUGCUUUGCGUAUCAACACUGGUUGUUUGUUUAUUCUUAUUAUAACUAUUUUAUAAAUUUGCGACCCUUAGAAUACAUCCAUUGUCAACCUUGUAAACUCGAGAGAGGGAAUAGGGCGAUAGAACAUGGGAAUAAGCUAAGUAUGGUUCUUGAUUCUUUAUAAAAUAAGAAACUUGAAUCAGUAUCUAGGAUAGGGAUGUACUUAGAUACCUUUCCUGAGUGAUGUUGGGUGUAUUUAUGCAUUCUAGUGUCACCAUUCUAGCCUUUUUAGUCUUGUUUUGAGGAUGAUUCUAUACUAUCUUGGUUGAUAAUGAGAUAAAUUUGUAUAAAAGUGUUAAAUAAUGUAUUUAUAAGGUUCCAAGUGAAUUCCAAACAAGUUUGUACUUGAAAGAGUCUAUUUGAGUUCAAUAGAGAAAACUAGUCUUCCUAACUUGAGCUAGUGGGUUUUCUAGUCUAUCUUGUUGGAUUCUAUUGAGUUCUAUGUGUUCCUUAUGGUUUUAAAUAUGUUAUGAUAUGUGUAACAAGUUGUUAUGAGUGUACAAAGUUCAUAUGAGUCAAAUAAAGAGUAGAAACUUGAAGGGGAAGAUCAUGAAACCAACCUAGUAUAAGCUCUUAUUUUUUAUUCAUCUUAAUAGGUUAGUGUUGUUUGUGCUUCUAAUUUGUGUGGUGUGAUGAUGUAGAAUGAUUUUGGAGAUAAAUAUGAUGAUAUUCUUAUGUUAAAUAGUCUUGGAAAUCAAUGGAAAGACACCACAAGACAAGGGAUAGAAGGAGGAAGGGUCGAUACUUAGCCAAAAUUCGAAGGACAAAUUCCAAAGAGUGCAUGCGUUUAGCAUGCGUCACAUGCUCCACUCCUGUGCAAUACAGGGUAAAUCACACACCCCAUUACAUAUAUUUGGAGGGUGUGACGCACACUUCACUCCACACCUGGGCGUUUUAAGCCAAUUUGACUCCUACACGGACUUGGCUUACCUUUAUGCUAUAUAUACAUGUUGUAUCAUAUUUUUACAUAUCUUUUGAUUUUUUUGGAGAUCAAAGGGCUAAUACAACUUCAUAAUUAGGUUUUUAUUAAUUUAAUUUAGUUCAUACAUGUUUUUAUUCAUUAAUUACAACAUUGCCAUUGCGAUUAUGACUAUGUGUGGCUAAACGCUCUCUUUUUGGGGUUGAAGCCAAGAACAUGAUUAUUAUUGCUAUAGAUUAAGUUUGUUCUCUUUGUGUAUCAAUAUUGGUUGUUUUUUAUUCUUAUUACAACUAUUUUAAGAAUUUGCGACCCAUAGAAUACAUCUAUUGUCAACCUUGUGAACUCGAAAGAGGGAAUAGGGCGAUAGAACAUGGGAAUCAGCAAAGUAUGGUUAUUGAUUCUUCAUAAAAUAAGAAACUUAAAUUAGUAUCUAGGGCAGGGAUGUACUUAGAUACCUUACUUAAUUCAUAUGUAGGAUGAUAUUUGUUAAGAACUUAAGUGAAUUAUUACAUCCCCGCUCAAUGAUGUAGGUGUAAAGUUCAACUUAGGUAAUAGAUUAGAGGUUGGGAAACCAUAAUCCCGCAAUUAACCCUAAGAAUCAACAACCAAGAUAAGAAAGUUAGCGAAUGAAAUCCAAUAGCGUAAUAUGAUUGUUCAGAGUGCUUCAACCCUGGGUUUUCUCUUAUUGAUUGUCUUAAGACCUUUACUUUCUGCAUUGUUUUAUUUUUAUUGACAAUUUUCAAACUCUUUAUUUGUUUACUCUCGUAUCAAUUGAAUCUAAAGUGUGAACUGAAAUCAAAUCAUUGCCAAAUCUAGUCUUUGUGGGAUCGAUAACUCGACUUUCUUUAAGGCCACUAUAUUACUUGGUAAACCACGUACACUUGUUUGUGCUCUUGGGCGCUGUCAUAUAUGCAUGAGGACACCUUAGUUGAAGUUAAUUUGUAUGAUAGUUUUAUCUACCCUCCCUUUGCUUAUAAAAUUUUAAAUGGACAUGUAGAGGGUAAACUUAAUAGUGAAAAUGGCACCUUUGGGGAAAGUGAGUAUUGCCAUGACCCAUGUUCUUGGGUAAUUCUUCUAUUUGACCCCAGUGACCUAAUAGAAUGUGGUGAUUUCUAUAUACCCAACUUGAUGCUUGGUCUAGAUAACAAGAAAAGUUUGAAUGAGUAUGUUGGAACCCUUCCCUGUGAUGGAAAGUCUUUCUUAGGGAUUUACAGUACACUCGAUAGACCCAAGUUGUGUAUGGGAGGCAUUUCCAACAAAGAUGAGUGGUAUAAAGGGGUUAUAUACUUGUUGAAAGAUGGAACCCAUAUGAGUCUUCAUGAGCGGUCGAUUAAUUACCAUGGUUACUCUAGCCUUCCCUAUUGUCCAAAUCUCUUGAAUGGAAAAGUCGCUUCUAUAUUAUGGGAUUACAACCCUUGAUUGAUCAUUUUGAUGCUUGGUUAUAUCUUAAGUGUGUGCAACCUUAGCAUGAUGUUAUGAUUGAUUGUGCUGACUCUAACCCUUAUGCCAUGAGGGUAUUGUGUCUGUUUGUCUUUUGUUUGAUCUUACAAGGUUCAGAUUCGAGAUAGAAUCCUUUUCAAGAAGGGGAGGAUUAUACAAGCCAAAUGGGCAUCAACAUUUUUUAUCACACAAAUAAAGGCCAACACAAGGAUGUCCAAUGACAUGACCCAAAAUUGGGCCUGGUUGUAUGGGCAUCUCGAGCCCAACAAGGACCUAAGAUCGCCCCGUUUACCUACCCCAACCAUUAAAAUAAAUCCACAAGUGUCGGAUGAACCCCGACCAUGUAACAAGAUAGAGAAAACAAGACUAGUAAUCAUCACAUAAAGAGUGUCUAAUAAAUUCAUCAAUGUCAACAUACUAACAAAAUACCUAAGUCCACAGUCAUCCACAAGACUCUACCAAUCUGAUGUCUAUAAUAUGUCAGGGCAUGCCCCCGACAAUAGCUAAAAACUAAGUCUAUGACUAAGAUAGAAAGACCAUGAAAUGGAUGUCUUCUAAAGUAUGGGAGCUUACCAUUUCAAAGUCAACACACGAUCCGCUUGAACACCUGGCCACUGUGCAAGAAGAGAAGAAAAAGCUUCGACCCCUGUGUCGCAUGGGGACACAUCGUCCGAAGAUAGUUAGCAGUUGGAGCACUAGUAUGUAACUCAAGGAUAAGGAUAAAAUAGUGUAAUUAUUCAAAGCCAAAUCAAACCAUCACAUGAAACCACAUUUAUAUGCGUAGGAAUAUAUAUGGAUAUAUAGAUACAUCAAGUGUCAGUAAAGGAAACAAUGCCUUAGUAUGCAUUUCAAAACAUCUAAUAAUGAUACAUAGAGUAGAGGAGUCUUACCUUCCACCCUUAUAAGUAAAAGAAAUUAAACUUCUUGAUGAUAUUAGGAAAGGGACUCUUAACAUCAAGACAUUUUAUUAAGUAAGGGACUCUAACCUCAAGCCGUUUUAUUAGGCAAGGGACUCUAACCUCAAGCCGUCGUAUUAGAAAGUGGAAUCUAACCACAAGACGUUGUGACCAUUACUAGUCAACAUUGGGACUCUAACCCUUUGUUCAUGCAUUCAAAUCCACUUAGUUCAAUAUUCAAGGACUCUAACCCAUUUAGCCAAUUCAAGCCACCAAGUCUAAAAUUCAACACCAUAUAUGACCACAAGGUCUUCAUGAACCAUUUAUCAAUCAAUCACUUUAAUAGGCCAAUGCCUUAGUUUUAAUCACCAUUAGAUUUAAUUUGUUAUCAUCAAUACCUAUACAACACUGUUCAUUCUUCAUUAGCAUUCAUAUACCAAACUUUAGUUCAAUACACAAUUCAAUCUCAUGUUUAGGGGCUCUACCCCCCCCCCCCCCCCCAACCAUUAACCAAGCAAAAUACCAAAGUCAUUAAUUCACUCCUUACAUAUCCAACAAGGCCUUUACAAUACCAUUUACCAACAAUUCCUACUCAUUAAGCUAUUGUGUUAGUUCAAAACACUAUCAACAUGUAACUAGUUAUUUCUCUUAGAUAUUUUCACAAAUACCUUGAGGGCAUACCUUUACCAUGACCAAAACCUAAGUGAAAACCAUCAAGGUUAGGGUUAAUCAUGACCAAUUUGUUAAACCACAAUCAACAAGCACCCACAUAUGUAAAUCAUCACCAAUAACUUGUAUAAAUGCAAGGUUAAACAAGAGUAAACAAUACUCAUCACUAUGUAUCAAAACUCUCAAUAUUUGGUUUCAAAACCACCAUUUGCAAAUCAUAAUCAAGGUUAAAAACACAUUAUAUUUGAGAAGUAACAAUAACGGAAGAUUCAUAUGACUUAUACUAGAUGAUUCACGAAAAGAACUUGACCCCUUUAGCCCUUAAAAGAACACCUCUUGAAACCCUAGCCUUAAAUCUUGUUGAAGAAGUUUAGAGAGUGUUUUCGAAUAUUUUGAUCUUAUCACAGUAAAGAAUGAAGGGCCAAAAAAUUUAAUAAGUCAUGGGUCAUAAGGGCUUAGGUGUGGAAAAUUUCUAAAAUGUCCUCAACUUAAAAGCUGAAAUUUGAACCCAGGGGGUACGAUUACCCUACAUGAACAGUACCCUAGGGUACAAGUGGUAUCCUAACUUAUACCCUAGACCUCUCUUAGGACCCCCAUACUGACAAACAUACGACCAUAAUGGCCAAGUCGUACCCUAAGGUACGUGAAGUACCCUUGGAGUCGUACCUUGGUCAUAAUCAUCAAGAUCAUCCUCAAAACAUCACAUGACGAGGUGACAUAUGACUGGUACCCUAACAUAUGAAUAGGGAGAGGCCAAACCAUACCUUAGAUAGAAUAUUAUCAACCUAGAUUUAUCAUUAUAAGAGAGGGUGGGUACCAGUCGUACCCUAGAAUAUGAGAGGUAUGCUCAAAUCGUACCCUACCCAGAAUCUCAAAUUUAGGAAAUUCUCUAAGGGUUCAAGGCCAAGGUGUUUCAAUCAUCUCCCACUUAGAUCAUUCGUCCUUGAAUAACAGGUAAGGCAAGCAAAAUCAUGAGUUAACACAUCAUAUCAUAUCAAGCUAACCUUAAACUAAGUUAGAAAACAAAGACAUACAACAACGAUAAGACACGUGCCAUGAUCAUUAUUACUCAACCAUUUGUUCAAUUGACAUUGGGACUCGAACCCAUAGUCUUUCAAAACAUUUGCUCAAUUUAAAGUUUAGAGGCUUGAACCUAUUACCUAUCCAAUACAUAAAUCAAGGUAAAAAGAUUAACACAUACCUCAAGUAUGAGCUUUCAGAACGGAAAACAAAUGUGGAUACUUAGACUUCAUGUCCUCUUCCACCUCCCAAAUAGCUUUCUCGGACUUUUGGUUCCUCCAUAGAACCUUCACCAAAGCCAUCUCUUUCAUGAAAACUUGAUGAUAUAAGAUCAUCACUAGGAUCUCCUCAUAGGAAAAAGAGUCUGAAACACCAACAUUCUCUAAGGGAACAACUAAUGAAGUAUCACCAUACAGUUCUAAAACAUGGACUUGUCUCUAAGGGACUCUAAACUCAAGCUGUUGUAUUAGAAAGUGGACUCUAACCACAAGACAUUAAGACCAUUAUUAGUCGACAUUGGGACUCUAACCCUUUGUCCAUGCAUUCACAUCCACUUAGUUCAACAUUUAAGGACUUUAACCCAUUUAGCAAAUUCAAGCCACCAAGGCUACAAUUCAGCACCAUAUAUGGCUACAAGGUCUUCAUGAACCAUUAAUCAAUCAAUUACUUUAAUAAGACAAUGUCUUAGUUUCAAUCACCAUUAGAGUCAAUUUGUCAUCAUCAAGACCUACACAACACCACUUAUUCUUCAUUAGCAUUCAAAUACCAAACUUUAGUUCAAUACAUAAUUCAAUAUUAUGUUUAGGGACUCUAACCCCCCCAACCAAGAAAAACCCCAAAGUUAUAAACUCACUCCUUACAUGGACAAUAAGGCCUUUACAAUACCAUUUUCCAAUCAUUCUUACUCAUUAAGCCAUUUUCAUAGUUUAAAACACUAUUAAUAUAUAACUAGUUAUUUCUGUUAGAUAUUUUCUCAAACACCUUGAGGACAUACCUUUACCAUGACCAAAACCCAAGUGAAAACCAUCAAGGUUAGGGUUAAUCAUGACCCAUUUGUUAAACCACAAUCAACAAGCACCAACAUAUGCAAAUCAUCACCCAUAAUAUGUAUAAACACAAGAGUAAACAAUACUCAUCACUAUGUAUCAUAACCCUCAAUAUUUGGUUUCAAAACCACCAUAUACAAAUCAUAAUCAAGUUUAAAAACACAUGAUAUUUGAUAAAUAACAAUAACGGAAGAGUCACAUGACUUAUUUUGAUUCACAAAAAGAACUUGACCCAAUUAGCCUCUAAAAGAACACCUCUUGAAACCCUAUCUUUAAAUCUUGUUAAAGAAGUUUAGAGAGUGUUUUGGAAUGUUUUGAUCUUGUCCAAGUGAAGAAUAGAGGGACAAAUAAUAUUAUAAGUCAUGGAUCAUAAAGUUUUAGGGGUGGUAAAUGUCUAAAAUGUCCUCAGCUUAAAAGUUAAAAUCUGAACCUAGAGGGGUACGACCACCCUAUACGAAUUAUAUUCUAUGGUACGAGUGGUACCCUAACUCAUACCCUAUACCUCUCCUAAGACCCCCAUACUAACCAACAUAUGACCAUACAGGGCCAAGUCAUACCCUAAGGUAUGAGAAGUACCUUUGGAGUCGUACUUUGGUCAUAAUUAUCAAGAUCAUUCUCAAAACAUUAUAAAACUAGGCAACAUACGACUGGUACCUUAACAUACAACUAGGGAGACACCAAAUUGUACCUUGGAUAGAAUGUUAUCAACCUAGACUAAUCAUUAUACAAAAUAGUGGGUACUAAUCGUACCCUAGCAUAUGAGAGGUAUGCUAAAACCGUACUCUACCCAAAAUCUCUAACUUAUGAAAUUCUCUAAGGAUUCAAAGACAAGGUGUUUCAUCCAAGCCAUGAUCACCCUAAGGAUUCAAGAAUGUGCUUGGAGGACCUUCUUUGAGCUCUCAAUUAAACAAUGUCGUAUUUGGAAAAUAGCUUGGAGCCAAGGAAAAGCCAUAGCACAAGGAAUAAAGAGAGACCUUGUGGGUUAUUUCCAAAAUAGCCACUUUUGGGCUAUUUUUGUAAUAGGUUAAUUGUGCAAAGGCAAAUACUAUAAGUAGGUUCCUUAGACAUUUUUUCCUUAGUUUCUUUUGUAUGAAUUAGGAAUAAUUACUCCUUUGUUAGUGAGUGACAAGCUUAGAUUAGCUUGUGUUGAUCUUUUGUUUAGGAAUAUUGGUUGCUUGGGAAUCCGAUUUCCUUGUGGUCUACGUAAGAGCUAGGUGCUCAUAGGUAAUCAAUAAGGGAGGUCUUUUGGUUUGAUACACCCUUUGGUUUCCCUUUUUUUCUCUUCUUGUUUCUAUUUAUCUUUUCUUCCUAUCCUUUACGUUAUUGUUCUUUCGUUUUCGUAUCUUAGUUUAGUUUUUAUUUUCGUACUUUGUGUUCUCGUAUUACCCUACCUUUAGUUGCUUUGGGUAUUUAUGACUCACUAUGAUGGGUUGUUUGGUUCCAAGGGAGUUCUGUUAGGUUCUAAAUCAACUUCCUUAUUAUAGAGAUUUUAAAGUUAAUAAGUUUGACUUCGAUCAAAGUUUAUAUUAAACAACCUCAAACGAAAAUUCAAACAACUUUAUUAGCUUCAAAAUUUGGAUUUUGGGAUGGGGGACCUAUGUUUAGGAUCUCGAAGCUUUUAGACUCAUUUCAAGUGUUUGGGUUUAUUUUUAGUAAAACUAGAAAAGCAUUGUCUUCGGUCAACAUUUGUUGGUCAUUUUUUAAAUUCCAUUGAGUCUACAAUGUCGUUUUCAGUAUGGUUGUAUAUUCAGUUUGCAUUUAUGGGAUUAAACAAAUCUCGAGGGUCUAUUUAAAAUUAUUUUUAACCUUGGCUUAUUAUUGUUUUUCAAUAGCUAGUGCAAACCACAUUUCGUUAUUGCAAUCGCAAUAAGGCCUUCGCGAUUGCGAUGGUCUGAGAAGUUACCAUUGUAUUUGUGAAAAGGUCAUUUGCAUUUGCGAUGCAAGACCCAUUGGGGUCCAACUAGUUGUGCUUCAUAUUCAUAUGGAAGACUAUCUCAAUCAUAAUAGUCAAUUGGAGUGGAGUCUUGUGAUCAUGAUAGGGGUCAUAUGAACAAGUGACCCCUGCAAUAUAAAUUCCACACUUCAAAUUUUUCAGCUAUUUUAUUCAAAUUUUGAUCUCUAGAGCUGGUGGCACAAAGAUUCUUAUGGAUUUUCCAUCGCUUGGGUAAGUUCCUCUUACUCCCCCUUGUAAUUUUCCAUCUAAUUUUGCAUUAAAUUUCCAUUUUAGUUUCUCUUAAAAAUUUGAAUUCCAUUAUUCAAUUUUUGAGGACUUUUUAGGUUGUUUUGAGCUUUGGAAUGAGUCUCAUUCUUUUUUUAAAUUUCAUGUGAGUUCCUUAGCCUAUGAAUGAGGUAAUUGCAGAAUUAAUUUCCAAUUUUGUUGUCCAUUCCUAAGGGGUAAUUUUUUAUCUAAUUUUUUGUCCGAAUUAUAAAUUUUUAAUGUGGAUAUCAAUGUUCUUGUCUUAACGAGUAGGUUAUGAAUUUGAUAGCAUGACAAUAUUCUGAGGCUCUGUGGAAAGAAAAAGUGACUCUUUGAUGGUUCAAGUUGAGAUUUUGGCCUUGAGGUAUGUUACAACUUACCUCAUUUAGACUUAACUCGACUAGGUAGUAUUUUUGACGAAUUGCAUAUCAGUUAGGAGGUUUGUAGGGUACGCUUAGGUUUGUUUCCAUAUUUUUGACUUAUAGCCUAUUUCGGGACCCUUAGGUAGAAUAACUACUUGAGCCUUAGAUUAUGAUGCUUAUUAUAAUAUUAAGAUUAGAUUAGGGAUCCUUAGUGUAGGUGUUAUAAGGAUUAUAUUGUAGAAUAGGUUCUUACAAUAGGUUCUCCUUUAUCACCUUUAAUUAUGUAUUUUCUUUUGUUAUGGAGCUAAUGGUUCAAGGUCGUGAGUUUGGACAUGCUGGACUCUGGGUUAACCAGAUUAUGGCUUGAAUGGUGAAUUUACCCUAUUGUAUGUAUACAUAUACCAAUAUAUACAUACAUAUAUAUAUGCACACAGAUAUUUUUGUUGAUGUGCAUACAUCUAUACACUCAUAUACACGAAAUUUGGUAGGACUUUGAGGAAACAUACUAGUUCUUUCAUUUUUAACUAAAAUUGUCCCACUUUUAUUACUGAUAUGAGUAUUUAGAAGAUCGUACAACUUUUAUUAUUGAUUUUGGAUAUUGAAAGAAUUAUAACCUUUAAACCUGGUCUGAGGUAAGAUUCCAAUAUAUUUCUACUAUUCGAUCUGGGUUAAGAUUUUGGUUCAAUUAUACUUUACUUUAUUGUCACCUUAGAGGUGAGACUCUAAGCGGUCCAUGGUAAGAAUCUGGGUUUCACUGCAUUUGGCUACAUAUUGCAUUGCAUCAUUAUAUACAACAUAAGACAUGUUAUACUUAUGUUUGAUAAAUUUUAGUACUUUUUUCAUUUUAUCUUUGUUAUGUUGUGGACUUAUAGGUUAGCUUCAUUUUCUUUUCAUGUUAUUCUUAUUAUAUAUUAUCUUCUAAGCUCAUCCGGCCUAUGAUGCCUAAUGAGUAAUUCAUUUUUGGUACUUAUGCUACACUUCUAUAUCUUUUUCUGAUGCAAAUCCUAACCUAAGUCACCCCCUUGAUCCUAGCUUUUAUCGAUAUAGAAUUUGGAACUUGUUAUCCUCAUGAAAUCUUAGACUAAUUAACAGAAUGUACUUACAUAUGGGGUGAAGUGUAAUCCACUUCUAAAAUACAAUUUCAUCAUCAUAAUCAAACAAGGAUUAUCAAGGUUUUUGUGGCUGAAUAAAUAUGUACAAAAUUAGGAUAUGCAGAAAUAAUAUUUUUUUCAGCAAUUGUAUAUAGAAAAAUGCAUAUUUUUUAAAAUGUUCAAAGUGUUCUUACUAAUAGUCAUCAUUGUGUUUAAUUUGAUGGGAUUUGUUAUUUAUGGAUCAAAAUAACAAGCAUUACUUAAUUGGAGGUCAAAAAUACUUAAUUGGAUAUAACAAGAACUGAAAUUGGAAUAACACAAUAAAUCCGGACUAAAAUGCAUUUUUCCUUCUUUUUUUUAUCUAUAUCUAUGUGUUGUCUCUCUACUUUUAAAUUUUUCUGAUUUCUUUUUCUUAUUUCAUUUUUUUCAAGUCAAAUACCAUUAUAGAGGAGUUUUCCUAAAAAAAAUUUGGAAAUUUUAAUUUCGUUUCAGCCUUUUUGACCUAACGUUACCAUGCCACAACUUUGUUUUGGCAAAAUAAAGUAAGAUAAAGUUCAGAAAUAACAAAGUAGGCUCGUUAAUUAAAGACACAUAACAAUCUUUUGCUAAUUACCCUAAAUAGCAACAUGUAUAUGUAUUUUAUGGACAACAGAAUAUCAAAUACACAUACAAAUAUAGUUAAUUACGUUAUUUUUAGGUAAUAACUUGAGUUUAAAAAGUUAAAGAAUUUCAACUUUCUUAAAUCACGUCCACCCAACUAAUUAAAGAUUAAUAGAAGAUUCUAUUUCUAAAAAUCGACAGUUUUUUUAAUGAGUUUCAAAAUUCAAAUAGGUUUGAAUGAUAAUUUUUUUUAUUUUAUUUUUCUAUCUCUUCUUUUUUUUAUCUUUUUCAGUUUUUCCUUCGUUUUUUUCAUUUUUUCUAUUGUUUCAUUUUUUUCUUUGAACCUUUUUUUGUAUUUUUUUCUUUAUUGUUUCAUUUUUUUCCUUUUUGUUCAUUUUUCCACCUCUCCUCUAUAAUGUUUCUUUCUAACAGCAGUUUGACGUGACUCGGGCUUCUUCAUCGCCGUCACUGGCUCAGUAGUGCCGAUGACAGGUAAGUAGACAUUAUCUCUCUCUCCCUCUCCUCCUCUUAGGUUUUCUCUCUUUUCCCCUUUGCCUCUCCCCUAUAUUCGCACUUCUCACUGCUCUCGCCAGUGAGAUAAGUCCCCUUUGACUUGACUCUGGCGACGUAGAUAGUGCAACUCCGGUCACAGGCAAAAAAUUUUGAUGGAUCCAGAUCUGCCCAACCAGAUUUAAUUUCGGCAAUAUUCCGGCAAAGCUCUAGAAAUAAUAUUCCGGCGACCAGUUUUUGCAUCAAUUUAUUGGAAUCUAACAUACUACGCAAGAGAAGAGGACUUGGUCUACAAACGUAACUCGAUGACUUCUAACCUUUGAUAUUUAAUUUCUCUUAUUAUUUCUUGUCUCUUGCCUUCUUUUAAUUUGCGUGAGCCUUCUGUUUCUGACUACUAUUGUUUUUGUUUUGUCUUUGUAUUUUUUACUAGUAGUGGCUUUGGAGGUUGAUAGUUGGAUAGGGUCAUGUUUGAUGGAGUUGGGAUUGGAGGAUGUUUUAGGGGUAAAGAAGAGAGAAGGGCUGGUUUGGGAGUGGGGACAAGGGUUGGUGUUAGGAUAGGUUUGGGGUAUGAAGUGAGAGGUAGUAGAGGUAGACGUGAUGUAAGAGAUAAUAGGUUAAGGGUUGGGUCUUGGAACAUAGGGAACCUUCAGGGUAAGUCCAUAGAGAUUGUGAAGAUUCUUAGAAAGAGGAGGAUCAACAUUACGUGUAUUCAGGAGAACAAGUGGGCAGGGUCUAAGGCUAGGGAUGUGGAUAGGUACAAGCUAUGGUACUCAGGUAGUGAGAGGCAUAGGAAUAGAGUAGGCAUCUGAGUAAAUGAAGAGCUUAAAGGGCAAGUAAUGGAGGUUAAGAGGGUUAGCAAUAGAUUGAUGACUAUUAAGUUGGUCAUUGGGGGGUUUACUCUAAAUGUGUGUAGCAUUUAUGCGCCAUAAGUUGGCUUGGACGUAGAGGAGAAGAACAGGUUUUAGGAGGCUUUGGAUGAGGUGGUGAGAGGUGUGCCUAGCUCUGAUAAGAUUAUGGUAGCAGGAGAUUUCAAUGGGCACAUCGGGGUAUUACCAGGAGGUUAUGGUGAUGUGCAUGGAGUUUUUGGUUUUAGGGAGAGGAACAAAGAGGAAGAUACUCUAUUGGAUUUUGUGAGGGUCUUUGGGAUGGUGGUAAUGAACUCGAGCUUUUUGAAGAAGGAAGAUCACCUGAUUACCUAUUGAAGUGCGAUAGCCAAGACUCGAAUUGACUUUUUUCUACCUAGAAAGGGGGAUAUGGCGCUAUGUAAGGAUUUUAAGGUCAUUCCGAGUGAGAAUCUUUUGACCCAACAUAGGCUUCUGGUGAUGGACAUAGUAAUAAAGAAGGAUAAUAAGAAAAGGGGCGGGGAGGGUCGACCCAGAAUUAAAUGGGGUGGCUUGACGCCGAUAAAUGCACCAAAGAUACGGGAAAAAGUAGCGGUAAUAGCGAUGUGGGAGUAUAGAGGAACAUGGAUGAUAUGUGGGAUAGGGCUGCUAGUUGUAUCAAGGAGAAUGCUAGAGAGGUGUUGGGGGUCUUGAGGGGUCGGGUUGGAUAGCAUCGGGGGGACUGGUGGUGGAAUGAAGAAGUUAAGAAGAAAGUGAAGACUAAGAAGGAGGCGUAUGCUAAGUUGGUUAAGAGUAAGAAUAAAGAGGAGAAACGGGUCAAUAGGAAGGAGUACAAGUUAGCUAGGAAGGAGGCUUAGUUAACAGUGACGACUACUAAGAUGGCAGUGUUUGAGAGCUUGUAUAUGGGGUUAGAGCAAAAGGGUCGUGACCUAUACCAAGUGAAGUACAUUAAGGGAGAUGAUGGUAGAGUACUUGUGGAGGACGUUCAUAUUAAGAGAAGAUGGCAGUCGUAUUUUCAUGAACUCUUGAAUGAGGAGGGGGACAGAGACAUUGUGUUAGGAGAGCUGGAGCACUCAGAGGAGUGUCGUAAUUUCAUUUUUUAUAGACGUUUUAGGAUGAAGAAGGUCAAAGAGUCUAUUAGUAGGAUGCGAAGGGGUAGGGUGAUGGGGCCUGAUGAGAUACUAGUAGAUUUUUGGAAGUUUACUAGCGAGGUUGGUUUAAGGUAGUUGACAGAAUUAUUUAAUAGCAUUUUCAAGAUGAUGAAAAUGCCCGAGGCCUGGAGAUGGAGUACUUUGAUUUCAUUAUAUAAGAACAAGGGGGACAUCCAGAGUUAUAACAACUAUAGGGGUAUUAAGUUGUUGAGUCACACUAUAAAGCUUUGGAAGAGAGUGGUCAAGCGGAGGUUGAGGAGGAUAUUGUCUAUUUCAGAGAAUCAGUUUGGAUAUAUGCCCGAUCACUCGACGACUAAGAAAAUUUACCUGGUGUGGAGACUGGUGGAGCAGUAUAGGAAAAAGAAGAGGGAUUUGCAUAUGGUGUUCAUCGACCUGGAGAAGGCGUACGGCAAGGCCCUUAGAGAGGUUCUUUGGAGAUACUUGGAGGUAAGUGGAGUCCCAGUGGCGUACAUCAGAUUAAUUAAAGACAUGUAUGAUGGAGCAAAGACUUAGGUGAGGACGACAUGUGGAGAUUCAAAGCAUUUACCUAUCUUGACAGGGUUGCAUCAAGGAUCGACUCUUAGCCUAUUUUUAUUUGCAUUGGUGAUGGAUGUGUUGACGCGGCGUAUUCAAGGAAAGGUGCUUUGGUGUAUGCUUUUUACGGAUGAUGUAGUUUCUAUUGAUGAAAUAUGGGGGAGUGAUAAAUUAAAGGUUUGGAGACAAACCCUUAAGUCUAAAGGAUUCAGGUUGAGUAGGGCCAAGACAAAAUAUAUGGAAUGUAAGUUUAGUGACUUGAGGCAGGAGAACGAAGUGGUAGCAAGGUUGGAUUCCAGGUUAUUUGUGAGAAGGACAGUUUUAAGUAUCUCGGGUCUAUGAUUCAGGGGAAUGGAGAGAUUGACAAAGAUGUCUCCCACCAUAUUGGCGCAGGAUAGAUAAAGUAGAGGAUUGCUUCUGGGAUGUUAUGUGAUAAGAAGGUGUCAGCGAAGCUUAAAGUCAAAUUCUAUAGAGUGGCAGUUCAUCCAACCAUGUUGUAUGGAGUAGAGUGUUGGCCUGUCAAGAACUCCCACAUUCAAAAGUUGAAGGUGGCGGAAAUGCGGAUAUUGUGUUUGAUAUGCGGGCUUAAUAAGAGUGAUAAGGUUAGAAAUAAAAUUAUUCGGGAGAAGGUAAGAGUGGCUUCGGUGGAGAACAAGAUACGAAAAAUUAGGUUGAGAUGGUUCGGACAUGUGAUGAGAAGGGGCACAGAUACCCCAGUUUGUAGGUGUGAGAGGCUAGCUUUGGACGGUUUCAGGCGGGGUAAGGGUAGGUCGAAGAAAUACUGAAGAGAGGUGAUUAGAUAUGAGAUGGAACAGCGACAGCUUACCGAGGACAUAACCCUAGAUAGGGAGGUGUGGAGGACGUGAAUUAGGUUAAAAGGCUAGUGCAUGUGGGGGGUCAUAGCCAGUAGUUAGAAGAGCUUUGGGGUAGCUGGGCUGGUAGUCUUAGAUCUAUCUUCAAAGGUUGGAGAUGAUAGUAAGAGGGUAGGGGGUGCCUUGGUUCAUCAGUGUAGAGUUUUACUUUGUGGGUGUCUUAUUUCUGCUAUUUCUUCUUGUUUCAUGCGUUAUUACGACUUUGAUUAUUAUUCUUUGUAUUAAGCCAGAGGUCUACCGAAAACAGUCUCUCUACUUCUCCGGAGGUAGUGGUAUGAACUACAUGUAUUUCACCAUCCCCAGACCCUACUAUGUGGGAAUACACUGGGUUUGUUAUUGUUGUUUUUUCAUGUAUUUUCUUCUCGUUCUUUUGUUUUGGUUGUUGUAGUUUAUAAUUAUAUAUUUUUUUAUAUUUUAUACUUAUUUGUAUCAAAUUAUAUAUUUUAAAUUAACUAUUUAUAUUCUAAUAGUUAGUCGUGAAUAUGUACAAUUUAUUAUUUGUAUUUGUAUACAAACAAGUAUAUGUAUUUGUUGUAUUUGCUUAAGUCUAAAAUAUAUAAAUACAUAUGCAAUGGAUCAUUAAUACAAAUGUAUCGUUAGUAUUUGUAUGUCAAAUUUAGCAUUUGUGUUUAUAUAUAUAAAUAUGUAUCAUUUGUAUACGUAUGAUUCAAGUUGUAUAAACAUGAAUCAUUUGAUACAAAUCUAUAUUUUGCAUUUGUACAAUUUAUUAUUUAUAUUUGUUCAAUUUGUAUCAAUAAAUACAAUUUGGAUUAAUCAAUAUAAAUACAAGUGUUCAAAGAAAGAAAAAUAACAAAUCUUUUUCACUUGUUUAAAAAUAAAAAUGAUGCAGUCAAUUACAAAUUCAAAUAUAAAUAACCAAAAUUACAAAUGCAAAUAUAAAUUAAUUCUUUAAAAGUACAAAUGUAUCGAUGAAAAUAGAAUAUAAAUAUAAAUAUAAAUAUAAAUAUAAAUAUAAAUAUAAAUAAAAUAAAAUCAAAAAAUACAAAUAGAAUAUGCAGUCAACUACAAAUACAAAUGUAAAAUAAUUUUUUAAAUAAAGGUGUCAAUUGUACAAAAUAUAAAUAAUGGUGCGAACUAUAAAAUACAAAUACAAGUAUGAACUAUAAAAUACAUACAAAUAUAAGUGUGAACCAUAAAAUACAAAUAUAAAUGUAUCAAUGAAUACAAAAAUAUAAAGAAUACAAAUACAAAAAAACAAUUAUGAUAUUUUCAUUAUCAUUUAUAUGUUGUGAUCGAUGUAUCUAUAUUUUUAAAAAAUAAAAAUAUAAAAUAGAACAAAAAAUAAAGAAUAUAUAUAUAUAUAUAUAUAUAUAUAUAUAUAUAUAAGAGAAAUGAAAAAAGAAAAAAGAAGAAGAAAGGAAAGUAGAAGCAAGAUAUAGAAAAGUAAAAAUAAAUUGAAAAGAAAGAAAUUAAAAAAAAACUAAAAUAAAAAAAAUAAAAAUAGGAAAAUAAAAAGAUAAAAAAAAUUAAAAACAGAAAAAAAAUAAAAGCAAGAUAUAGAAGAGUAAAAAAACAAUAAGAAAGAAAGAAAAAAACAAAAAUAGGAAAAGAAAAAGAAAAAAAGAAAAAUAAAAAAAUAAAAAUAGAAACUAGAGAUAAAAGAGGAAAAAGGCGAAAAGAAAGAGAAAAAAAACAAAAGUAGAAAAAGAAAAAAAUGAGAAAGAAAAAAAGGUGAAAAAGAAAAAUCAAUAAAGAAAAAAAGGAAAAGGGAAAAAAAGAAAGAGAAAUAUAAAUUGGAAAUAGAAGAGAGAGAAAAAAUGAAAAAAAUUGAAUAAGAAAAAAAUCAAAAGAGAAAAAAUAAAAUAAUUCUUUAAAAGUACAAGUAUAUCGAUGAAAAUAGAAUAGAAAUAUAAAUAGAAACAAAACAAAAUCAAAAAAUACAAUAUGUAGUUAACUAUAAAUACAAAUAUAAAAUAAUUCUUUAACUACAAGUGCGAAUUGUAUAAAAUAUAGUAGUUUCAUGAGGCCUAUGCUAAGCCCGGGUCCAAACUUAAAGUAUAAAAAUAAUAAUUUAUAUCAUAAAUUUUUUUACUUUAUAAUCAGUAUAUCUAAAGAUCUGCUUAACAAGUCUUAUUGAUAAGUUUUCAUAAUUAUUAGAGUUUUUAAUCACAAAAUUUGAUAAUUUUAAAUAAAAAAUAUUAUUUAUGAAGCUAAAAAUAUUAACAGAGAAUUAGAAUAUAUCAAAAAACUUCAAGUAAUUCAAUAUUUUAUAUAAUGACAUAAUUUAAAAUAGAGUAAAACAUCUAGUACCCUCUCGAACUAUGGCCAAAGUUGCUAUGAUACAGUGCAACUUCACAGGGAUCAUAUUACCCCUGAACUCAAUUUUAGUGUAUUUUUAUCACCCUUUUUAGCUGACGUGACACCUUUGAUGUGGGCUCCAUUUUUAUGUAAUAAAGGUGUCAUGUCAGCACAAAAGAGUGACAAAAAUACGCUAAAAUUGAGUUCGGGGGAGGGGGUAAUAGCACUCAUGUGGAUUUGUAGUGUGUCGUAGCAACUCUGACCAUAGUUCGGAAGUACUAAAUGCUUAUCUCUUUAAAAUAUUUAAUAAUUAGAUUUAGAUGAAGAUCAUAAAUAGAAAAAGAUAUUGAUAUUUUUAUAAAAUUUGCAAGUAUUUGUUUUCUUAGUUAUAGCUAAAAAUAAAUUUAUUUUGAUAUUUAUUGAGUUUUAAUAACUACAUUAUUACACUGAAAGCAAAACAUACGGCUCUCUCUCUCCAACGGCUCUCUCCCCCUCUCUCCUUGUUUUCUUAGUUAUAGCUAAAAAUAAAUUUAUUUUGAUAUUUAUUGAGUUUUAAUAACUACAUUAUUACACUGAAAGCAAAACAUACGGCUCUCUCUCUCCAACGGCUCUCUCCCCCUCUCUCCCCCUCUCUCUCUCGCCCGACCCUCUCCCCACCCCCAGCUUACCGGCCCCGGUUCCCGGCGCCGUCGCCGACCCGAUCCGGCCGCCGGCUCCGACCGACGGUCGCCGGCGCUGAUCAGAUCGCCGGCUACGGCCUCCGGUCGCCGGUUCUCCUUCUCCCUCUCUCUCUCUCUCUCUACCCCCCUCUCCAUCCCAAGCGUACCGGCCCGGUCCCCGGCGCCGUCGCUGAACGUCGGAGCCGACCAGAUCCGACCGCCGGCUCCGACCUCCGGUCGUCGCUCCCCGGCGCCGACCCGACUGGACCGCCGGUCGUCGCUCUCCGNNNNNNNNNNNNNNNNNNNNNNNNNNNNNNNNNNNNNNNNNNNNNNNNNNNNNNNNNNNNNNNNNNNNNNNNNNNNNNNNNNNNNNNNNNNNNNNNNNNNNNNNNNNNNNNNNNNNNNNNNNNNNNNNNNNNNNNNNNNNNNNNNNNNNNNNNNNNNNNNNNNNNNNNNNNNNNNNNNNNNNNNNNNNNNNNNNNNNNNNNNNNNNNNNNNNNNNNNNNNNNNNNNNNNNNNNNNNNNNNNNNNNNNNNNNNNNNNNNNNNNNNNNNNNNNNNNNNNNNNNNNNNNNNNNNNNNNNNNNNNNNNNNNNNNNNNNNNNNNNNNNNNNNNNNNNNNNNNNNNNNNNNNNNAAAACAACAAGUACUUUGAAUAUUAGUUGACAGAAAUGGUAAUCUAGUCUGUUUAGCACCAGGACAUAUGCUACACUGCUUUAUUCUAUCUUCUAUCACUUGUACUUCUUAACCUACAAUCCUCUUUAACACUCCAGUUGAAGCAUAUCCCAACCUUUGGUGCCACAAAUCCACUUCAGCUUGUGUCUUGUCCAUAGUCACUUCAGUAGUUGCUUUAGUUACUGCUGCAACUUCAUUCUUUGGCUGAUCUUCAAGUAGAUAUAAGCCUUCAUCAAGUUUCCCCAUCCCCUUCACUUUUUCAGUAUAAAGAUCCUGGAAAACACAGAAAUCUGGGAAGAAGUUCACUGAACAAUGCCAUUCCUUUGUCACUUGUGAUACUGAUAGAAGACUACAUGAAAACCGUGGGAUAUGAUAGACAUUUGUUAUGGUGUUUAUAUUUGAUAGACAACUGGUUCCCACAUGUGUGACCAUGGUAGUAUCACCAUUUGGUAGGUACACUUUCUUUGGAUUUUGUAAUUCUAUAGCUGUCUUGUUAAGUAACAACUCUGAAUUACCAACCAUAUGAUUAGUAGCACCUGUAUCCAUAAUCCAUUUCUGUGAACCAAAAGAAGCUAAACAAGCAGAAGUACCUGCACUUGUUACAUUUGCAGACUCAGUAGAUGUGUUAAUAGUGUUGUUCUUGUUUAUCAGUUGUAAGAUUUUCUCAUAUUUUCCUUGGUGAAUGCUGUAUUUCCAAUCUGACUUAGUUGAGCCAACUGAUUAUCUGCACUUAUUGAUUGUCCUGCAUCUUUAGUAUAACAACCCAUUUGAUCAACUGCAUAUUCAUAAGACUCCAAGGCUACAUUAUAAGUUGUGUUAGAUCCUUCAUGCCUGAGCUUCUUUUUAGCCUUAUAAUCUUGAGGAUAACCAACCAACUUCCAACAGUUUUCUUUGGUAUGCCCCUUGAGUUUACGGAAAUCACACUGCACUUGCACAUUUCUUUUGUAUUUGUGACCUUGGCUUCCACCUACUCCAUUUCUCGCAUACAUGACUUGUUAAAGAUUGUUGCCUAUACUUGUAGGUUCAUGCCCAGAAUUCCUACCUGACUUGCAAUAGAUUUGUGGCUUUUAUCACUUAUUACCAUUGCAUAAGCUUGGUUAAUAGUUGGGAGAGGGGUCAUAAGUAAGAUUUGGCUCCUUGCUUGUGUGUAGGACUCAUUCAGACCCAUAAGAAACUGGAACUUCAGUUUUUGCAGAUGUAAGAGACACUCCUUUGAUUUAUCACAAUUACAUCCAGGUGCUGGCACAAGAGCUUCAAACUCUUCCCACAAAUCUUUGAGUUUGGAGAAAUACACAGAUACUGAGGCUGUACCUUGAGACAAUGUAGCAAUCUCCUUGUGCAGAUUGAAUGUUCUGGCCCCAUCCACCUUGUUAAACCUUUCAAAUAGUUCAUUCCAGACAACAUUAGCCACAGAUGCAUACAUAAUUCCACCAAGCAACUCUUUAGAAACAGAGUUCAUGAUCCAUGACAGAACAAUUGCAUUUACUCUCUUCCAGUGAUUGCUUAGUUCAGUAGAGAACUUGUCUUUAGAGCAUGUUCUAUCCUCCAUAUCCAACUUGUUCCUCCCUAGUAAAGCUAUACACAUUGAUCUAAACUAGAUUGAGAAAUUCUCAACUCCUGUUAACUGGAAGGAGAUGAUUCGUAUGCCACUCACAUCAGAGGGACUAAGAAAGAGAGGAUGAUUGUAAUCCAAUGUUCUUGGAGUAAAUCCUGGAAGCCUCACCAGAAUCUACAACAGCAUUUUGAUUCACCAUUGUUGCAGAUUAGCAGUUCUUGAUUUUGCUGUGAAGCAACUAAUACACCAGAAUCGAUCUUGCUCUACUAGUUUUCUAGUGAGUAGUGCUCUGAUACCAUGUCAUUACAGUAAUUGAGAAUGAAGAACAAAUUAGGAAGAAGAAGAAGAAGAAGCAAGAGAUAAAGAAGAAGGAGAGAUUAUUAGAGAAGGAGUAAUUUUGUUGUAUUUCAUCAUCAAGCAAUGUACAUAGGCAUCUAUAUUUAUAGACUUGUGAAUGUACUAACUAACUAACUAGCCAUUAGUAGCCUUUGAGUAACUACCUAUUAGACAGUUGUAACAGAAUUUUGAACUAGUCUACUUUUGUCUCUUCUCUGUUCUGUUUCCUCUUCAUAUUUAACAAUACUUCAACACUGCUCCACUCUUCUCUUCAUACUUCAACACAGGACUUGUCCGAGGAUGACAUGUGCAUUUCUUUUUGGCUAAAUGCUGGCAUAUGUUUGGGAUUUGGCUAGAGACAUGACUUGUUACUUGAUUAUAUUUGUGGCAUGCUGUGAAAUCAAUGCGCAACAAUGUAUUGGAAGGGAAAAGAGAUUUAGAUAAAGGAGGCUUGAAACAAAAAUGCCUACCGUAUGAUCUGAUUUUUUCAUAGUCAAUCUAACAUCCUAUUUCAAUGAAUCCUUCUUCUUAAGCAAAGUCAAGCCAGUCUCAUAUGAUUUUGAUGGCAUGUGAAGUACUAAAGUCUAAAGGUGAAUUUAUUCUUCAGUGUCUUUGCACUUUAAAUCUAGCUAGUAUUUUAUCAAUCCUCUUCUCUGUCCAGAGCUAGUUAGUAAGACUGAUAACAUUUGUCUAUGACAUUUUUACUUUGUCUUAUAGUGGUCUUAAUCAAGAAAUGAAAUCUAAAUCUUUCUCUACCUAGAAUAUAUAAAAACUUCUCUAAGUGUUGUUCUCCUGACUGCGGUGAAAUUCUUAAGUGCUUCUAGAUUAGGCUGCCAGUUCUUAGAAAUGGUAGAACCUCUGACUUCGUUUAUGCUGGCUGGUCUUUCCAGAUCCUGGACUGCUUAUUGGGACACAAUGAAGUGCUAUUCAGACGUGCUCAGCUGAAAGCCCUUGUUUCUAUUCAUGGCCAAGAGGUUUGAAUUGUAUCUUGAUUUAAUGGAGUAAUUUGAAUGUCUAGCUAGUUGUUACCAAGCUACAAGUUCCUUGGGCAUUUCAUAAACCAUGAUUCACUAUUGAGAAUUUUUGGCAGGCUGGCAAGGGUGGUGAACUUACACAUGAUGAAACAACAAUAAUUAGUGGAGCACUGGAUUUGACUGAGAAGGUAGUGUAUUUCUGACAUAUUCAAUAUGUCAGUAUCUGAGCCUGUAGUUUCUUCAACCCUCUAGUCUCUACUUUCCCUCUCUCUUUUAGACAGGAUGCUGUAAUAAUCAUCUUCUCAUUUGUUCUUUAUUCUUCUUGUCUUAUUGAUAGACUGCUGAGGAGGCAAUGACGCCCAUUGAGUCAACAUUUUCAUUGGAUGUCAAUUCAAAGCUGGACUGGUGAGUGUUGGGCAUUUAGUCUGCAAUGCUCUUAACUUAUCAAACUUAGUCUUCUGCUCUUCGAAUCCUGUGAAGUGUCAUAUCAGAUAAUGGGUUUCCAAGGAAAGUAUCUAUGUUAUGUCAUCUGCUUCUGUGUUGUACUAUGUGUUUGUUUGAUAUCUCGUAACUUGAGCCGGGGGUCUUUCGGAAACAGCCUUUCUACUUCAUCAGAGGUAGAGGUAUGGACUGCGUACAUCUUACCCCCCCCAGACCCCACAAAGUGGGAAUACACUGGGUUUGUUGUUGUUGUUGUAUUGAGUUUUAAUUUUCCUCAUAAUUUUAGUGUCAAUAAUUUUUUCUAAUUGCGUUUUUUUCUUCUUAUCAAAUCAUCUGGAAAAAAAGUCAAUGCUUUCAAAUGAUAUUAUAGCUAUAAUAAUUAUAACUUCAAUUAAGAGUUUUUAUAUAAAUUAAUUUAAUAAGAAUAUAUAAGGAUAUCAAAUGAUAAGUAAACUAAAUUAUUAGCUUGCUCCAUUCGGUCUAUUUACUUAUUAUGUUUAUUUUUUACAUGCCCCUUACAAGAAUAACCUAUUCAUCUUAUUUUAAUUAUUGUUUUAUACUUUUUCAUGUUCACUAUGAGAAACAAUAAAUAUAAGAUAUUAUUUAUUAUACUAUAAUAUAAAAAAUAACUAUGAAGCUAUAGUUGAAAUCAUUGAAAACUUUAAUUUUGUAAGAAAAGUUAGCUUGAAUAUUGUUGAUUUAAAAUGAAAGGAGUUUUAAUUAAAUAGUAAUCUAACAUGUGGCAAGAAGAAAUCAAUUAUAAAAACCCAAGUGCAAUGAUCUUAACAAAAAGAAUAAGGGCGAAAAUAAAUGUAAUUAAAAAACACCAUUAAUUAUCAUGUGUAGUAAUUUUAUUUCACCAAAAAAUUAAAAUAUCAAAAAAGCCCUUACGAAAGCUACCAAAAUCUCAAGAUCCUUUAUGUUUUAGUGGUAAAAAAAGUAUUGGCUUCAAAAGUUGUUCAACUUUUAUCGUAUUAUUUUUCAAAAGAUAAUUUGACUUAUUCUAAAGCUAAACUAUGUUAUAUUAAUUCAAUAAAAUUAGAAAUUAGAUAUUCGAAACUAUAUGAAAAACAAAUACCAUAAAUUGCAAUGAUUAUACCAACAUAAUAAUAUUUUUUCUUUAAAAUAUUGAUUAAAAUUCAUAUAAUUUGAUCUUCAAAAGUGAAAUGUGACAAAUAUUUUAAGAUGAAGAAGAAAAUAAUUUAAUAAAACCAAAAAGAAAUUCAACCAAUUACAAAGGUUCAUGUGGAAAAUCUUAAAAGGAGAAUUGUGAAAAAACAAUGCCACAUGUAAGACUUUCAUACCAUAAAUUUUAAUGUGAGUACUACCAAAAUUUUUGUUCUCUCUUAUAUAUUGUAUAAAAAUGAUAGUGCAAACUAUAAAAUACAAAUCCAAGUACGAAUUAUAAAAUAUGUACAAAUAUAAAUGUGAACUAUAAAAUACAAAUACAAUUAUAUCAAUGAAUACAAAAAUAUAACAAAUACAAAUAUAAUAGAUAAUUAUGAUAUUUUUAUUAUCAUCUAUGGCUUGUGAUCGACGUAGCCAUAUUUUUCAAAAAUAUAAAAUAGAACAAAAAGUAGACGAGAAAGAAAAAAAAAAAAUAUAUAUAUAUAUAAAAAAGAGAAACAAAAAAAAAAAGAAAGAGAAGUAGAAUCUAGUUAUAGAAAAGUAAAAAUAAAAUGAAAAGAAACAAAUAAAAAAACAAAAAUAGAAAAAAAUGAAAAAUUAUAAUAGUAAAAAAAAUAUAACCUAGAUAUAGAAAAUUAAAAAAAAAGAUAAGAAAGAUACCAAAAAAUAAAAAUAGGAAAAGAUAAAGGAAAAAAAUAAAACUAGAAGCUAGAGAUAGAAGAGUAAAAAAGUAAUAAAAAGGAAAAAAAUGAAAAAUGAAAAAAGAAAAAAAAAUCAAAAUAGAAAUUAAAAAUAAAAGAGACCAAAAAAGUUAUAAAAUUGAAAAAGUAAAAACAUCAAAAUCAAAAAAAAAAAAAACUAAAAAGAAAAAAAAGUGAAAAUGAAAAAGGAAAAAAGAAAGAGAAAAAAAGGUUAGAGAUAUAACAGAAAGAAAGAGAAAAAAAUUAGUGAGAAUAAAAAGGACUAAAAUAUUAUAUUACUUUGCUAUUUUAUUUAUUUCUUUCAAUAAUAAUACUAUUUAACUUAGUUAUAAACUUAUGUUUGCUAGUCUAUUUAUUUUUAGAGUUGUCAAUAUGGAUCGGCUCAGUCCAGCCAGGCUAGCCCACAUGGACUUUGAGUUUGAGGGGUCAGGCUGGGCUGACCCAUCAAAAUAAUGGGCCAAAAUACACCAAGCCCACACCAUUACUCUGUGGAUUGUGGGCCUCACGGGCCAGCCCACUUUUCUAAAAAAUAAUAUUUUAUAAUUUAAUUUUAAAUUAUUAAUAAACAUAAAUAUUACCAGAUAAUAUUACAUAGUGUUAAUACUUGUUAAUCAAGUCUCCAACAUCCCAAAAAAUACUCCUAAUAGUGAAAUUAAAUAACUUUUGACAUGAUAUCCUUCGAAUCAAAUAAAAAUAUUAAUAAGCAAUCUAAAUAGUUACAUGUAUUUGACAUACGGGCCGGCCUACGGGUUAGCCCAACCCACAUUACUCAAGCUCCACGGGCCACGAACUUAUUCGAGUUGGGCUAAAAAGCCCUGUUCUUAAAUGGGCUGCAAAAACUGAAGCCCAACUCCAUCAAAUUACAGGUCAAGUCGGGUCGGCCUAACGAGCCUCACCCAUAUUGAUGAGGAAAUUACAUGUGAAUCUCAAAAAUAGACUCAAAUUGUGGUGGCUUUCAAAUUUUAGCCCCAAAUAAAAUUAUUUUUUUUAAAAUAGCCUUUACCUAUUAACUAAUAUUUUUUUGAACGAAAUUAUCCCUGAUCAAUGAAGUAAAUUACAUAAAUGAUCCUCAUAAUGGAUAACAACUCCAUAUUUAUAUCUUUCAAUUAUUUCUUCUCUUUUUAAUUUUACUUUGAUUUUUAUUUUUUAUUUUCUCUUUUUAUUUUUAAUUUUCUCAAUCAUUACUUUUUUCCCUUUUUCCUCUCAACUUCUUUUUUUUUUUCUUUUAUAUUAUUUUGAUUUUGUUAUUUUUUCUUUCCUCUUUUUUUUUUUUUUAAUUUUUUUAGUUUUUCUCAAUCCUUACUUUUUCUCUUUACACCUCUCAACGUCUACUUUUGUAAAAAAGAAAAACUUUUAUUUUUUUAAAAAAAAAAUUCUCGACCUUUAUUUUUAUUUUUAUUUUUUUAUUUUUAUCAAUCUUUAUUUUUUCCUAUUCUCUCUCAACUUCUAUAUUUUCUUUAAUUUUUAUUUUUUUAAUAUAUUUUUUUUAAUAUAAUUUUUAUUAUUUUUGUUCUUUUCUUCGAUUUCUUCCAUUCAAGUUAUAUCACAUGAGCAAAAGUUGACACCAUCAAAUUAUAAAGGUAAGACUUAUGACUUUCGAACAACAAAUUACGUUUCAUGGACAAGAGUUGACCCUACUAUUUUGUAAAGGCAAAACUUAUGACUUUCAAACAACAAGUUAUGUUUCAUGGGCAAGAGUUGACACUACCACAUUGUAUUUUGAUUUAUGAGAUGUUUUAUAACUCUUACCUUAGAAGCAAGACUUAGCUCAGGGACUUUCAAACAACAAAUUAUACCCCACGGGCAAGAGUUGACUCUACUACGUUAUGUUUCCAAUUAUGAGAUGUUCUACAACUAUCACUUUAGAGUCAAGACUUAGCUGAAGGACUUUUAAACUAUAAAUUAUGCCCCACAGGUAAGAGUUGACUCUAUCACGUUAUAUUUUCAUUUAUGAGAUGUUCUACAACUAUUGCCUUAGAAGCAACACUUAGCUCAAAGACUUUAAUUUCAAACUACAAAUUAUGCCUCACGGGCAAGAGUUGACUCUACCACGUUAUGUUUUUAUUUAUGAGAUAUUUUAUAAUUCUUACCUUUGAGGCAAGACUUAGCUCAAGGACUUUCAAACAAUAAAUUAUUCCCCAUGGGCAAGAGUUGACUCUCCCAUGUUAUGUUUUCAUUUAUGAGAUGUUCUACAACUAUUGCCUUAGAGGCAAGACUUAGCUCAAGGACUUUCAAACUACAAAUUAUGCCCCACGGGCAAGAGUUGACUCUACCACGUUAUAUUUUUAUUUAUGAGAUGUUCUACAACUAUUGCCUCGGAGGUAAGACUUAGCUCAAGAACUUUCAAACUAGAAAUUAUGUCUCACGGACAAGAGUUGACUCUACCACGUUAUAUUUUCAUUUAUGAGAUGUUCCACAACUAUUGCCUUAGAGGCAAACUUAAUUCAAGGACUUUUAAACAACAAAUUAUGCCCCAUGGGCAACAGUUGACUCUACCACGUUAUAUUUUCAUUUAUGAGAGGUUCUACAACUAUUGUCUUAGAGGUAAGACUUAGCUCAAGGAAUUUCAAACUACAAAUUAUGCCCCACGGGCAAUAGUUAACUCUACCACGUUAUGUUUUUAUUUAUGAGAUGUUUUACAACUAUUGCCUUAGAGGCAAGACUUGGUUCAAGGACUUUCAAACUACAAAUUAUGCCCCACGGAUAAGAGUUGACUUUACCAUGUUAUGUUUUCAUUUUUGAGAUGUUCUACAACUAUUGUCUUAGAGAAAAAACUUUGCUCAAGGACUUUCAAACUACAAAUUAUGCCCCACGGAUAAGAGUUGACUUUACCACGUUAUGUUUUCAUGCUCUUAAAUUUGCUUUUAUGUCAAAAAAAGAAGAUUCCUUUGCGGAUUAUUUAAUUUUUUAUUUAUUAGCAAAAUAAAAUAGAAGUUGAGAAAAAAGAAAAAAAACGAUCAAACAAAAUAGAGAAAUAAAAAAAUGAGAAAAAAAUAAAGAUUAAGAAAAAAAUGAAGAAUUAAAAAAAUGAGAAAAAUAAAAAUGAGAGGAAAAAAAAUAAAGUUUGAAAAAAUGAAGGAAAAAAAGAGAAAUGAUAAAAACCAAAAAGAAAAAAAAAUAAAGGUUGAGACAAAUGAAUUAAAAAAAAUGAAGAAAUAGAUAAUGUUUGAGAAAAAGGGAAAAAGAGAAUAAAAUAAAGGUUGAUACAAAUGAAUUAAAACAUGAAAAUAAAAUUAAAGAAAAAAUAAAAAAAGUGAAUGAUAAAAAUAAAAAUAGAAUUUGAGAGAAAAAUGAGUAUGAAAAGUAAAAAAAUAUUUGAGGUGUAAAGGACAAAAUUGUACUUGUACUAUACUAAAAAGGAAGAAAUAGAUAAUGCUUGAGAAAAAAAAAGAGGAAAAAAAAUAAAGGUUGAGACAAAUAAAUUAAGACAUGAAAAUAAAAUUAAAGGAAAAAGGUGAAAAUAAUAAAAAAUAGAACAUAAAAGACAAAUGAUUAUGGAAAGUUUAAAAAUAUUUGAGAUGUAGAGGGGUAUUUGAGAAAAGACAGGAAAAAAAAAGAGAUAUAAUAAAAACAAAAAAUAAAGGUUAAAGAUGAAUGAAUUUAAAAAAAGGAAAAAAAAUAAAGAAAUAGAUAAUGCUUGGGGAAAAAAGAGAGAAAAAAAUAAAGAUUGAGACAAAUGAAUUAAAACAUGAAAAUAAAAUUAAAGAAAAAUAAAAAAGUAAAAAUAAUAAAAAAUAGAAUUUAAGAGACAAAUAAGUAUGAAAAGUUUAAAAAUAUAUUUCAGGUGUAGAUGGGCAAAAUUGUACUUGUACAGUACUUAAAAAAGAAGGAAGACAACUUUUCAAAGAUUUUUCUUAUUGAGGUCAAAAAUCUAAAGUCACCCACAUUUAGGUUAGAUUUUUGACCCCAAUAAGAAAAGUUUUUAAAAACUAGUCUUCCUUCCUUUUUAAGUACUGUACAAGUACAAUUUUGCCCAUCCACACCUCAAAUAUAUUUUUAAACUUUCUGUACUCAUUUGUUUCUUAAAUUCUAUUUUUCAUUAUUUUUCACUCUUUUUAUUUUUUCUUUAAUUUUAUUUUCAUUUUUUAAUUCAUUUAUCUCAAUCUUUAUUUUUUUUUCUCUCUUUUUUCCCCAAGCAUUAUCUAUUUCUUCUUUUUUUUUCUUUUUUUUUUAAAAUUCAUUUGUCUUUAACCUUUAUUUUUAGUUUUUAUUAUUUCUCUUCUUUUUUUAUUGUUUUUUCUCAAAUACCCCUCUACAUCUCAAAUAAUUUUAACACCAACAACAAACCCAGUAGAUUCCCACAUCGUGAGGUCUGGGGAGGGUAGAGUGUACGCAGACCAUACCACUACCUCUAACAAAGUAGAGAGGUAUCUCAAAUAUUUUUAAAAUUUCCAUAAUCAUUUGUUUCUCAAAGUCUAUUUUUUAUUAUUUUCACUUUUUUUAAAAAUUUAUUUUCAUGUUUUAAUUUAUUUGUCUCAACCUUUAUUUUUUUCCUCUUUUUUUUUUCUCAAGCAUUAUCUAUUUCUUCCUUUUUAGUAUAGUACAAGUACAAUUUUGUCCUUUACACCUCAAAUAUUUUUUAACUUUUAAUGUUCAUUUGUCUCUCAAAUUCUGUUUUUAUUUUUAUUAUUCAUUUUUUUUAUUUUUUCUUUAAUUGUAUUUUCAAUGUUUUAACUAAUUUGUCUCAACCUUUAUUUUUUUCUCUUUUUUCUCAAACAUUAUUUAUUUCUUCAUUUUAAAAAAAAAAAUCAUUUGUUUCAACCUUUAUUUUGGAGUUUUAUCAUUUUUCUUGUUUUUCCUCAUUUUUUUCAAACUUUAUUUUUAUUUUUUCCUCUCAUUUUUAUUUUUCUCAAUUUUUUAAUUCUUCGCUUUUUUCUUAAUCUUUAUUUUUUCUUACCUUUUUUUUCUUUAUCUUUUUAGUUAUUUCUUUAUUUUGUUUGAUCGUUUUUUUCUUUUUUCUGAACUUCUAUUUUAUUUUGCUAAUAAAUAGAAAAUUGGAUAAUCUGCAAAGGAAUAUUCCUUUUUUGACAUCAAAGCAAAUUUAAGGGCAUAAAAACAUAACGUGGUAGAGUCAACUCUUACCCGUGGGGCAUAAUUUGGAGUUUGAAAGUCCUUGAACCAAGUCUUGCUUCUAAGGCAAUAGUGGUAGAACAUCUCAUAAAUGAAAACAUAACAUGGUAAAGUCAACUCUUGCCCGUGGGGCAUAAUUUGGAGUUUGAAAGUCCUUGAACCAAGUCUUGCUUCUAAGGCAAUAGUGGUAGAACAUCUCAUAAAUGAAAACAUAACGUGGUAGAGUUAACUAUUACCCGCGGGGCAUAAUUUGUAAUUUGAAAGUCCUUGACCCAAGUCUUGCCUCUAAGGCAAUAGUUGUAGAACCUCUCAUAAAUGAAAACACAACGUGGUAGAGUCAACUCUUGCCCAUGGGAAAUAAUUUGUUGUUUGAAAGUUCUUGAGCUAAGUCUUGCCUCUAAAGUAAGAAUUAUAAAACAUCUCAUAAAUGAAAACAUAACGUAGUAGAAUCAACUCUUACCCGUGAGGCAUAGUUUAUAGUUUGGAAUUAAAGUCCUUGAGCUAAGUCUUGCCUCUAAGGCAAUAGUUGUAGAACAUCUCAUAAAUGAAAACAUAACGUGGUAGAGUCAACUCUUACCCGUGAGGCACAAUUUGUAGUUUUAAAAGUCCUUCAGCCAAGUAUUGCCUCUAAGGCAAUAGUUGUAGAACAUCUCAUAACUAAAAACAUAACGUGGUAGAGUCAACUCUUAUCCGUAGGGCAUAAUUUAUAGUUUGAAAGUCCUUGAGCUAAGUCUUACCUCCGAGGCAAUAGUUGUAGAACAUCUGAUAAAUAAAAACAUAAUGUGGUAGAGUCAACUCUUGCCCGUGAGGUAUAAUUUGUAGUUUGAAAGUCUUUGAGCUAAGUUUUGCCUCUAAGGAAAUAGUUGUAGAACAUCUCAUAAAUGAAAACAUAACGUGGUAGAGUCAACUCUUGCCUAUGUGGAAUGAUUUGUUGUUUGAAAGUCCUUGAGCUAAGUCUUGCCUCUAAGGUAAGAAUUAUUAAACAUCUCAUAAAUGAAAACAUAACGCGGUAGAGUCAACUCUUGCCCCUAAGACAUAAUUUGUAGUUUGAAAUUAAAGUCCUUAAGCUAAGUCAUGCCUUUAAGACAAUACUUGUAGAAUAUCUCAUAAAUAAAAAUAUAACAUGGUAGAGUCAACUCUUACCCGUGGUGCAUAAUUUAUAGUUUAAAAGUCCUUUAGCUAAGUUUUGCCUCUAAGACAAUAGUUGUAGAACAUCUCAUAAAUGAAAAUAUAACGUAGUAAAGUCAACUUUUGGCCGUGGGGUAUAAUUUGUUGUUUGAAAGUCUCUGAACUAAGUCUUGCCUCUAAGGUAAGAGUUAUAAAACAUCUCAUAAAUCAAAAUAUAAUGUGGUAGUGUCAACUCUUGCCCAUGAAACAUAACUUGUUGUUUGCAAGUCAUAAGUUUUUCCUCUACAAUAUAGUAGUAUCGACUGUUGCCCAUGAAACGUAGCUUGUUGUUCAAAAGUCAUAAGUCUUGCCUUUAUAAUGUGAUAGUGUCAACUCUUGUUCAUGAGACGUAACUUGAAUAGAAGAAAUCGAAGAAAAGAACAAAAAUAAUAAAAAUUGCGAAAAAAAAGAAAAAUAUUUAAAAAUUAAAAAUCAAAUAAAAUGUAGAAGUUGAGAGAGAAUAGAAAAAAAUAAAUAUUGAUAAAGAAAAAAAAAGGUCGAGAAAAAUUUAAAAAGAAAAAAAGAACUGAAAAGAACAAAAAAAAAGGAAAGAAAAAAUAAAAAAUCAAAAUAAUAUAAAAUAAAAAAGAAAAAAAAGAAGUUGACAGUUAAAAAGGAAAAAAGAAAGGAUUGAGAAAAUUAAAAAUAAAAAUCAAAGUAAAAUUAAAAAGAGAAAAAAAGAAGUUGAAAGAUAUAAAUAUGAAGUUGUUAUCCAUAAUGACAACGGAAAAUGCUCAAAAAUAUCCCUGAACUAUUCAAAAUAGCUCAAAAUACCCCUCCGUUAAAUAUUUCAGUCAAAAAUAUCCCUUCAUCUGACGGAAUUCGGAAAAAAUCAAAAAUACCCUUGAACUAUCUGAAAUGGGUCAAAAAUUCCCCUCUGUUAAAUAUUUGGCUAAAAAAAUAUCCCUCCCUUAACGAAAUUAAAUUAUUUCGACUAUUUCGUUAAUUUAUAUAAAGUUCAUCAUUAAUUUAUAUUUCAUUAAUUUCUUUAAGUGAAAAUUUAUAUUUCGUUAAUUUCUUUAAAGAAUAAAAAGAUGCAAAGUGAAAAUACCUUUUUAGAAUAAAUGUAUAUUUAUUUUCCAAAUCAAAUUCAACCAUUUUAUAUUAUAAUUCAAAUACUUUUUUUCAUUAUCUUAUUUUUAAAAUUAAAAAAAUACUUUUAUGUAAAAAAAUUAAAGUAUUAGGUUAAAAAGUUAAAGUUAGGGUUUAAUUCAAUCGAAAUAAUUUAAUUUCGUUAAGGGGAGGGGUAUUUUUGAGCCAAAUAUUUAAUCGAGGGGUAUUUUUGAUCCAUUUCAGAUAGUUCAGGGGUAUUUUUGAUCCUUUUCCGAAUUUUGUUAGAGGGAGGGGUAUUUUUAAGCUAAAUAUUUAACGGAGGGAUAUUUUUGAGCCAAAAAUCUAAUGAGGGGUAUUUUUGAGGUAUUUCAGAUAGUUCAGGGGUAUUUUAAAGCCUUUUUCGUUAUGACAAUCAUUUAUGUAAUUUACUCCAUUGAUUAGAAAUAAUUUCGUUCGAAAAAAUAUUAGUUAAUAGAUAAAGACUAUUUUAAUUUUUUUUUUAUUUGGGACUAAAAUUAAAAAGCCAUCACAAUUUUAAUCUAUUUUUGAGAUUCACCUAUUUAUUUUUCUCAAUAAAAUAAUCCAAAUCCACAAAGAGUUAACAAUCAUUGGGGAUAUUCGACAGUUUUUAAAGCUUGGGACCAAAGUGAUGAUAUUUCAACCUUUCAACAGAAGUGUUUUAAAGGGACCAAUCUCUAUCACACAGAAUCAAGAAUGAUCCCAGUUUUUAUGAAUUAAAACUUUUCUGUCCAAAUUCAUCAUUAAUCAAUUUAUAUAACAACCCAAUUCGGCCACUUUUUUUGUUUUUAAGCAGGGCAUUUGCUAUGGAAACUGAAGGAGUUUUUGAAGAUAAUCAUCACAAAUAUGGGUUCUUUUUUCCAGUGCCAAACAUCAAAUUGUUUAUUACAACAAGAGAAAAUGGUUAAGGAAUUGCAAAUUUCAUCUCAACAAUUCCUGGCUGCCUUUUUUUGGGGAAAGUUACAAUCUUUGCUCCUCUUUUACUUCUGUCUUGGGUUAAUAGUAGUUUGUUUGAAUUUUCUUUGAGUUGAAAGUGAUAGAAAUGCAUAUUCAUUUUUUGUGGCUUGUGGAUAUAUUAUCAUGACUGAUUCUUCAAGUAUGUAGUAGUACAAUUUGUGUAGUUUGAUAGAAAAUUGAUUUUGUGUAAGAAGGGUUGGUUUUUAUGAUGGAUUUGGAUAUUCUAGUUUUACAAUAUGUCUGACCAGAGAAUGGAACGAGGAAACUUAGUAACCGAUAGAAUCAAAUACACACGAUAAGGAAGAAAGAAUGGAAUUUUCAUAACUAGUUUUUCCUCUUUUUUUUUUUUUUUUAAAUAACAGUGGUGUCUGUGCAAGCUUUCGUGUAACUCGACUAAAUCCACGGUAUACCUGCCACCUCUAGCAAUAGAUAUUAGGUACUUUUGUCUACCAAGGCUAGGACAGAGAGGAAGAAUCACCUAGUGUUUUUUUGUUUCUGUUGGGAUUUGAACCUGAGACCUCAUGUUCUCAACCCACUUGAUUGCUAUGUCUCUUUUAUUUGUGAAAUUUAUUAAGUUUUAUCGUACCCGUGGACACACAAAAGACUAUUACUUAAUUGGUACUUAUUAGUUGAAUUAAAAUACACUUUCUGCUUUCCCCGUAAUAUAUAACUGAUUUGUGUUACAGUACUAUAGGAAUUUCUGUAUUAGUCCACCUUUUGCACUUCUGGUCUUCCUUUUUGUUUUUGAUUUGUUUUGUAUUGUACCAUGGCCUUCUGUUACAAGCUGUUUGCAUCCUAAGGGAAGAGUUCAUACUAAGGUCAGAAAUGACUAGGUUUGCACUAUUUAAACUUAGAAGUCAUUUAUUAAAUAUGUUAUUAAUUAUUACCUAGCAGGUAAAAUGUUAGCAAUUUUUCCUACCCCUUGAAAAAAAAAAGAUUCAGAGGAGGAUCAUGACUCGUUCUCAUUGAUACCAGCAAAUUAUAUCUUCAGACUUUAAUAUUCCAGCUUCUUUUAAAUCAUGUUUCUUCUUAUCUACCAAGUAUAUUAAGUAAUAAUAACAGUAUUCUGUAACGGUCGAUUGUAGUGUUUAAUUUGCACCAAGAUUUUGUCUCUCUCCAACAAUCAGCUUUCCUGUUUUGGGUUAGGUGCUUAAUUGAGUUGACUAUUUAAGUUGAGUAACUUUUAUAUACCUUCCUGUCACCUCAUACAGUUGUUCUCUGGAAUAUAGAGUCUUUGUCACCAGUUAGCGAGAAGAUCUGGAUCACCAAAUAUGAUCUUUUAAAGGUGUAGCAACAGUCAGUGGUCUCACCAGUUAGCGAGAAGAUCUGGAUUACCAAAUAUGAUCUUAAAGGUGUAGCAACAACCAGUGGUAGGGAUGUGCAUUUCCCAUACAUUGGGUGGUUAUAACAAUAAAAUUGCAGACGAAGUACCUGAUUGAUGGUCCAUUUGGGCAUAAAUAUCAUGUUAUUUGCAAAUAUUGAUGUUUAUUAUUCACAAAUACGAGUAUUUGCUAGUACUUCUGCUUUCUGAAUUUCAACUGAACUGAUUUUAAGGUGCAUUUCAAGUGAAAUAUUUGUACGCGCAAAUCUUCAACUUCCACAGUUCUUUUUUCAAGUCAAGUUCAUGUCGGUACAAUUUGAACUUUGACUUCAUGUACUCAUUUUGAUCAACUUCAACUCAAAUAUUUUACAUAUGUCUGCAGAGAAGCCUGUUAUAGAGAUCUUCUAGAUUGAACAGCUCAGAAAACAUACGAGUGUCCUUCCAAGCAUUUUAUCUCGCAUUGUCUCUAGUAGGUUGAAAUGCUUAUGAUGUUACUAGCCGCUGCAGUAUCUGGAGCCUUCGAGGCAUUUGAUAUUCUGCUCAACUUCGUUUCAACUUUCUUUUGAAGCUUUGGAAUCAAUGAAGCGUAGCAGAUACUUCCUUUUUUCAGG